RNAcentral lists this long non-coding RNA (94716 nucleotides) under Citrus x clementina. RNAcentral's name for it is "Citrus clementina (C. clementina) long non-coding RNA (CCLE_LNC000831)". The stretch from base 90472 to 90544 matches the Rfam family "tRNA". Lineage: Eukaryota; Viridiplantae; Streptophyta; Magnoliopsida; Sapindales; Rutaceae. The record is from RNAcentral.
UCCGAUCUUCUUCUCCUUGCCUCUCUAAUGAUUUUUAAUGAUAAUUCCCUUGCCGCCUUUCUAUGUGGUGCACGCCUCUCUUUUAUACUGCAAACUAGGGUAAACAAAAGUCCCUAGGUGUGCAUGAGUUAAAUUAAGAAACAUGCAAAUCGCGAUUCUACAGUUGACCCGCGCCUAAGUUUUCUCCCGCAUUGCUCCCAAAUUGCUACAACACUAGUUGCCUAAGUUUUCUCCCGCAUUGCUCCCAAAUUGCUACAACACUAGUUGCUUUAACAUCUGCUACAAUACGGCAUUAUUCCCAAUUGUGCUUUACUUCUUUUAUGGACAUUUUCUUUCCUCCUCUUGCUCAUCCAUUGUCUCACCAUCCCCUCAUGAAUUAAGACUUUCUGAAAACCUACAAUUAAGCUUCUGUUUUUAGCACAAAUUACUUUGAUUCAAAUAAAACUUAUUAAGACUCAAAUAAAAUGAAUGUUUAUGCAAAAUGUAACCAAAAUGUAAUAAAAACAUUUGAUUUGUUCUCUAAGUGAUCUUGAUUUAAGUCUAGAAUUGAUGUAAUAACUCUCAUUUCCUAGAGUUAUCACCUAUCUUGCCUAUUUAUUAUAUUGAAUGGAUUAUGAUAAAUGGAUAGUAGCUUGAAUUUGUGAAAGUGUACUUGUAUGUUUACAUUAUUGAAUUAUCAUUGUGUAUAACAUUGAGUGCUUUAUCAUGAUGCAUGGUUAUAUAUAUAUGAUGAUAGUUUGUCAACUCAUCAUGAUAGAUUUGUUUGAUUUUAAUGAUUAUGUAAUGCCUAAGCAUGAUAAAUAAGUGAUAUGCUUUAAUUCUCAAUCUUUGAAUGCUUACAUAUUUCAUGAUUGUGUGAUGUAUAUGCAUGAUAGAUGAGUUAUAUGUUAUUUAUUGUAUUAGAAGUGAUCAUGGUGGAGAAUUUUAAAAAUCAUGCAUUUGAGAAUUUUUAUAAUGAUUUUAGCAUUGAGCAUCAAUUUUCAUCACCUAAGACUCCACAACAAAAUGGAGUUGUAGAGAGAAAGAAUAUAUCUAUUCAAAAAUGGCUAGGACAAUAUUGAUUAGAUCUCAUCUCAAUAAAACUCUCUAUGAGCUUUGGAAAGAUAGAAAACUCAACAUUGGUUAUUUCAAAGUUUUUGAAUGCAAAUGUUUUAUUUUGAACUCAAAAGAUAGUCUUGGCAAAUUUGAUCCAAAAUUUGAUGUUGGUAUUUUUUUUUGGCUAUUCAAACACAAGCAAAGCUUAUAGAAUGUAUAACAAAAGAACUUUGGUUGUGGAAGAAUUAUUUUUGAUGAGUCUAAUUAUUCCUCUACAGAGAAAGUUGUUGUUGAUGAUGAUGUAGAUGAAAAGCUACAAAAAGAUUCAUCAAAUGAUAGCCAAAAGAAUGCACCACUUGAAAAUCAAGAGGAGCAACAUGAAGAAACAAAUGUGGAGUAAAAUAAAGGUACUUCUCAAACACUCCCCAAAGAAUAGAGGUAUGUUUCUUCUCACCCUAAAGACUUAAUUUUGGAAGAUCCAUCACAAUGUGUAAUUACUAUAUCAUCACUUAAAAUAUAUGUAAGCAUUUAUAAUAAUGAAUUUGAUCACUUGUUCUUUAGCUCAUAAUGAUGGCUUAUCUUAAUAGCUAUGUUGAUUUUGAUGAUCUAUAUAUUGUCAUUAUUCUACUUAUGUUUUGCUUAAGUUUUGAUGUUAAAGAUUAUGCUUUAAUGAUUCCAUUGUAUUUGAUGAAAUUUGAUCCUAUGGAAUCUAUGAUUGGUGAAUGGAUAUAUAUCUAUAUAUAUAUAUUUGUGCUUUCUUGACGCAUUAUUAAAUAUGCAUUAUUUGCUUUAAAUGAUAUCAAAAGGGGGAGAAAUACAUGAUCAUUAAGAUCUUGGCGCAUAUAAGAUUUUUUAAGUUAUAUUGAAAUGUGACAUUAGAUCUUUGAUGAGUUUAAUUGUCUUGAUUUCUAAAAUGUGUUAGUAAUUAUCGAGCUUGGAUAUUUGAUAAUAUAUUCUUAUAACUAUUGCAUGCUAAUUUGGUAAACAAAUCAAAACCACUUUGCGAAGAAUAAUUUUCAAAAAUUCGGCAUGAACUUGGGAUGAUGAAAUUUAUUAAUAUCUCUAAUCAUGUUAUUAAUACUAUUAAAAUUGAUUUCUUGAUGAUUUUGAUGAUUGAUGAUUAUGUGUGUUGCUUGAUAAAUUGAUGGAGUUGUUGGUUUGUUAUAAUUGUUUAAGCUUAUAUGGAAGUAUUUUUAAUUAUGUUGUGUAUUUGAGUAUUUGUUCAUUUUUAAGGAAAGACUCUACCGAAAUUUUUGCUCGCACAAAAUGAGUAAUAUCUUCAUCGAAUUAUUUUUUAUGAUCUUGUUUCGAUUGCAUCUAUCUAUCCUUUCUUUUUUAAAAUGAGGGGGGAGAUAAAUAUGAUAUGUUUUUGGAUAAAAUCAUUUUGGUUCAAAUUUUAAAUUGGCCAUAUAUUUAGGGGGAGCGUAUAAUAUGAUUUUGGAUAAUAUACAUUUUGAACUUUUUGUUGUCCAAAGGGGGAGACAAAAUAAUAUAUUAGUUCGAUGUUGUCAAAAUGAGGAGAAUAAUAUGCACUUUGAGUAUUCUUUUGAUGAUUGAUAUUUGAUUAUGGUAAUGAUUAAUGAUAUUUUGGUGUGAUGAUUUGUGUAUGGAGUUGGCUUGCAUCAUGAUUUAUAAUAAUUUAGGAGUAAUAUUACUAAACUUGUAUUUGAGGUGAUGCUUGUUGUUAAGGGGAGAUUCUAUCAAAAUUUUUACUCGAACAACAUGGGUAACAAAUUUGCUACUCUUAUUCUUUUCCUUUAAGUUUUCUUUUUGAUGAUAAAGGGAGAGAAGAAUACAUGUUUUUAAAUUUAUAAAAAAAUUUGCUACUCUUUUUCUUUGCCAAUUAAGUUUUCUUUUUUAUGAUGAAGGGGGAGAAAAAUGCAUGUAUUUAAAUUUGUUAAUUUAGCUAAUUGGCAAAUUGUAAGAGAAGAUUAUAUUUAGGGGGAGCAAUUUUUGGAAUCAUUCUUCAAAUAAAUGAAAUGUUUGUCAUCAUCAAAAAGGGGGAGAUUGUUAACAUAUAUGUUUCUAUAAUGUUGAUUUUGAUGAUAACAAACAAGAUUAAGAAUGAUUAAUCUUUUAAGCUCAAAUUAUUUUUUAUACAUUUUAAAUAAAUCAUUAUUUUCACAUUAUAAAUGUUUUAUAAUUAAUGGAAAAAUGAUUUUAUGAAAUUAGUUGUUUUCAAGUUUAUGAUUUAAUUGAAAGAGUUUUGAAAACUUUGAAAUCAACAAGUAUUGCUUGAAAUUUUGGAGAAGGACUUAUUUGAAAAAUUUUAUAGCCUUUUGGGUCAUAUCAUAAUUUUAGAAAGUUUUAGGAAUAGCAACCAUUAUUUAGAGAUUCUGAAAUUGGACCUAUUUACAAAAUAAUAUAACUUUUUGGGCCAUAAUACAGUUUUAUAAAGUCUUGGGGUCAAACCGGAUGUGACAAAUGGCUAGCCGGAUGUGACAAACGACUAGCCGGAUUUUGGGCAGUAAGCUUCUGGAAUGAAAGCGGCUAACCGGAUUUCAAAAGUGGCUAACCGGAUAUGAAAAGCAGCAUGCCGGAUAUUCUGAAAUUAAAUUUUUACUGUAACGGUAACAUAAAAGCGGCUAACUGGAUUCCAUAAACGGUAAGCCGGUUAUCACCAAAAUGUGCAUAACGGUUAGUUUUUUAGUUCAAACUAUAUAAACUCAAUUCCAUUUCAUUUUUGGUAAUCUUGGCAAGCAUAAACAAGUGCACACAACAUAUGUUGAGCUUCAAUUUCGUAAAUCAUCAUAGAUUAAGUUUUCAUUGAGCUAUCAUUUGUAUAUCCACUCUAAAAGAGAGUUGUUUGUUGUAAUUUUUAUUUCUCAUCAAAUUGUGAGUGUACAAGUGUGAGAAUCACUUUGGGUGAAGAGAUUGGGGAGAUAAUCUCUUGAUUGUAAAGGUCCAUUGACAUCUUGGAAGUCAAUUGUAAAACUUGAAGCCUUGGGAGGCUUGGUUAGUGAAAUCCUCAAGCCAGGUGAGCUUGGAGGCGUGGACGUAGGCAGGGAUUGCCGAACCACGUAAAAUCAUUGUGUUUGUUUUCUCUUCCCUUACUCUUUUAUUAUUGUGGUUUAUUGAAUUUAUUGUUUUCGAUUCCAUUAAGACAUUAGAUUGAAUUGAUGUGUGGUUUGCUUAGCUUAAUUUUUAAAAUUCCAAUUCACCCCCCACUCUUGGGUUGCCUAGUUAGUAUUUCAGAUAUCCUUUAAUGACAUGAUACUCAUACGAGUAAUAUGCUCAUGAAACAUUUUAAGUGGCAAUCCCUGAGUAAGAUGCUCAUUGAAAUCAGAGUGUGAAUAAACCAAAACUUUAUUUCUGCAGAAAAUAACCUUAGAUAUCUAUAAACUGAAAUAACUGAAAAAUGUCUAUAUUAUAAGAGUAUCUAAAAUCACAAAUUCCCACUAAAACUGGAUAUCCUUCAAUAACAUGAUACUCAUACGAGAAAUAUGCUCAUGAAACAUCUUCGAGUAUCAUGCUCAUGAAACAUCUUAGGUGGCAAUCCCUAAGUAAUAUGCUCAUUAAAAUCAGAGUGUGAAUAAAUCAAAACUUUAUUUCAGCAGAAAAAUAGCCUUAAAUAACCAUAAACUGAAAAAAUUUAUAUAUUAUAAGAGUACCUAAAAUCACAAACUCUCACUAAAACUGGAUAUCCUUUAAUGACACGAUACCCAUACGAGUAAUAUGCUCAUGAAACAUUUUAGGUGGCAAUCCCUGAGUAAGCGGAUCCACAAUCAUGGAGUUUGUACUAAUGUACUAUAUAGACAAUUGUGCACUUUUAACUCUUUUUUUGAUAACUAAGAACUUGAUGUCUAUAUACUUCAACUUCAUUGAGUUCCUGUUAUCAUUAAAAAUACAACAUUACUGACUUAUUGUCUAUCAAAACCACUUACUAUACGCAACCCUGUGACAAAAUUCCGUAGCCAUAUUCCGUGAUUGGAUGCCCGAUAACAUGCUAUGAACUCUGUUGGCAUCGUAAAAGAGGCUAUAAGAGAUUGUUCGGCACUCUUCCAAGAAACAACACAUCCAGCUAGUAGAUAUAUUUAACACGAAGUAGAUCUCAUACUAUCUUGGUGUCUCACAAAAUUGAAAUCUAUAUACCCAAUGAUCUUAGGCUAGUCUGAUUUUUGAUAUAUGAGUUCUCUAUAAGUACCGCAAUACUCGUUUGGUUGCUUUCGAAUGGUCUACUCCUAGAUUACUUAAAUACCUACCCAACAUCCUAGUAACGUAUGCAAUAUCUGGUCGCGUACAAACCUAAGCAUACAUCAGACUUCCUACUACUGACGCAUAAGGAAUUUUCUGCAUUUCGUUCUUUUCAAAAUUAUUCUUAAGGCACUGAUUAAGACUAAACCUGUCUUCCUUAGCCACAGUGGCAUCACCUAGUUUAUAAUCUUGCAUGCUAUAUCUCUUGAGAAUCGUUUCAAUAUAUCUCUUUUGUAAUAAUCUAAGAAUACCCAAGGGGCGAUCCCAAGGUAUCUAUAUGCCUAAUACAAAAUAGGCAUCCUUAGACCUUUCAUUUCAAAAUUUUUAGUAAUAAUAAAAUACAAAAAUUGAUUGACUACUGUUGGAAUCUCUUGUUACGAAUGAUUUUAAUUACUUUGGCAUAGAUAAGACAUUGAAAAUAUGAGAUGGACAUAAUAUCUAGAUAGCUGUCUCCUUAUUUCUAGUAUUCAAGGGCCAAGUAAACCAUAGAAACAUUUUUCCAAUAAAUCUAUAAAUUUAUUUAUAUUGAUAUGUUUCUAUCCUAAACCUUCUACAACAAAUUUGACUCAAGCAAACCCAACUUCCCUCCCCACACCCACAGGUCAAAGGUUAUAGCAUAUCAGUUUUGGGUCUUUUUCGCCAUACCCUCUCGGCCUGCCCUGAAAUUUUUUAAAAGGCCUUAACAUGCACCUUCCCACGGGCAGCGUGAGACUGCUCGAAAAGACAAGAGCCAUUUCAGAGAUUGAGAGUAGUUUCGACGGAAUGUUUUUUAAAAUUCCAAGAAAAAUCGGUCUUUUUUACCUAAUUUCGGAAUAAAUUCCCGAAAUCCUAUCAAAGCCUCCCAGUGGCGGUGGGGCAGGGCCUUGGGGCACCCCUGGUGGCCCAAAGGAUAUCCCGCGGCAGAAAAAAUGGAUCACAUAAGGGGAAACCCAACUUUCCUCCCCACCCCUACAUGCCAAAGGCUAUAGCACACCGGUUUUAAGGUUUUUUGCAAUGCCCCCUGAGCCUACUGUUGGGUAUAAAUACUAAUGAUAUUAGUGUCAAUGUGCAAGUGUACAGAACAAGUAAUAAAGUGAUGAGUAUUCAAGAUCGUCUCCACAGAGAUUGAUGUUAUCAGAUUUCUUACAGCAAUCUUAACAGUGCAGAUUUUAUGCUAAAUUAAAAUAAAAUAAUUAAUGAAACUAAUAUACUAAUUAAAAUAAAAACGUAAUAAAUAAAAUGCAACAAAGUAAAUUAUCACGUCAAUUUCAAGGAUAAAGCCAAUGGGAAUAUAGAGUAGUUGAGUAAAUAAACUCUCUUAAUAGUUUUGACUAUUUUCUAGUGGCUGGCUCGGUUGUUGCAGCAUCUACUACAACACUAGGCAGAAUUAUUAUGUAUCCUCAGCCAUCGCAUGUUGGGUAUCUUAUAUCUAUAUGCAACUUAACACUGAUCAGUUAUUAUGCCAAUAUAAAAUAUAGCAUUACACGCUUAGGUUCUAUUUACCCUAGAAGGUGAAUCCUUAUGUCUAGUUCAUCACUAACCUUAAAUCAAGUAUGGCCCUUUUAGGACUCAAGUAAAAUUCAAUCCGAGAAACCCCAUUUAAGAUCAAGUAUUGCUUUGAUAUGUUCCACUAAUAUAGGCCCUUUUGCGGCUCUCUCCUAACUUGUAUCAUUAAAUGGGUGAUCAACCGAAAUAAUGAAUAAAAAUAAAUACUAUCAAAACAAAUUGCUACAGCAAACAUGCAGCAACACAUAUUUUCAUUCAAUAAACCAUCAAGAUUGUUUAUCACUCAACUAUAAAUAAAUUUAGUUCAUGAUUUGCAAAAGAAAAAUAAAGAAUAAAGUUUCGGCUAUGAAACACAUCCCCAUGAAUAAAAAGUAAACAAGAAAACAAGAGAAGAAUAAGAAUGACUAAGUUCUUGAUUUAUUUCUGCAAAUUUUCCUCUUGUACAACCUUCAAUCUCUCUCUUGAAUCAUGUUUUUCUUUUGUUUCUUUGUAUUUUUCUCCUUGGAUCACGGCUCUCCUCAUUCCUUAUGAUGUGUGCUUCUUUUAUAGUUGAAAAUUAGGGUAAACGGAAGCCUAGGGCGCGCAUAAGUUAGAUUAGGAAACUGCAGAUUGCAAUUCUGCAAGUAUCCCGCGCAGAAUUUUCUAUGUUGUUGUUCUAGGAUUGCUACAGCAAUAAAUACAACAACUGCAAUGUUCUAUAUUUGUUUCAAUUCUUUUGUAGCUAAGUUCUUCCCCAUUUUUGCAAGCCUAUUGCAUAAGCAUUCCUUCCAUGAAUUAUAAGCUUCUGGAAACCUACAAUUAUGCACAUAAUUUGAGCACGAAUUACUUUAAAUUAAGCAAAACUUAUUAAGACUAAACUAAAAUGAAUGUUUAUGCAAAAUGUAACAAAAAUGCAAUAGAACCACAUCAAUUACUCUCAAAGUAGUAUUGAUUUAAGUCUAAAAGUGUCAUGAUAACUCUCAUGUCAUAGAGUUAUCGCCUACCAAGGAAUUUUGAAACAGGCUUCGGCACACACCUUUCCAUGGGUGACUCGAGGCCACUUCAAAAGAUGGGAGCCAUUUCGAAGACCCAGAGUGGUUUUGGAGGAAUUUUUUUAAAAAUUCCAACAAAAAUCUGUCUUUUCUACCUAAUUUUGAAAUAAAUCCCAAAAACUAUCAGAGCCUCUCGGCAGCGGUGGGGCAGGGCCUUAGGGCAACCCUAGGGGCCCAAGGGACAUCACGCGGGAGAAAAACGGGGUUCACAUAGGGGGAGAAAUCAACUUCUCUCCCCACCCCCACAAGCCAAAGGCUAUAGCACACCAGUUUUAGGCCUUUUUUUCCAUGCCCCUGGGCCUGCCUUGGAAUUUUAGAAUGGGCCUCUGCACAACCCUUCCUGUGGGCGGCGAGGCAGCUAGAAAAAUAUGGGAGGUGUUUCGAAGUUCCGGAGUGGUUUCGGUAGAAUGUUUUCAAACAUUUCAAGAGAAAUUAGUCUUUUCUACCUAAUUUUGGAAUAAAUUCUCGAAACACUAUCAAAGCCUCCCUACGGCCCCAUUCUUUUCCCGCACGACAUCCCUUAGGCCGCCCGGGGUGCCCCUAGGCCCUGCUCCACCGCCUCAGGGAGGCUUUGAUAGUUCUUUAGGAAUUUAUUCAAAAAUUAGGUAGAAAAUACCAAUUUUUUUGGAAUUAUUCCAUCAAAACCACUAUAGGUCUCUGAAAUGGCUCUCGUCUUUUUUACUGGCCUCACACCGCCUGCGAGAAGGUGCGUGUAGAGGCCAGUUUUAAAAUUCAAGGGCAGGCCCAUGGGGCAUUGAAAAAAAGGCCCAAAACUGAUGUGUUAUAGCCUUUGGCCUGUGGGGGUGGGGAGGGAAGUUGAUUUCCCCCCAUGUGAACCUUGUUUUUCUCCCAUACGACGUCCCUUGCACCGUCGGGGGUGCCCCAAGGCUCUGACCCACCGCCGCCGGGAGGCUCUGAUAGUUUUCUAAGAAUAUAUUCCAAAAUUAUGUAGAAAAGACCAAUUUUUGUUGGAAAUGUUUGGAAAAAUUCCACCGAAACCACUCCGAGUCUCUGAAAUGGCUCUUGUCUUUUUGAGUGGCCUCGAGUUACCUGUGGGAAGGUGCGUGCAGAGGCCUGUUCCAAAAUUCCUUGGUAAGCCCAGGGGCACAUGGCAAAAAAUGCCCUAAACCGGUGUGCUAUAUAGCCUUUGACCUGUGGGGGUAUGGAAGGAAGUUGGGUUUCCCCCUUAUGUAAACCUCGUUUUUCUCCUAUGGGACAUUCCUUGGGCCGCUGGGGAUUCCUCAUCGAUAUUAGGAUUUAGGGUUUUAGGGUUUUUAAGAUUUACAUAAUGAUAUGAAUAAACUACAUAAAUUAGCCUAAAAUAUAAUGAAUCAUUAUCUAAUAAGUAAUCCCUUAAAUUAUUAAGGUAAAGGAUGAAUUAAAUGACAAGCAAAACACACAUUUUAAUACAAUGUAUCUUAUUGUGUUAUAUAUUAUAAUGUAUGUUUUUCUUGUUUUUCUUAUUUUUUAACUUAUCUCUUACUUUAAUAACUUAAAAGAUCCCUCAUUAAAAAAUUAUUCCAAAUAUAAUACCCUCAUUUGGCAACGAACAAGGAGCAAGCAUGAGGCCGCAUCUUAAGGCUUGACAAAAAUGCUUGUGCUUGAGAAAUAUGAAUCUUGGGACUUGAUGAUCCUUCAAUUAGAGAGCGGACAGUUACAAGGCCUAGAUCGGGCUAUAGUGUGACCUCGCCCAAGAAAAAUUCUUUAAGAGCCAUAAAGUUCUAUGAUUUGUAAUAUAAGAACAUGAAUAUCGCUAAUUUUUAUUACAUGCCCCAGAUUCGAUCUCUACUUAAAUAAUUGAAAUGCCUUUUAUACUUAAGUUACUCUCCAGAUGGGAUAUUUAAAUUCAAUAUUAAAGGAGUAAAUUACCAUUUCAAUUGAAAAAAAGCAUAUAUUUGUUGAAGAAAAUAGAUGUUGGAGAAUUUGACGAAUAAAACACAAAUUUUAUUAGAAAAAAACAUUACAAGAACAAUUCACACAUUCUCGCAAAUCACUCUUAAAUGUUUUGCAUCUUAUGUUUUCUUCUUCUUACACUUGAUGCAUACAAUACAAAUGACAAUGGUAUUUAUAGUACUCAAAACUUAAUUAUAACCACACACAUAAACUAAACAAAUUUAAUCACAAUGGCUCCUUUAUUCUUAAUCACCACACUAAUUAUUAUUAACCUAACUCAUUCCACUUUCCCUACUUCACCAACCACACCAACCUUACCUACCACAAAAAACUUCUAUGAAGUGAGCUUGGACUUCUUGAAAUUGGAUCAAGUUUAUGAUCCAACAAUAAAGACACUUAGGGGUAAAUGUUGUUACCAUUUUAACUUACUAUGAGAAAUGCUAUGAUUUGUUCUAAUUAAAAAAAAGAAAAAGAAAAAGCAGGUCAAUAUAUUAUAACAUUGUCACAAGCUAGUGUUACAAAAUUGCCACAAUUGAUGUAUAUAUAAUAAUAACCUUUUCAUGGUUUAUUUCCUUUACAAUUAAACUUGCUCCCUCUUUUUUUAAUUAUAUCAAAUUAUUAUGUUUUUUCACCUACUCUAUUAUUGAAAUAAAAAAGAAUUUUAUAUUUUAUAAUUUAUAAUUUCUAUUAUUAUUACGUCAUUAGCUAAUUUGUCACAUUCUUGUAAACUUUUUUUUAACAUAUAUAUUUUGCUAAGAGUAAGGUUCUUAAUGUUUAAUUUGUUUUUUUUUUUUUUGCUGCUUUAACUGUACCGACAGAGCACUAAUACCUACAAUAAAAUUUAAUUUAGCCAGGUCUUACUAAAAGCAUGGAUCCAUCCCUAAUUUAAACAUUCAGACUUUAGCUUGAACUGGACUUGAGGCUUGAGGUUGAAGACAAAUACGAGAGCAUCAUUAUACCAUAAGGCUAUAAUAUCAUAAUUAAGAUCUUGACACCAAUAAAGUUUCUAAAAGCAAAUAUCUACAAGGUUUCAGGUAACUGCAAAAAGAUCCCGCAAAGUGUCAGAAAACUAAGAAUAAGAACACUUCCGCAAAACACAAAAUACAAUUUAUUACUAUGACAAAUUGAAUCAAAUACAUAUAGGUUGAAGCUAGAGUAAAACCCUUCAUCAUAACAAAUUUAUUUUUUCAUAUCCGAAGUGAAGAAUGUUGGAAUAAUUUUCAAAAUAAAAAAUGUGUUAUUGUAAAGACAUGUGUAAUUAAUUGUGCCUUAUAUAAGAAGUAUUUUUUCACUUAAAGACAUUCAUUCAUGGUAGCAUUUCAUUUAAAAUGUUGAUGGUUCAAUUUAAAUCAUUGAUUAAGAUCAAAUCUUGAUUCAAUAGCCAUAAAUAAAGGGAUAUCAUAAAAGGUGACAACCUAAAUGGAGGGGCACAAAUAUAUUUAUAAAUAGAGAGGUCAUGUUUAAGUCAUUUAGACAUGGAAAAUAAUGAUCAUACACUAGUCUUUUCUCUGCCCUCUAUAAUAUAUUUAGGUUUUUAACCUAAAUAGCUAGUUAUCUUGCUUAUUAAUUCAGUAGCAGCGCAGUCAAUUAAAUGAGCUAACUCAGGGAUCAUAUGGGUACAUACAAUAGUGGAUACAAUAAUUAGGCAUGUAAUUAAACUAGUCCAAUUAUUUAAUUCCAAAUCCACUCCACUAAAAUAUUGGAAUUUACCUCCAUAAUUGUAUGUUAUCUAGGAUAGUGUACUCGAAUAAUAAUCGACACAUGCCAUAUUGAUUUCUUUCCUGCAUAAUCCUUUGUACCACAUCGUUAAUUAAAUCGAUAUCUCAACUGUCCAAUCGAUUUAAUUAUAUCUUGUUCCUUGAUACUUGCUGGUUUUCUCUAAUGAUCAUUUUCAACAAACUAAAUAUGUUGAUACACUCUGGCCAAAGAAUUCUAUGAUCAAGUGCCAAAAACGCAUCAAGGGAUGUGUUAUACAAAUUCUAUAUUGGUAAUCUAUAACUCUAAUACUCAUAAUUGCUCCCACUAAGAUACCAUGUAAUCUUGACCACAAGUGUGUGUCGUGUCCAUUGGUAACUCAAAUGAAAUAACAAUUAUAAUCAUGAAAUCAUAAUUAACUCAAGAUUAAAAUUAUAAAAUCAAUGCCUAUGAGAUUUAAUAAGUCUGACAGUCAUUUCAAGGUUAAUUAAAUCUCAUAUGUGAUCCAGCUCAAUGUAGUCAAACUACAUCAGUAAAUUCAUAUAUGAUUAAGACAAAUCAUUUAAUGAUUUUACUACAGCCUAAACAUAAAUAGAGCAUUCAACUCUAUUUAUCAAUUGCGAACUAAAUUUAUUUAAUCAUAAGAUAACUUGUAUUUAUGUCUUCUGUGAAUCCAUAUAAUAAUCACAUAAAUACAUAUAAUAUGAUUAAAUGGACUUUAUUCAAUAUAUAUUUAUGCAAUUAAAAAUAUUUCAAAUAAUUUAUUAAUAAAAAAAUAAAUUAAUAUGCUUUAAAAGAGCAUAUAAUCCCAACACAAUUGUUCAAAUGCUAAGUUAUAGUCUAGAUUAUCAAAAGUACAGGAAUGGGUUGGUAAAAUGCGUUGUAGCUAGAUAAGUUGUUCAACUUCAACUACCCUCGAUUAUUAUUUUCUUUUACUCGUUUAAAAUCUAGCCAGUGAUGAUUGAUCAAAAGUAUAUGGGUGGGGCGACAUGUGCAGCAGAAAAAGGAGAUAGGGAAAAGUUACGGUUAUAAUUAUAUGUCAGCAUAUGUCGGUGGUAAGGUCUAAGAAAAUACACAGCCAUACCUUCGAUUUCUUCAUUAUUUUCUUUUUUAAAUAUAUUUAUAACAGUCGUUCCUUGGCUUCAACGACCACUUUCAUUACCACAGAGGAAAUGAUGUCAAAAUAAAGAAGCGUACAAAAGUGAUGUGUAAUAAUGGAUGGGUUAGAUAGAAGCGUACAAAAUUCAUUGCACAAUGUAUUUGUAGUUUUGUACCAAACUUAUCAUUUAGUCAAAGAGUGAUACCAUUUAGACCCAGAAAGAAAAAAGGGUGUUAUAAUUGACAAGAAAAAAAAAACUGUAAGUAGGACAAUAAAGUGAAAGCACAACAAUAAUACUUUCUUUUCUGAAUCGUUUUAAAAUACAUCAAUGAAUCACUAUAAAUAGGCGUUAGUGGUGUUAAUUAAUUGCAACAUCACCAAGUAAGUAUAAGCCAUCCGCCUUUAGAGAAAAGUCCAAGCAAAAAUGGCACCAACAAAUGGCUCUACCGUGGUAACUGAGUCCUGGGAUAUUGUUGAUUUUGUCAUACACAAAGGUCACGGAGUGAAGGGUCUCUCCGAAAAGGGACUCAAAAGCCUCCCAAAACAAUUUCACCAACCCUUGGAAGAAAGAUUCAGUGAGAAAAGAAUCCUGGACCAAGUAUCAAUUCCUCUCAUUGAUAUGUGAAAAUGGGAGAGUCCUGAAGUCGCAAAAUUCAUUUGCGAUGCCGCUGAGAAUUGGGGAUUUUUCCAGAUUGUGAAUCAUGGUGUGGCCCUUGAAGUACUCGAGAGAGUAAAGGAAGCUACCCACAGGUUUUUCGCGUUACCAGCAGAGGAGAAGAGGAAGUACUCAAAGGAGAAUUCACCAACAAAAAAUGUCAGGUACGGCUCAAGCUUUGCUCCCCAUGUGGAAAGGGCUCUGGAGUGGAAAGACUUUCUCAGCCUGUUUUAUGUUUCUGAGGAAGAAACUUCUGCCUUUUGGCCUCUUGUUUGCAAGUAAGUGCCAAUAUACAUACAUGCAUACACACACACUCUUUCAUGUACUAGGAUUGUAUACUGAACAUUAUUAUUUUUGCUUUUGUUCUUCCCCCCCCCUUUCGGCCCGUAGGGAUGAAAUGUUGGAGUACAUGAGGAGUUCUGAAGUUUUCAUCAAACGUUUAAUGCAUGUGCUAGUAAAGGGGCUAAACGUGAAACGAAUUGAUGAAAUAAGAGAACCUAUGUUGUUGGGCUCAAGAAGAGUUAACCUCAACUAUUAUCCUAUGUGUCCCAAUCCUGAACUCACAGUUGGGGUAGGCCGUCAUUCAGAUAUUUCAACAUUCACUAUCCUCCUCCAGGAUGACAUCGGGGGACUUCACGUGCGAAAAGACAAUGGUACUGGCUGGAUUCAUGCCGCUCCAAUUAGCGGAUCACUCAUUAUCAAUAUUGGUGAUGCAUUACAAAUCAUGAGCAAUGGUCGAAACAAAAGUAUUGAGCAUUGUGUGAUUGCCAAUGGAAGCCAGAACAGGAUUUCAGUCCCCCUUUUCGUGAACCCAAAACCUGAAGCCAUACUCUGUCCUUUCCCCGAAGUGCUUGCAAAUGGGGAGAAGCCACUGUAUAAGCCAGUUCUGUACGCAGACUAUUCCAGGCAUUUCUAUACCAAGGCACAUGAUGGGAAGAAAACUAUCGACUUUGCAAAGAUAAGCGACAUUUGAGAUGAAAAUAAGUGAAUGCCUAGCUAAUUGUUAUCUUUGUGAAAAUAAAGUGCACGGUAAUGAAGGUGGGAUUCAGUGAAUAAUACCGAGGCCAGUUCUUCACUCCUGACAUGGAAAAAUAAAUUUAUUGUUACGAAGGGUUUUACUCUAGCUUCAAAGACCUAUGUAUUUGAUUCAAUAUGUCAUAUUAAUAAAUUGUAUUUGUGUUUUGUGGAUGUAUUCUUCUCGUUAGUUAAUUUCCUGACAGCUUACGGAAUCUUUUUGAAGUUCCUGAAACUUUAUUGGUGUUGUUAGGAAAUUGGUCGGUGAAGCAGACACGCAGCUAAAGUAAAAUUGGUAGAAAAAUAAAGAACAAGCACAAAAGAAAAUACCAAAAAUUACGUGGUUUGGACUUUUAGCCUACGUCCACGGGUGAAGACAGAAAGAAAUAUUAUACUAGUAAAAAGAAGUUACAAGUAUUGUAGUAUUUUAGCUCACUACCCAAAACCCCAAUACACCCAAACUCUCAAAUCACUAAGCACACAAAAUUCUUUACUCUUGCAAGAAUCACUUCUCACAACUCUCAACUCUCUCUACAAAAAUUGAAUAAAAAUGAAUUAGGGAGCUCUUCCUUUUAUAGCCAAAAAAUGGCUAUUAAAUUAAUAUAUAUAUGUAUAUAUUUCAAAUGUCGUUGCCAACUUCUUCUUUUUCUCCAUUUGGAUGGCACCAUUUUCUUUGGCCGGCUGCACCAUUUUCUUUGGCCGGCUUGUCAAAGCCAACUUGAAUUGGCUUUGUAGCCACCGGCCUUUGACAUUUCUCCCACUGGGAGAUUUAAUUGAAAAUCAAUCAAUCUCCACAUCAUCCUUUCUACUUCGCCAUAAUCAUAUUGCCUAUGUUUCUGCUAGGCCACAAGAGGAUCUACUCCAGAUAAACUUAUCAGUAUUUAUCGGCUUGGUCAAAACAUCUGCUAGGUUCUCUUUGGUAUGGAUUUUCUGCAAAUCCACACUUCCAUCUUCCACUACUUCACGAACAAAGUGAUACUGGACUCCUAUGUGCUUUGUCCUGGAAUGAAAGGCUGGAUUCCUUGCAAUGUGCAAUGCACUCUGACUGUCACAAAACACAGGAAUUUUCUGUUGUUUGUGCCUGAGCUCCUCCAAUAACCUUUGUAUCCAAAUAGCUUCCUUGCAAGCUUGUGUAGCUGCCAUGUAUUCUGCUUCUGUUGUAGAUAAAGCCACAACGGUCUGCAGUUUCGAAACCCAGCUUACAGCUGCUCCCGCAAGUGUAAACACAUAACUAGUAGUGGAUUUUCUUUUAUCAAGAUCUCCUGCAAAAUCUGAAUCCACAUAGCCCCUGACAGUAAACUAUGAUCCUCCAUAACAUAAUGCAACAUCUGAGGUUCCUCUGAUAUAUCUCAGAAUCUUCUUCACAGCUAUCCAAUGCUCUCUACCAAGAUUCGCCAUGUAUCGAUUGACUGCUCCCACUGCUUGUGCAAUGUCCGGUCUUGUACAUAUCAUAGCGAACAUCAAACUUCCCACUGCUGAUGCAUACAGUACUCGAGACAUCUCCUUCCUCUCCACUUCAUUGCUAGGACACAUACUUGAGGAUAAUUUGAAAUUAACAAGAAGUAGGGUAGAAAUUGACUUACAAUCUUGCAUGUUGAAGCGCCGCAAGAUUUUCUUCAAAUAAUUCUUCUGCGAAAGCCAAAUCUUCCGGUUAUUUCUGUCUCGGUGAAUUUGCAUCCCUAGAAUCUUGUUUGCUAGUCCCAAGUCCUUCAUUUCAAACUCCCUAGCCAACUGUGCCUUCAAUUCUUGGAUUCGAUCUUUUUUGGGACCUGCUACCAACAUGUCAUCCACAUACAACAGCAAAAUGAUGAAAUCAUUAUCUUCAAACCUCUUGUAAUAUGCACAAUGGUCUGAGCUGAGUUUGUUGUAUUCAAGGCUCAUAAUGAAGGAAUCAAAUCUUUUAUACCAACACCUCGGCGCCUGUUUGAGACCGUAUAGAGAUUUGUUCAACCUGCAAACCAAGUUCUCCUUUCCUGUUUCUACAAAACCUUCUGGUUGGAGCAUAUAUAUUUCUUCUUCAAGUUCUCCAUGAAGAAAUGCAGUUUUCACAUCUAACUGCUCUAGAUGUAGGUCAAAUGUGGCACACAUUGCCAAGACUAUUCUGACUGUUGUGAGUCGAACCAUCGGCGAAAAUAUCUCGUUGAAGUCAAUACCUUCUUUCUGAGCAUAUCCUUUCACCACCAAUCUCGCACGAUACCGCUCCACUUGGUCAUUGACAUCACAUUUGAUCUUGUAGACCCAUUUAUUUCCAAUGGCUUUUCUUCCGUGUGGUAAUGGCACAAGUUCCCAUGUCUUGUUAUUGUGUAGAGCUUCAAUUUCUUCCUGCAUUGCUGUCAUCCAUAAAGCAACAUCUGAGCUUUCCAAAGCUUCAUGGAAAGUUGAUGGCUCUCCAUCCUCUGUUAGAAGACAGUACGCAACAUUGAUCUCUGUGACAUACUCUGAGUGCCACGCCGGCGGUCGUCUAUCACGAGUUGACCGACGAACUUCUGGAGCCUCAACUCAACUGGUUCUUGUUCCUCGUGCUCUGGUGCUGCUUCAAAAGAAUCUGAAUCUUUUGGAUUAUUUUCGACAUAUACCGGCACAAUCUCUGACUUUUCUUUUACAGUGCCAUCAUCUCCAUCUUUUCUUUGGAGUUGAUCUUUUACAAAAAUAACAUCUCUGCUGAUGACGAUCUUGUGGGCAGUGGGGUCCCACAGACGAUACCCCUUUACUCUAUCAGCAUACCCCAAGAAGAUACAUCUUCUAGAUUUUGGAUCCAGCUUUGUUCUUUCUUGGGCAUUGUACAUCACGUACACAGGACAUCCAAAUGCAUGUAGGUAGGAAUAAUCAGCUGGCUUUCCAGUCCACAUCUCCAUCGCUGUCUUCAGCCCAAUAGCUGUAGAUGGCGAUCGAUUUACUAUAUAACAAGCAGUUUUGGCUACUUCUGCCCAGAAUGAAUUGGAUAGACCAGUAGUUCUCAACAUAGCUCUUAUUCUUUCUGUAAGAGUUCUGUUCAUCCGCUCCGCCACUCCAUUUUGUUGAGGAGUGUAUGCCACCGUGAACUGCCUCUGUAUACCUUCUUGCUUACAGAAAGCAAGAAACUCGCCGUCUGUAUACUCUCCACCAUUAUCCGUCCUCAAGCACUUGAUCUUUUUACCAGAUUCAAGUUCCACCCGCGCUUUAUAUUCUUUAAACACAGGAAAUACAUCUAACUUUUUCUUAAUUGGAUACACCCAACAUCUUCUGGAAUAAUCAUCAAUGAAAGUCACCAUGUACUUUGCACCUCCCAUGGAUAUAUUUGGUGAUUCCCAAACAUCAGAAUGAAUCAAGUCUAGAAUGCAUUUACUUCUAACAAUAGAUCUAUUGAAUUUUAAUCUAUGCUGCUUACUUAUAACACAAUGCUCGCAAAAUGGUAAACUUACCAAUUUGAGCCCCGGAAGUAAUUUUCGCUCAGAGAGAAUCUUCAAACCUUGUUCUGACAUGUGGCCAAGUUUGAGAUGCCACAUCUUCGUUGACUAUUCUCCAUUUGAUGCGACACACGCAUCAGCCUCCUGUAGCGUUUUUCCUUUAAGCAUGUAUAAAUUAGCACCGAUCUUUUAUGCCUUCAUCAAUAUAAGCGCGCCUUUAACGAUCUUCAUAAUUCCAUUCUCUACAUGAGUUUUGUACCCAUGACUAUCCAUUUUUCCCAAAGACAAUAGAUUUUUCUUCAGGCCGUUGAUAUGUCGUAUCUCCCCAAUUGUGCGAAUUGUACCAUCAAACAUUUUUAUUUUGAUAGUACCAAUACCAGCGAUCUCCAAGGCAUGAUCAUUACCCAUAUAUACAGAUCCUCCUGAGAUAGGUUCAUAUGUGUGGAAUCAUUCUCUCCUAGAGGUCAUGUGCCAGGCAGCUCCUGAGUCUAUAAGCAAGACAUCAGACAGUCGUUUUCUGCCUUCUGAAACAGUUGUUGCCUCGCUGUAGAGUAUUUCGCCAUUAUCUGAGGUACUUGCUACACACCCCUGAGCAUUUGAUGACUCAGGCUCUUUACCCUCUCUUCUCUUCUGGUUACUCCAACACUCUUUCUUGACGUGCCCUUUCUUGCCACAGUUGUAGCAUUUAACAUUCUUCUUACUUCUGGAUUUUGAUCUACCAUGGUUUUGACUCCCACUGGGGCUAUGUUCCAUUGAUCUCCCUCUCGUCACCGAUAGCGCCUCUGCUUGCUGUGAACUUGCUUGUCUGUUUUCCUUAUUUUUUCGCCUGCUCUCCUCAUUUAAUACGGAGGCUGCAACAUCGUCGAAAACUAGACUGUCCACUGGAUUGUUGUUCGUCAUGUUGAUGAUGAGUUGAUCAUAUGAAUCUGGUAGACUUUGAAGUAGAAGCUCUGCACGUUCAUUUUCCUCUAUAUUAUGACCCAACGUUGUGAGUUGUGAAAAUAGUCUUCAAGGUGUUGAUGUGGUCGGUCACCAUUGUAGAUUCCGCCAUUCGAAGAGUAUAGAGUUUUCUCUUCAAGAAGAUUUUGUUGUGUAGUGACUUGGCCUCAUACAAUUUUGUGAGAGUAUCCCAUAUUUCCUUCGCCGUAUUUUUCUCUGCCACACUGGAUAAUACUCCAUCCGCAAGUGCCAAGUGUAGAUCAGAAAUGGCGUUGCCGUCUACCUCAUUCCACUUGUCAUCAGUUAUCUCCAUGGGCCUUUCUCCAAUUGCUGCCAAGAAAUUAUUUUUCCUCAAUACAGCUUUUAUCUUCAUUUUCCACAACGAAAAAUUAUUUCCAUUAAAUUUCACAAUUUCAUACUCUGCCGCCAUUUUGUUGAUAAAUACCGCACACAAGCUAGUGUACCACCCUGAAUAGUUGUGAGUAUGUGUAAGGAUGCACACCAGGAAAGUUCCCAGGAAAGACUGGAGGGGUCACAAUGGUCCCACUUAAAACCCAGACUCCUUAAGCUCUUAUCGCAUUUGUGACAGAACUUUCCUAAACAUGUACAAAACCACACAGUUGCUUUACUCACACCACUAUUCCCUACUUUGCACCGCAAAAUUCUUGGAUCGCUUCCACCGUUUCACAUGAAUAGUACCGUAUACGUGAAUAGUACCCCUUACGUGAACAGUUCCCAACUCCAAAAAAAUACAACCAAUAGCUCUGAUACCACCGUUAGGAAAUUGGUGGGUGAAGCAGACACGCAGUUAAAGUAAAAUUAGUAGAAAAAUAAAGAACAAGCACAAAAGAAAAUACCAAAAAUUACGUGGUUCGGCUUUUAGCCUACGUCCACGGGUGAAGACAGAAAGAAAUAUUAUACUAGUGAAAAGGAGUUACAAGUAUUGUAGUAUUUUAGCUCACUACCCAAAACCCCAAUACACUCAAACUCUCAAAUCACUAAGCACACCAAAUUCUUUGCUCUUGCAAGAAUCACUUCUCACAACUCUCAACUCUCUCUACAAAAAUUGAAUAAAAAUGAAUUAGGGAGCUCUUCCUUUUAUAGCCAAAAAAUGGCUAUUAAAUUAAUAUAUGUAUGUAUAUAUUUCAAAUGUUGUUGCCAACUUCUUCUUUUUCUCCAUUGGAUGGCACCAUUUUCUUUGGCCGGCUUGUCAAAGCCAACUUGAAUUGGCUUUGUAGCCACCGGCCUUUGACAGGUGUCAUGGUCUUAAUUAUGAUGUUAUGGCCUCAUGCUAUAAUGACACUCUUAUAUUUGUUUUCGACCUGAAGUCUCAAAGGCCGGUUUCAAGCUUAAGUCUCCAUCUCAUGUUCACGGCAGGAUGGACGCAGGGUUUUUUAAUAAGACCUGGCUAAAUUAAAACUUUUUGUAGGUAUUUUUCCUAAUUUUCAGUAUAGUUAAAGCAGUAAAAAAAAACAACACACACACAUAUUAAAUAACAAGAAAUCAAUAACCUUGCUCUUAACAAAAUAUAUAUGUUAAAAAUUAAAAAAAUGACAAAAUGGUGACAAAUUAACUUAUAUCUUAUAACGCAAUUGUAAUAGAAAUUAUAAAAUUAUACGUACCAUGAAAUAUUAUUUCAUGAAAUUCUUUUUUAUUUCAAUAAUAGAUAGAAUAAUUGAAAAAAUUAAAAAAAAAAAGGUAGCAAGUCUAAUUGUAAAGGAAAUAAACCAAGAAAAGAUUCUUGCUAUAAAAUAUAUUGCUGCAGUUUUGUAACAUUCCUAUACUAGUGACAGUGUAAUAAUAUGUUCACAUGCUUUUAUUUUAAAUCAGAACAAACCAUAACAUUUUCAUAAUAAAUAGUAAUAACCCCGAAGCGUGUUUAAUUUCUUCAAUAAAUAUAUGAGUUGUUCAAUUGAAAUGGUAAAUUACUCCUUUAAUAUUGAAUUUAUAUGCCCCGAUCUAAGAGUAACUUAAGUAUGAAAAGUAUUUCAAUUAUUUUAGUAGAGAUCCAGUAAGGGAUAUAUUAGAUUGUUACAUAACAAAAUCAUAAAACUUUAGGAAUCUUAAAGAAUUUUUUUUAGGCCCAGUCAGACUGUAGCCCGGUCUAACUUUAGUAAUUAAGUUUUAGAGAUUUUUUUUUAAUAAUUUAAUGAUACUUUUUAGAUAAUUUUGACCGAAUAAAAUGAGUCAAUUUUUUUAGACAAAAAUUAGCAAAAUACCCGUAAAUUUUCUAACUAGCUAAAACUCCCAUGAUAUUAAGAUAAUCAAUUUCUUUAAAAGGGAAAUUCUAUCUUUAAAAAUAAUAAACAUUUAAAACUAAAUAUUAUCAGUUUAUCAAUAGAUUAUGGGCCUACGCAAAAUACGUUGCAAUAUACAAUAGCAAAAGAAAAAAUCCAAUUGCAUUUUUAAUUGGAUUCUUAAGUGGGGAGAAACUUUCUCCUCUUUUAUAAAACAAUCAUACAAAAAACUAAAAAUGAUAAAUCGGUUUACCCAUUUCAUAUUUUCAAUUUCGAACACAAACAAUAAGCAAUAUGUUCGGACUUUUACGGAUCCUAUAUCCCUUAUAUCGGUUUGACCCAUAUUUCCAUUGACGCCGAUAAAAAAAGUAAAUAUGACUCCUGAAAUUUUUUAUUCCUUCAUUUUUCAAACUGAAACCCGAGCAAUAGAACCUAUUAUUGCCACCGAUCAGUCAUCGCCAUUAUGUCACUGCCACAGGCCUUGGCAGCCCAAAGAUGACGAUUUGGCUUCUGAAUUCUGAGCAACGCCAUAGAAAGUCUCAAUCUUGAUUUAUGUUCGAAUUUUUUUCAAUAAAUUUGUUUGAGGUGAUGGAGGAAACAAAUGCUGGCUAUGGUGGAUGAAAAUUUGUAAUAGUUGUCAAGUGGAUCAAAACUGGGCUCAUGAUUGAAGAGUUUAUAAUUCUCUCGACAUGUUGGGUUUGUGCAUUAAAACUGGCGGCUUGCGUGGUGGUCACUAUCCAUGGUGAUUCAAGCAAGGUUAGAAAUUGACGCGAGAGAGAGAAGAGAGGGGGGAAAAAGAGAAAAAAGAAUAAUUUUUUAAAUUUAUUUGUACGUUGAAUUAAGUCAAAAUCUGUAAAAUGUAUAAUUUUACUGAAAAGUUGUUGGACUUACUUUUAAAAGACAGAAUUGCCCUUUACGAAAGUAAUUAUUUUAACAGCGAGGGGUUUUAACAAGUUUUAAAACCCGUGGGGGAUUUUGCUUAGUUCUAGAAAAUAAGAGGGGGUUCAGCUAAUUUUGUUGUUUUCAUUUUUAUGGCUUUUUACCAAAUGGAAGCUAACUAAAUUCUAAUGUAAAAAAAAAAAUUCUCAUUUUAUUAUUCAUUUUCUAUACUUAUCCUCAAAAUCCACACUUGUCCACUCAACAAGAAGCAACCUAGAGUAUAAUUCUUGUUAAAUCGGGAAAUAACAGAGAACAUUGCUCAUUUCUACAAUAUAUUACCAUAUCUAAAGUACUCAAUUUACUUUAUAUGGAUCUCUGAUGCAUAAUAGGAAUUUAUACUAGGAUAUGUUUCCUAAUUAAUUAAGGACUCUUAAUUUCCUUUUCAAUUUAGAAUUUUAUUUCUUUUUCAAUUUAGAAUUUUGUUUUCCCUUAGUGAUUUAGGAUAAUUACUGCUACUAUAAAUAGCUUCCUCUUGUAGCCUUUGAAGGCAUAUUCUAUUUCAAUAAUAUUUUCAAUUUUCAAAUCUCUUUGUGAGUAUUUGAGUUCAGUUAAUUCUCAGUAUUCUGUGGAAUCAACAAGUCUUAACCCCUAAAUUUACGGUAUUCUUUUAAAUCAACGUGAAUUUAGUUGUUCUUUUAUUUUAGCAUUCUCUAAAAUUAACUGAAUAUUUUGAACAUUAAACUUUCACUGCAUCAAUAUCCUAGGUCUAAUGUAAGUAGAAAGUGUUGUUGGAAAAAUGUAUGCUUUUGUUUGCAUAGACGAUUUCUCUAGAUACACAUGAGUUGAUUUUAUUAGUAAAAAAUCUAAUAAUUCAAUAUGUUAAAAAAGAAAUGAUCACGGAAAAGAACAUGAAAAUGCCAAUUUUGCAAAAUUCUAUAAUAGAUAUAGUAUAAAACAUGAAUUUUCAGCACCUGUUACUCCUGAACAAAUAGAAUUUUAUAGGAGAUGGUACAUGUGAUGUUAAAUUCUAAGAAGCUAACUAAACAUCUUUGGGUAGAAGCACUUGAUACUGCAUGUUAUAUUAUUAACCGUGUGUACUUGCAUCCAAGUACUAAGAAAAGUUCUUAUUAAUUGUUGAAAGGUAAGAAACCUACCCUAAGUUAUUUUCACAUCUUUUCUAGUACAUGUUAUAUCUUGAAAGAGCAUGAAUGCUUGGGCAAGUUUGACUCAAAAAGUGAUUAGGGUGUUUUACUUAGUUACUUUAUCAAUAGUAAAACUUAUCGUCUAUAUAAUAUGAGGACUAGAACUAUUAUAGAAUCUGCUAAUGUUAUUAUUGAAGAUUUUAGUUAUUUUUUAGAAUUUUCUAUUGAAGUGGAAAAUCACCAAGUUCAUUGAAAAUGAAGUAAAAUCAAAUUCAAGUAAUGUUUGAACCUUUAUUGAAAAAGAAUAUAGUUAAUCGAACUCCAAAAAUCAAAGUUAACUGAUUGAUUUGACAAAUGCUAAUUCUUCCCAUUCAUGUUAAGAAAAUAAUAAGGAAGAAAAUGCAAAAUCAAGAAUCAAAAUUGAUGUUCAUGACCAAGUUAAGAAGGGACCAUCUUCAAGAGUUGUAAAGAACAACCCGUUAGAUCUUAUUGUUGGAAGUCUAGAAAGCUCCAUGGUAACUAGAAGGAGGUAUGCGAAUCUUACUUUGAUAUAAUUGUUUUACCUCAUUAAUUGAACCAAAAAAUACUAAGGGAGAGUUAUUUGACGAAUUUUGGGUUAAAGCUAUGGAAGAAGAACUUGAACAAUUUGAGCGUAAUGAUGUUUGGCACUAGUUCUUAGGCCAUAUCACACUAAAAUUAUUGGUACUAAAUGGAUUUUCAAGAAUAAAACAAAUGAAUAUGGUAAUAUAAUAAGAAAUAAGGCUAGGUUAGCCGCACAAGGCUAUACAUAAAUUAAAGAUAUUCAUUUUGAUGAAACAUUUGCUCAUGUGGCUAGACUAAGUCUAUUAGGCUUUACUUGCUAUGCCUUGUUUAAUUAGCUUUAAAUUAUUUUAAAUGGAUGUUAAAAGUGCAUUCUUGAAUGGACUUUUGAAUAAAGAAGCUUAUAUUGAAAAACCCAAAGGCUUUGAAGAUCAAUAUCAUUCCGAUUAUGUUUACAAAUUGAAAAAUCCUUUAUAUGGAUUAAAAUAAGCACCUACGGUAUGGUAUGAAAGAUUAAUCAAAUUCUUGAUUGAAAAAGGCUACGAGAGAGGGGGAGUGGACAAGUCUUUACUUAUCAAAUAUCUUAAUCCUAGAAUUAUGAUAGCUCAAAUUUAUGUGGAGGAUAUUGUUUUUAGUUUUACAUCUCUAAUGUAAGUUCAAGAAUUUGUUGAUCAAAUGAAAAAUGAAUUUAAAAUGAGCAUGGUUCUUGACUUAACCUAUUUCUUAGGUUUACAAGUAAAAUAACUUGAAAAUGGUAUCUUUAUUUCUCAAAGUAAGUAUACCAAAAAAUUUGGUGAAAAAGUUUGGAUUAGAUUCGGUCAAACACAUGAGAACACUUAUAAGCACUAAUUUAAGACUAAUAAAAGAUUUAGUGUUGAUCCAAGCCCAUAUAGAAGUAUGAUUUGUAGCUUAUUUUACUCAACUACAAGUAGACAAAAAAUUUAUUCUAGUGUUGGUGUGUUAGAUACCAAGCAAAUCCAAAGAAAUCUCACUUAUUUACGGUCAAAUUUAUCAUUUGUUUUGUAAAUGGAACAAUUAAUGGUGAAAUUUGGUAUACUAAAGGCACUAAUCAAGUCUUGCAAGAUAUAACGAUACUAAUUGGGCAAGUAAUUUUAAUGAUAGAAAGAGCACCAUUGGAGGUUGUUUUUAUCUUAAAAAUAAUUUUGUAUUUUGGCACAAUAAAAAACAAAACUCAAUUUCUUUAUCUGCUGUUGAGGGUGAAUAUAUUGCUACUAGUAGUUGUUGUACUCAAUUUUUUGGUUGAAGUAAAUGCUUGAAGAUUUUGGUAUUAGUUAGGAUAUUCUUACUAUAUAUUGUUAUAAUACAAAUGCUAUGAAUAUUUCAAAGAAUCAUGCUCAACAUUCUAGAACUAAGCAUAUUAAUAUUAUAUAUCAUUUCAUUAGUGAGUUAGUUGAAAGCUAGGCUAUAUCUUUGGAGUGCAUUAAAACCAAAAAUUAGCUUGCAAAUAUAUUUACUAAAGUUUUGGGUGAAUCUAGAUUUGAUUCCUUAAGCAAAGCUUUAGGUAUUUGUUCUUUGUAGUCGUGUUCUAUGACAUUUUGUACAUGUAUAUGUAUUAUUAUUAUUAUUAUUAUUAUUAUUAUUAUUAUUAUUAUUAUUUGGCAUCUCAUGACAUGGUUAAUACAUUAUUUGAAUGUGUUUUUGUAUCACACGUACUUUAUUUGAAUCACUAUGUGCAAAAAUAUUUUGAUUUGGUGACUUGAAAGCUUGAAACAAUUUUUUAUUGGUCUAAUUUAAACUUAACUUUGUGCACAUAUAUCUUACUAACUUGAUUUUCAAUUUUGAGGCUUCUGAUGUUGAAAUUAAUAGAUUGAACAUUGCCUAUAUACUUUUGACUCUUAUCUCAACUUUAGAUAUCAAGAUGUGCAGGCACCUCAGUCAGAAAUACUUAUCCAUAACAUUUAAGAGUGAAGUUAUCAUUGAGUAAUUUGAGUCUGCGUAUCACAAGUGUAAUAGAGGACCAACUACCAUAAAAAACAAAUGCUUCUUUCAAAGGUAAAGUGAAAGCUACUGACUAUAGGCAAUUGAAAAAGAAAGAAAAGAAAAAUCUCAAAAGUUAUAUAUAUGCAGUAAAAUGACAAACAAAAAAAUUAUUAUUGCAAUUUUUUAUCAUAUUGCUUGAUACAAUGAAAAGAUCAAUUUGAAGAUCAAGAUGAUAAGGUUAGUUUGAAUUUUUCAUUCUAUUUUUUGAUACAAAAGUUAUUGAUUUUGAGAAAAUCGAGAUUGAGUCUUGAUGGAUUUGUAUUACACAUAAAAGUUUAAAAUUUCACUAAUAUUUUAUUAGUUCAAGUGAUUGAAGUUUGAUUAUCUUGAUUUUGUGUGUAUUUGUGAUGAUUAUUGAUCAACAUAUCUCUUCAAUUUUUCAAAAAAAAAAGUGUCUUAUUGCUUAAUGUUUUUUAAUUAUGUGUUUCAUGCAUCGAAUUAUUGCAUGGAUGAUUGCAUGAAACAAAUAUACUUGCAAAUUAGUUUUAGGAUUUUUUAUGAUUUAGGGUUUAAAUUGAUAAAACUUAGUCAUUUAGGGUUGUUCAUCUUUUGUGUAGUCUUUAGGGGUCUUUCAGUAACUGUUCCAUAAGUACUGAAAUGCAAGUUAUGCAACCCAAGAGGGGGGUGAAUUAGGAUUUUAAAAUUUAUGCAAUACAAUUCGCACAACAAUUUAAUCUAUUGCCUUAAUCAAAUCAAAAUAAUAAAUUCAAUCAAGUACAAUAUUAAAAGAGUAAGGGAAGAGAAAACAAACACAAUGAUUUUUACGUGGUUCGGUUAUCCCUGCCUACGUCCACGCCUCCAAGCUCACCCGGCUUGAGGAUUUCACUAUCAAAACCUCCUAAGGCUUCAAAUGUUUACAAUUGACUUCUAAGGUGUCAAUGGACCUUUACAACAAGAGAUUAUAUCCCCAAUCUCUUCACCUCAAGUGUUUCCCACACUUGUACACUCACAAUUUGAUGAAAAAUGAAAAUCACAACAAUGAAACUCUCUUUAAGAGUAGAUAAUAAAUUAUAGCUCAAUAAUGAUUCAAUAAAUGAUGAUUUGCGAAAUGGAAGCUCAAUAUAUGUUAUAUGAUCUUAUAUUUCCUUGUAUUUGUUCAUAUAAUGAAGUUUGAGUUAAAUUUUUAUAGUGAAAGUCCAAAAACUAGCUGUUAUAGGCAAAUUCCCACGCCCAAGCAGUUAGCCAUUUGAUUAUCCGGCUAGCCGCUCAGGAACAGUGAUAUUACCGUUAAUUUUAAAUUUUGCUAUAGUAACACUAUUCACUAAAAUUAUACUUUAACCCAAAACUUUCUAUAAUUAUACUAUAGCCCAAAACGUCAUAAAAUUUUACAAAUAGAUCAAAUUUCAGAACAUCCUAAGAAUAAUUGUCUUUCCCAAACUUUUUAAAAUUAUGAUAUGACCCCAAAAAUUUUAUUAUUUCGCACAAAAGUCCUUUUCAACAUAAUACCCAUAUUUUUCAAAGUUCUUCAAGCCUUUCACUUUAGUCCAAAAUAUUCAUAAAUUAUACUAUGGCCCAAAAUAUUUCAAAUGUUUGUAAAAACGUCCAACUCCGAAAUUUAGUACUUAUUAAAAUCAAAGAUUUCAAAUCUUAGCAUUUAAGUCCAAAUUACUUAAAUCCAUAAAAUACUUUACUUAAAAAAAAACAUUUUAGUUUAUGAAAAGUAUUUAAUUAAAUUAAUCUCUUGAGCUUCUCAAAUGCUAAACCAUGCAUCGUUUAAAUCAUACCGGCUUUUCAAGAAUUUAUUGCACUAAUUUGUUCGUUGUGCUCUAAACUAUAUUCUUGAUGUUACCGUUGUCCGUUGAGUGUCUUCAAUAUUGAUUUCACUUGAUUCACUUGUAUAAAUAUUAUCCUUCAAAAACUAGUGAAAAUGUGAAAUACAAUAUUUAUUAAAUUACUUAAUACAUAUGUUUGUUAUCAUCAAAAUUACAUUAUGUAUAACCCUUUAGGCUAACAAUUACUUCACCAUUUUUCAUUUUGAGCAUAAAGCUUUCUUAUAUUUACACACUUUUCCUAAAUCUGACAAGAUUCUCAAUGACGUCCUUAUGACUAUUUUUUCAUCAUACUUAGAGGUGGCAGAAAAACUCGCCCGGACCAAACCCAAACCAAACCCGGCCAAUCCAAUCCAGACAAAACUCGGACCACAUGCACAAAAAACCCAGACAUUUCUGGUCCCGGUCCCGGGUUCAGCCCCAAUACCCAUUACCCAACCCGAUUACCAUUUACUAGUACCUAAAUUGCAAAGUUGAUUUGAAGCCCUACUACCGUAAGCAACUAAGCAUAAGCAUUAAGCAGCAGCCUCCUCUAAAAAGCAUAAGCAGCAGCGCUGCCACGAUGCCAUCGCCAAAUCCUUAAUCGCGAAAUCCCUUGAAAAGUAUAAGCAGCAUCGUUGUGGCUGCCUUGAAAUUACUAAUCACCAAAUCUCUUGAAAAGCAUAAGCAGCAGUGUUGCGGCUGCCGCGCCUCCAAUACUCCAAGCCAGCACCAGCAGCAGCCACCACCCACUGUCGGCAUCAUCUUGUCUCGGUUGUUGACUCACUACCCUUGGCACGCAACUUUGCUCGAUUCGGUUACUCCAUCUCCACUACCAUUGUCAGUCUGUCAUAGCUUAUAGAGUUAUUCGUGCAGCCCUCUCUGCCGCCGUCACAGCCACCCUCUCUAACUCUCCAUUUAUCAUGUCAUUACUUCCAAAAUUAUAAAUAAUUAAGCAGAUAUUUUAUGUCAUAUACAUAUAAUAGAGUGAUUUUACAUGCGGGCUUAGAAGCCCGAACCAAAAACCCAGGCUCGAGAGGUGCCGAGCUUGAGCCCGGACCGCACCCAAAAAAAUCAGGUUUUAACCCGGGUCUGGUCUUACAUUUCACUCAUCCAGUUCGGUCCCGGGCAACACCAAAACCCGGACCGAACCCGGAUUUUGCCAAGCCUAAUCAUACUUGUAAUUUUUGUGAUUUUUCUUGAAAAUAAUUCUUGUUUAUGAUUUUAUUUUAUGUAUGUCUUAGUUAUCAUUGUUGUAUGAAGAUUCUACGACCUUGCUUGAGUUGUUUUACUAUUUAUGGAAGCAUAAUAAUUAAUACCCACUCAAAAUACUUUUUUCUACCCAUACAAGGUCUGUGGUUAUCUCUCUAUAUAAGGGCUCUUGUUUAGCUCGUUUUUCUCAUUCUUUCUCAUCCAAACAGUAGCCUAUACCUCUACAGUUUCUUUGUUUUAGUUCUUUUUCAGAUUGUGCAUGAUGGUUUCCACAAAAUCAAAUAUGCAUGUUGAACAAGCAAAGGAAGUGGAUGCUUUAGGUGAUUCCAACGUGCAUGGAUGUACUCUAAUUAAUAUGCUGCAUGCUGCUCAUGAAGAAGAGAAGGAUGCCAAUCCAUGGCCUAUGAUAGAAAUUGCAUCAAAAUUGCUCAACAUACAACGAUAAGGUGCACAUGUCGAUUGCACCCAUUCACUCAACAAUUUUGUUGGAUCUUGUAAUGGACAUGCUGAUUCAAUUGAAAAAGAUCCUAGUGAAGCCAAUUUAGAUAAAUAUGUCCCAAAGUCUCCAAUUAAUCAAAACAGCAGCCACUUAAUCUAUGUGUUACCUUAUGCUUAUAGUAAAAAGUACUAUACUCAUCCUCGUAGUGACAAUCUUGAUUUCUUGCUUACAAGAAAAUAUCAUUCUGAAUGUAGUGUUGCUAUUUCCAAAUUUAUUCCUUUUAAGAUUGAACCAUCUAUUAUUGUUGCUGGUUUGGAAAACACCAUUAAGAAUAUCUCUUCAUAUGCACCUAACUUAGUUUGAAAAUUCUAUGCCAAUUUGAAUAAGAAUAUUACGGAUGAGACUAAGCUUAGUUUUUUCCAUAAAAUUUAUGUGAGAGGACGUAUCUUGAAGUUUUCCUCUUCUUUAAUCAAUUGUCGAUUUAGGAUAAAGAGUUUGAUCAUAGCAAUGUCUGGAAACACAUAAAUACCUUGGACAUGUCUACUAUUGCUACUGGACUUUUAAGAAGGUAUUCUCCUUGGCCUAAAGACCUUUUGGUUUCCAAAUUUGAUUCUAAAUAAAAAGCUUUGCAUUGGAUUGGGGCACACAUUUGGUAUCCUAAUGAAAAUUAUGCUACUGUGGACCCUUUGUUUGCUAAAAGUCUUUUCUUUUUUCAGUUAAAGGCUGAGUUUCUUUCAACUUUGGCAAGUUGGCUUUUAAUUUGAUUGUGAAAAAUGUCGAUGUGUUUUGGAAGAGACAUGCAUUACUAUUCCCUUCCGUGAUUUAUCAAUUGUUGACAUCUUAGGAUUAUAAUUUAGUUAAAUAAGAUGAGGGUUUUACUUCUUUUCCUAUUUAUAUUAAACCAACCUAUCCUAGGUAGAAGUCCUUAGUGUUGUUGGUAAUCAAGAUGAAGAUACUUCUACUAAGAAUGCUCUCAUAGAUUCAGCCACUAUCACUUUUGACCUUCAAGCCAUUCACUCCACUUUCCAGUGCUUGGAUGUCAAAUGAAGACAAUUUUAGAUUUUUUGGGUUGAGUUGAACGCAUUGAACACACUUUUGAUGACAUUAGGCAUGUUCACUAUCCUUGAUUUGUUUACUUUAUACCCCCCUUGUUCAUUAGUUUUGAUUUUCGUCUAGCUUAGGAUGUUGUUCCAAUUUUUUGUUUAUAUUCUUUAUCAUGCUUUGGCACCUUUUGUCAAAAGGGGGAGAGAACGUAUUUUAGUUUUUAUUGCCUCGUGAAAACGGAAGAGUAGUUCUUUAUUUUGUUCAAACUUUAUUUAAAUUUGAUUUCAAUAAUAAAGGAGGAGUUUGUUUAUAUGUUCAUUGAAUUUAUUAUUCUUUCUCUAAGGGGGAGCUUGUUUGAUUUGCAUAUGAUCUUUAUUGCUUAUUUUAUUAUGUAUUAUUGCUCUCAUCAUCUAUUGAUAUGAGAUUAUCUAUCUUAAAGGGAGAGUUAAUUUUCCUAAUUGAAUAAUAAACAUGAGCAUUUAUUUAGAGAUGAUUUUUGUCUUUAACUAACGGUGACUAAGUAUCUUUGUUUUGGUGAGUUUUUUGUUUGCUUUUGUUGCUUAUGAGUGGAUUAUUUCUUGUGAUUUCUCUUGCUUCUACACACACCAUUUGAAAGCCAAAUAAUUGGUUAGUUUAUGUUUGACUACAAGAUUGCAAACGGGGGAGAUUGUUAGGGUUUUUAUUAGUGGCAUUAUUGUGUCAAUAAUAUUGUAAUUUAUUUGUUUCUUUUACUAGAGAUUUUGUUUCCUUUUAUUCGAGAUUUAUCUAAUCUUGGGAAAUAAUUAAGAUUAGAUUAUGUGGACUAUUUAAGAAUAUUUGUGGAGGCAUAGAAGAAGCAAAUUGACGUAUACAUAGGAUUCCAUAUCAAAGAGUUCCAAGUAAAAAUAACUACUACUUUGAUAAGUAUAUCAAGUAUUUAUAAAAUAAUGGACUAUCAAGGAAGUAUAUUCUAAUAUCAAGUAUUUUUGAAAUAUUAGACUCUUAAGGAAGUAUAUCUUAAUAUUGAUAUACUAGGAUUUAGGUGCAAUACCACUCUUACAUAAAGAGAAGUAUUUCACACAUUAAAAUAGUGAAGAAGACAUAUCGUAGUUUAUAUCAAAGAAGCAGCUAAAGCAGAGAACGAGAAGAAACCUAUUUGGCCACAUAUGAUGCUUUAUAUCUCUAUGGUGUUUUAGUCUUCUUCAUCUAGUUUUCAUCGCAUCAAGUCUUUUUAUUAGACCUUCUUUAUAUUUACUUUGGUUUCUUCGGGACAAAGAGGUCGUUUAUUGUGUCGAAUUUGUUGUGGUUGUCUUGGUCAUUUGUUAAAUUCUAUAUAAAUUUAGAACUUCAAUAAUGUAAAUAUAUAAUAUUUUAGUAGAUAUAUAAAUUUUACAAUAAUAAUUUACAAAACUAUUUGUGUGUGUGUGUGUGUGUAAUCAUUCUCUAGUGAGGGUAUUAAAGUGAAAAUGCUAGUAAAAAAUAAAAAAACAUAAAUUUUAAUAUACUAAUAAACAAAAAAUAUAUAUUUUUCAAUGUAUUGAAAUUAAUUUUUUUUCAUAUUUUGGUAACAAAAUGAGGAUGUCUUCACUAUAAAAUAAUUAUAUAUAUAUAAUCUUCUCAAGUGCAGGCGCCCUUAUUUUUUUAAUACGGACACACUCUUAAAUCGUACAGUUUAAGAUAAUUAGUUUUGAAUGAACUAUAAAAUCGUGCAAUUUAAAAGAGUUAAAAACUAAUUCUCUUAAACUGCAUAAUUUAAAAGUGUGUUCUCAUAAAAAAAAAAUGAUGGUGUCCGCAUUAGAGAAUAACUAUAUAUAGGAUCAUAAACUUUGUUCAAGUUUGAGAAAGUUGUUACGUCAUAUUGUACAAUAGUGUAAUGCCUAUUAUACUAUUACAUUAUGUGGCAUAAUAAUUUUUUUUAUUUUAAUAAAAUGCAGGAACCCUCACAGAAAAGUACUCAUAAUAUAUUAUUAAAAUGAUGGAAAAUUAUUAUGAUAUAUGGCAUAAUAAUAUCAUAAACAUUACACUAUUACACAAUAUGGCAUAACAAUUUUCCAGACUUUAAUACAAUGCGAAAACCCUCGUUAGAAAGUUUACAUAUACACACAUAACUAAGUUUAUAUAUACACACAUAAUAUUUGAUGUAAAUCUUAGUUAUAUAUACAAAUUGUAAGUUAAUUAUUAAAUAACUCAUUUAUUUUCUAAGUCUAUCUCAGACCUUGUGACAUUGAUCUUUUUCUGCCAUGUUAUGUUGGUGAAGACCGGUCACCUCAAUCCUACGAAGCUACUUCUCUGAUACACCCGUUGAAUAUUUUAAUACGGUUAUAUUUUAAUAUGAUUAUAAAUUUAAUACAACAUGAAAUUGACACAUCAUGAGCAUUAUUAGGGAUCCCGUUUCAUUUUGUCUGCUCUACCCACAAACAACUAAGUAUCCCAAAACUUAUCCCAAUCUGUAAAACGAAAUGAAGAAAUAAAUAGUUAAUAAAUAAGACCAAAAUUGAGUUUAUUACAACGAAUCAAAUAAAAUCUGCCACUUUUCUCCUUACAACGUACGAAUUAAACAUAAUAUUAAUUAACAAGUACAGAAGAAAGGCCAUUUCUUGGACGUUUGCUUUCCUUCUCAUUACAACACAUUAUAUAUAUUAUGUGGAAGUGAACAGCAAUCUUUGCUACUUCCUUCUGUAAGGGUACAGAAUGUCUUCCAAUGUCUCUUUUAUUUGGUUACCAACUUUAUUCACAUUUUUUGCCACGCCAGCUGCAACCAGUCCUGCAUUCCUUUUAAACCUGCACAUUUAGUUUAACACACAGUUUAACACACGAGAACAGACUUAAGAGGUUGGAUCUUUUAGCAAGUAUGAACUUCACUGGAAUGUCGAAAUUACAUCAACAAUUGUCUAAAAUUCAUCAAUUGGGUUUUGGCUGUCUUACCUGUUCCAGUACUCGUCUCCUGGAAAAGGUGCUGGCUUGUACGUUCGAGGUUGUGGUUGAGGUUGAGAUCGAGGUUGAGGAAAAGAAUGACUCUCUAAUGAAGGCAAAAUAGCAUGAACAAUUAGUUAAGCAGAAACAACCAAAAGCAUAAAAGUAACGGAAAAAUUAGUUGACUAAUAUUAGAAUCUCCUGUUAUGAAUGAUUUUAAUCACUUUGACGUAGAUGUAACUUUGAAAAUAUGAUAAAAACAGCCAGAAAGUCCAGCAAGAAUGAAACAAAAUAUUAAAGGAAAAAAGAAGAGCAACUCCACAUUCUUGUUGAAGAAUAAUGCAUAUAAUCAUUCUAUCAUGUUUUACAUUUGUGAAAUCAACGCCUCCACAUCUCAGUAGAAGAAUAGUGGCAAUUAAAAAUCAUUUGAAAUCAAUAACUAUUAUAAUACAUCUUUGGAGAUAUAAUGACCAAAUGCUGCAACAAUAUUUUCCUUUCCACUACCACAAAAACCAAUAAUAAUUUUCAAGGAUAUGCCAACCACCAACGUAGAUGCAUAAUUCUCCUCAACUCUGUGUCCAAGGCCCAAUCAAAGCACCUAACAUUUUUCCAGUAAAUCUGAUAAACUCGUUUAUAUAGAAGUGUUUCUUUCCUAAAUCUUCUACAACAAAUUAAACCUCAGGCAAGCCAAAGCCACAUUCUAGAAUGCAGAUAGAAUGAUCAUAACACUUCCAUGGCAAUGCAUGGUAUACAACUUCAGAUAAACUGAAAGUGUAAAUCCACAAGCCAAUAAGCUAUAUUAGUUUCAACAGGCACUCUGAAGUUCAUCUAGAGGUAAAACAUAUAAGUGUAUAACUAGGAGAGUAAGAGAACCUUUGCUCCAUUUUAAAGGGACAAGAAAAGAAACUCUCAAUACCUUCACUUUUACGAACAUGAGCAGGAACAUGGUUGGCAGUUGAAGGGCUUCUGUCCAACAGUACCUUAAGAAAAAAAAAACAAAUAAACAAAUUUUAGUUUAUCCCUUAAACAAAAAUUCAACUUGAUUUGAGAAGUAUAAAAGUCAUUGAAAUUGUCCAACACUAGAAAAUUGCGUAGACAAAACCAAGAUAAUAAAAGAAAUUUAUGUUUCUUUAUAAGACAAUAAAACAUUGAAUAGUUUUGAAUGGAGAAAGAUAAGCUACUACCCAAUGCUUAGCAGCUUCUAUAAAUACCGACCGCAUCCUAAAAUUUGCGAUGCAAGAGGUCCCCAGAGUUUCGGGGUAGAACAUAUCUGAAAGUAAACAAUCAGAAAAUGAGAUUAAAAAAAUGCAUCACCUCGAGACCAACACAGAAUGGCAGUUCUGCUUCUUUACUAUCCCGCUUAUCAGUUGAAGAAUCCUUGUUGUCCAGGAACACUGAGUAACCAACACAACCAUACUUGAAAUCUUUUAAGGUACGGCCCUCUUUGGAAGCUUCCAACUCAGUUUCUCCAACGAUGUACCCAGGGACUGCUCAAACACCUCAAAAUCAUGGAAUGAAUAAACAUACUUCUGAAGAAGUGAGAUGUCAAUAAGAUGUGUGCGUUUGUGGAACAAAGGGCCAAAAUUAAGCAGCAUAAUACACAAGAAACGCCAUUAGCAAUGUAUGUCAAUGGAAGUCUAAAAGUUAAGCAGCAUAAUAACAUGAAAGACAAUCGCAAGAAACACUUGAGCAUCAAUUGGAGCAAAUCAGAGCUAAUAUUAUACCAUUCUUAGCUUUAAAGUGCAACCUGGAAUACCAACCGGUCUCAUACAGUAUGCCAAUUAUCAGAAGUUAACCAAAACUUGCAAUCAUUUUGGGAUAUACAAAAUAAACAAUUUAGCGUUCAAUAAAACUCAGACCACAACAAGUGCAUAAGUCUAACGAAAUUCACGGAAAAUUUGAUCAGAGAUAUACAAUCAUAGCAACAAUUUAGCACCAAUACAGCCCAGAAACAAUAGAAGAAAAGCUGUAUGUCCUUUUAUUUCAUCAUCUCUAAGAACACACAAGUGCUUACAGCAUGCAAUGAUUAAUAAGCCUAACAUCCAAACUCACUAAUUCAUAUCACUCCAAUUGUCCCAUUAAGAAGGCAUCCAAAAUUUCAGCAAAUUUUCCCGUUCUUUCUAUUACGUUUAACUUCAAAUUUCAUAACCAAGGAUGAUCGAUUACACUAUCGCACCCGAAAUCAAACUGCAUCAAUGCGAAUAAACAUUAGCACUAAGUCUGAAUUAUCAUAAGUUUGGAUCAUAAAACCUCAAGCGUUCUUUUUUUUUUUUUCAUGAUUCGUAAGCUAACAAGCAAACAGAAUCAAGGCAAUCAAAAUAAAAUACAAAUAAAACAAACCCAAUAGAAGAAAGACCUUCAUUUAGGGUUCUGGGGAUGCCAACACAGAUGGGGUUGUGAGAAUUGGAUUUGAGAGCAGAAGAGUAAUACAAACAACCCUUGCAUGACUUCCCUUUCAGCAAUUUGCCCUGAUUAGUUUCCUUGUAAUUGCUUGAAUUAGGUUUAGGGUUUUGAUUUUGAUUUUGGAGUUGUUUAAUUUGCUCUUCUUUAUCUUCCUCCAUUGGAUUUGUCGAUUUUUCACUCUUUGCUUGCAACACCAACACAACACAAGACCAAACUGUUGAAAGUACUUGGCUCUUCCAAUAAAUAAAUAAAAUAAAAUUUAUUUCUGGCAAAAUUGAAUGGCAUUUGAGUAAAUUUUGUUCUAAAUUAUUUUAAAUCAGGAAAUAAGAUUUUUAGGUUUCAUUUUAUAUAUCUUACUAAAUAAAGAUUAUUUAAGUAAAGUUUUUGUUAGUGAAAUUUAUAUUCAAUAAAUUUUAUUUUGGUUAUCAAUGAAAAUUCUUAUUAAAAAUUAUAAAAUUACUUUUAGCGUGGGACUAUUAGCACUCCCAUAAUCUUUUUUCUUAACCCUUUUUUUGUGAAAUCUUAUUUUAAUUCCCAAAAUACCCUUUUUUCAUUUUUUCAGUUUCUUUUCUGAUUCAAAAAGAAAAAAAAAACAAUUUCUUCCAACCAACUUCGAGUGCAGAUUUUUUUUAACAAUUUUUUGAAUGAUUAAAGCAUAUAUAUUUAAUUGAAAAAAGAUCAUAUGUAUGUAUGAAUUAAGUAGAAUUAAAACUUAACAGUGGACUCAAAUAAUUAUUAUGUAAUUUUUUUGAUUAAAAAAUUAGAAUGCAAAAGUAUUUGUGAGCAAGCAGAAAAUGUAAGGGCCCGUUUGGAAUUAUUUUUAUGAGGUUUAAAAAUUUAAAAGUUAAUUUUAGUGUUUGGUAAAAAAAAAAUUAAGAUCAGUUUUAUCAAAAUUAAUUCCUCCUACAACGUAUUUUGAAAAGUAGAGAAGAAGCAUUUUUUAGAUUCUGAUUAGAAUUAAUUUUAUCCUUUAAUACAAUUUUAUAAAUAACCUUAAAAUUAUUAUCGAAUCCCAAAAUUAUCCUUUCAAAUUGGAAACUAAAUCAAUAUUCUAAUAAAUUUUUAUUAUAAUUCAUCAAUAUAAAUUUAUUAAUAUCAAUUUGUUGGUUGAAUUAUUAUUAAAUUUGUUUCACUAUAUUAUAAAUUUAAUUAUCAAUUGUUUUAAAAUAAAAAUAAAAAAAUAAAAUCAAUAUAUUAUUAAUUUUAUUUUUAGUAAAAAAUUAUUAUAUGUAUAUGUUUUUAUAUGUAUAAGUAAAUUUUAUCCUACAUUAUAUAUAUUGUACUCAUUUAUUUUCUUUCAACAAUUUAAAAUAAAAUUUAUCAAAUGUUGAUAAAUUUUAAAAGUAAAAUUUAUCUAACACUUAACCAAUUUUCUUCACAAUUGAUUAUUUUCAUAACAUAACUAACAAAAAUUAUUUAAAAAAUUACAGUAUUUCCAAACUAACCCGAAGAGGCUUUGGUGCAGUUGAAUGGAUGUAAAAAGUUGGAGGGACAAACAUAAAGAUAUACUUAGAUUUAUUUUGUCUAAUUGCAUUAGGAGAGGAGUUUUAUAAGGAGCACCGACGGGUGCCAAUAGUUAAUAUGGAUGGCAGGCAACCUUUCCACAGAGACUCCAAAUGAUUCUGUGAUCUUUGACAUUUUUUUUUUAAUUCUGUUUCAGCAACAUAAAAAAAGAUGAAAAGAAGAUUGCAGAUUAUUAAAAUGAAUCAACCACACGCAGAAAGAUGAUAUACUACUGGCACAUCAACUCAUUUGGGAUCACAGAACCCAGAAUAAUCCUAAACCCGGAUCCAUCACCACAUGCCGUCACCAACAACCUAUUUAUACCAAUCAGCUAACAAUUAAAUAAGAAAAAUGAAAUUUAAAAAAAAAAUCAGGAGAUGGAAGAAUGGACAAUGUUUAUGGGAAGUGAGAUUCUACAGCUACAAAAAGUUAAAUACUAUGUAUAAGCACUGAGAGACAUAAUGUGAGGAAAUUUCUUCAGAUGAAAAUAUACUGUACAGAUAUGACUGCUCUAUCCUCCGCUGUAAGUAAAUACCCAAAACUCAAGUGUGUAGAUAAUCACAUUGAGAUCCUUUCUUGCAAUGCCCACUCUCAUGGAAUUUACACACUCUCUGCCCUUUAUUAAAAUGAGGUCUGGAUGAAUCUCCACCUCUGCUGCCAAAUGACGGCUGUCUAUUCCAAGGUCUACCUCCACCAUAACCAGAAUCUCCACCGUGAGAACCCCGAUCUCUUUGAUUCGAGAACCUGUCUCCGCCAUUGUUCUGGUCACUACCCCACAUGCCUGGAUUCCCUGCCGGUGCCCCCCAACCAGGAUUUCCAUUUCCAGGUGGUGGCCCUUGCCCAGGUGCAACCCACCCGGUAUUUGCAUUUACGGGUGAUGGUCCUUGACCAGGCGGUGCCCAACCAGGAACAGCAUUUUUAUGUGCUUGGCCCUGUGCAGGUCCAGCCCAACCUGAAUGUGCAUUACCAGGAGCUUGCCCUUGGGCUGGAGCUCCCCAGUUCAUGUUUGUACUUGCAGGUAGUUGUCCUCCCCAACCCAUGCUAGGAUUUGCAGGCAUUUGCCCCCAACCAGUAUUCUGACUCUCUGGCACCUGUCUUGGCACAGCACUUUGAUUACCUGCAACACCCAUACCCCAAGGAGUGAUGGGUUGAGCAGGAGACUGGACAUUUGAUUGACUAGGAACAGGAGCUCUCCAUGAAUCAGAAGCUGGCAUACCUGAUUGGCCUGACACAGGGAAAACUCCAGGUGAAUUACCUGUAUUGAAGGUUGAAGCAUAAGGUUGAGCAUAAGCAGGAGACUGAGCAGGUAUAGAAACUGGAUUAUUUGGCUCUAGCUUCUGGGAUGAAGCACUUCCCCAGCCUUGAGCUCCAGUCACAGGUUUGGGAGAAGGAGCCAUCAUCUCCGGCCUAGCAGCCAAACCAGAACCCCAUCCAUGACUUUCAACAGGUGUAACAUUUGCACUCACACUUUGAACCAAAGUUUGGAGAUUAGCACCAAUACUUUUUAUAUCGACACCAGGAUUCACAGAGGCAACAACCGAACUGGAUGCAGGUAGCUGGUGGGGACUGACCAGCACCCUCUGUGAUUCAACUGUUUCGGGCUUAGAUGCCGAAGUCACUCCAUGAGUGAUAUUUAAACCAUCUACAUUAACACUCAAUUUUGAUGCAGAAGAUGAAGUAGAAAAAUUUGGCGAUUGCCCAGUCUCCAAACCAGUUGCAGGAGGAGAUUGCUUCCCUACAUUGCCUGGAAAUAGAUUGGUCACCAUGAGAGAACCAGGUUGAUUAUUAGGGGUGGGGGACCAUUCUUUUUCAAAUGUUUUCCCCUUAAUUUCACCUGCAGUGCUUUGAGUUGGAGUCGGAGACGGGAGGUUUGUCUCAGAUGCCCAACCAUCUCUAUAUUGCUUCGGAAGCUCAAGCGAAGGAGUGCCGCCAGACUGCCCUGAAGAACCUGGAGUACCGUGCUGAUUCCAAGCCGUACGAUUCUGAUCAAAGUUUGAACUUCCUCCAACAGGAGUUUCCAUUCCUGGCUGUGAAGAUGCUCCAUGUGAUUUCCCAGAGUAUGGGAUUGUUUGAGACAGACUGAUGUCCACCAAGCGAGGAUCUUUAUGAAACUUGCCAGCCAAUGCAUCAGUCAGAAGUAUAGAGUCAUCCUGCUUCUCGUUAGAUCUCCAAAUUCUCAAAUUUGCAGGGAAAUAUCCAGUGUUGUUCCAUUUCCGCAGCUGGACCAUGGAAAAUGGCCCUUGAACUUUUCCAGAUGGAUCCUGGUAAUGCCAUAUUUUCUCUGAUUCAUUAAUUUUGGGAGCAGAUUGUGUCACACCUGUAGAGGCAGAAGCUGGUGAUUUUUCUGCAACGGCCCUAGAAAUUGAUUCUGAUAAUACUACAGAAUUGUUUCUAGCACCAGUUUCUAGAUUGAGUGCAGUUCUCGGUUUAUCCCAACUGUUAAAUUGCUCAGUUUCUCUAUCUCUUGCUUGAUUCCAUAAACUUUCAUUCACUAUCUCGCCACCUCCAACAAGAUCAUCCCCUUUGUUCGAGAAGCCUUUAUUAGAUAUGUUUCUAGUCAAAUCUUUAAUCCCACCGGAAUAAUUCCUUGUCCCACUCAAGGAAUCAUUUGAAAAAGAACCUCCUUUUCCAGGAGAAAUUGGCUCCCUUCCUCUCCUGCUAAAGCCACUACCUCUUGGUCUCAUAUAGUCUGCAUGCACACGAAACAAUGUUACAAGAGGAAUGUAAACUAUGAUAUUUGUAUAAACAGAAGAAUAAGUUCAAAAUUCAAAAGAAGUCUAAACAUGCCUUGUCUCUUGUCAUCUGUUUCACCAUCAUCCUCUUCAGACUCAUAGCUUGGAUCCAUAUUAGGGUCUGAAUGUAUUUCUGGAAUUUCCUCCAGUCUACGCUGACGCUCUUCUGGCGUCUUUAGAAGUUGCAACUUCUCCACACAUUCUCUAAGCGUGAACAUUGGUCAAGGAAUACUAAACAGUUUUCCAAAAUCACUCUAUUAAUUGUGAAUUCACUUGCAUAAACAUUCAAUUAUUGAUGAACAGGAAUUAAUGUUGUCAUUUUCUUAGCUAAACUACAUGGUGAGAAAUAAAACAAUAAGCUGGACUGAUGGAGAGAUAAAGCAUAAAGAAAAGAAUGGACAAAGACAAGAUUGGGAAAGAGGCAAGAGGAGAAUUUAGAACUAAAACACAAUAUCCAGACUGCAUGAAAGAUUAUAACAUAAUAAUAAUAAAGUUGCUCAUAAACUCAUAAAGUAAAGGAUAUUCCUUUCGGCGCCCUAAAUCACUAGCUCGGUCACGGAGAUGACUGAGACGCAAUAUCUCUGCUUCCAUCCACUGCAAUGGAACAAGAAGUAUUACACACCAUAUGAAAUAAAACAGACAAAGGGCAAUAGCAAUGUCAUGUUGUCAGCUAUCUACUUCCAUUUCUUUUAUUCGCUUUACUCAAAUUUUAAUGGUGAAGUUUCAGAUAUUGAAUCAGGAAAAUUUAAAAUAUUGAUUUUAAGGAUGUAUCAUGAUGAUCUGUAACCUUCUCUCCAAAUUCUAUUUCUGGCACUCACUUCACAAUCUUUUCUUUUUUCUUUUUUUCCGUUUGGGGGNNNNNNNNNNNNNNNNNNNNNNNNNNNNNNNNNNNNNNNNNNNNNNNNNNNNNNNNNNNNNNNNNNNNNNNNNNNNNNNNNNNNNNNNNNNNNNNNNNNNUUUUUUUUUUUUUUUUUUUUUUUGGGGGGGGGGGGGGGGGGUGGAAGGGGAAGGGGAGGAAUUAGAGAAAGACAAAGACCAGAAUCAAAAUAAUCCUUGAAAUCCUGUAGAUUUUAUUGGCACUUGCUUGUCCCUGAAACCAUUUACUUUGAACCUUAUAUUAAUUUACCAUUAUAUAUCUAAGCAUUAGAUCCCCAAAACAUUGAAACCAUAAUAAUUACUUAGUACUAUGCACGUGAGUUAAAAUAUUUAAUGAAGCAGCGUUCAUAGUGUUCUCACGCAGCAUUUACAUUCUCCUUCUGCAGUACAAAUAUAAAACAAAAAAAUCUUAAAAUAACACUAAAAAUGGACUAUUCUGAACCUUUGCAUAGCUUUAAAUAACAAGAAAGGGGUCUUGCAAUCCUCUUAUUCAUUAUCCCAUAUAUUCCCUCCACUUUGGCACCAGGACUUAACCGAAGGUUGAAGUAAAGACUUUUCUCAACAAUUGGUGAGUGGAAGUGAGCAGAAAGGACAGGACGUUGGCAAAACAUUGCUUUCUUGCCAUAAUAUGGACAAGACUCCCUCAGCCCGUGGUUAAUAAUAAGAUUUGAAAUGUUGGAAUUUAGGUAAUUUAUUCUCAUAUAUUCGGCAUUUAGUUUCUCAUCCAUCUUCUAAAUUUAGUUAGAAAUGCUUUCUAAGCAUCUAUAUUUUACACUCUUCCACUAUUUCUUGGAAGUAAUUUCCUCUGGCGAUACAUGUUAUAAGCCAAAGUUAUCUAUUUGACUUCUUCAGUACUGAUAAUUGGCAACCACCAUGAAGAAAAUAAAAAUCAAGUUGAUUUAUUGAAUAAUCAAAGAAAAUGUGCUGGAAAUAGAAUAAACUUCCUGAAGUGCCAUGGUUUUUUCCCUGAAUGCGCAGGAAAUCAAAAUCAAGUUGAGUUAAUCCACUAUUAAAUAACACACAAUGAACUUACAUCUUUGACUCUGACUUCCUGGAGUGCCAUGGCUUUUUCCUGAAUGUCUCCCUGCAAGGAACCAAUUAAAACAUUUAAAGAAAGAACAAAUAUAUAAUUCAUGGCUGAUUCAAAGCAGAAAUGGAACGUUGUGGGCUUACCACAGUUAGACGGUUGAUAAGCCCACACUUUAUGCUCUGGCGGAGACGCUUGCAUUCAUCCUAACAGAUCAACAGAGGAAACAUGAAUACAAAAAAGAAAUUACAUGGACAUAUAAUGAAAUAGACACAUAAACACAAUGAAUCUCCAUAACACAAUCUGUAAUCCACAAUGCUAUGACAAACACCCCUCACUAUUUGUAUAUUUGUUUACCUUUUAUUUAUUUUUCUUAAUAAUGACGUGUAGUUGUACACUCUAUUUUAACUCCCCAUCGUAUGUUAUUCAUGAGGAACAAGCUACUUAACUAGCUACUUAAAAAGUGUUCAAGUUAGAAGCCUUCUAAUUAUUCCCAUUUAUGUGACUUUCUGAAUCCAAAAAAGCAGAUGGCAAAUUCAUCACUUUCUUGGCAUGAAGGCAAACAAAAGAGACUAAAUGGAGAUAUAACAUGCAUGAAAUGUUCAUUAAUCACCUCUGUAAACUCUUGAUUUGAGAUUAUAUCAAUUGAUAUGACCUCCGUCUUGUUCAAAUUCAAUAUUUCUAAGAGGAUAUCGGUUGUCCUUUUGCCCACUUUAUAUGGUUCAGUACCUUUGCUUGUACCUGUGCAGAGUAUCAUGAUAUACUUGAAAAUGAAAAGAUUUCAAAAAAGACACUCCAAAAAUAAUAUGGCUGAUGAAGAGAUAUCUAGACAUGUACCUGUAACUUGUACUAGCCUAUACAAAUCUUGUUUUUGGUGAGCACUACCAGAUAUUCUGAUUCUUGCAAAGGUACCAACAACUUUGUCGUGAAAAGUUUCAGUAUCUUCUAGCAACUCUUCCACAAAAUUACGCCGCAAAUAAAUCAGAUUGAUGUUGUGCAUAUCGAUUGCAGCAUAAUCAUCAACAUUAGAUUGAAGUCCUCUGUGAUCACCCUUUUUACGUGUCUUGCGUUUCUUAUCUUUACCCCCCUUUACUAAGGCAUCAGAGCUCCCAUCAGCCUCCAACAGAUUUGAUUCAGUAUCAACAACACUCCCCUGAAGUUCAUCCACCUGAGAAUCCUCCUUUGUGAGAAAGUGAGAUUCAAGUAAUUUAAGCAUUUCAAAAUGCCCCACACGUGGUUUCCCAAACAAAUUUUGGAGGCGUGCAUCACAGAUAACAUGAGUUCUACGUUGAGGAUCCCGGAGCUUAUAUUUUUUUAUAUAUUCCAAAAGGAGUGUCUGAACAUCAAACUGAGAUAGAGCUGAUUUGUCGCCAUUUCUCAUGUGCAUAACCAAAUCCAAGAGCUCCUUCGAUGCCCACUCAACACUUCCAUCAGUAGAUGCCCCUUCACCACCAGAUAAUUUCACUGUUCCUGGUGACACCUCAUCCUUGGCACGGGAUUUGGACCGUUUCUUGGCCUUCCUUCUUUUAGAGACAGUUGCCUCUGCAUUUCCAGAAGAACUGUCUGAACCAUGUCCCCCAUCAACAUUAGCAUCAUAAAGUUCGUCAGGUGAACUCUGUUUACCAGCAUGUGUAUCAGAUCCCUUCCAAGGAUUUUUUGCACGUGCAAGUUCAUCUGAGCUCAAAGAAAGCCUCACUUUUAAAUCAAGCCAAUAAUCCUUAAAGAGAUACUCCCAGCUAUUUUUGUCAUCAAAAUCCACUUGGGCCUACAAGAUAAAGAAGGAAGAGACUAUAAAUGGAAAGUUAAAUCAUCAGCAAAUACUAGAUUGUUACAAGAUUCAAACUCAUUACGAUAUAGUCAGCUUCUGUGCUACUCAUAGAAAGUUUUCAAUAUGUAUAUCAUACUGCCCUGACAUGUUUUGAUUUUCCAACGAAACAGUCAAAUCAACUGUACACGAUCAAUGCCAAAAUCUCCCACCAAUCAAUAGCCUAGUGCCAAUAUUAGCUGCUUGCCAUUCACCAGAAUAAUUAAAGGAAGCCCAAGGACACCAACUUGGGUGAGGUCACAGAUUCAACAUUUCAAAUAAAUCAAAUCCUAUUAAAAUGAUAAACUCUUCGAAUACAUGUAUCAAAUAAAAUUGUUCAGAGCUAUAAAAUCUUCAUAUGAGAUGGCCCGCAAAAGAAACAGUAGCAACGAUGCUUUUUUUUUUUUUUUUUUUGAGGGGGGGAAAGCAUACGUACCGUUUCCUUAUUUCCCUGCUCAUUCCUUUCAAUCAACAUCACAGUUUUCAUGCAUGUCUCACAAAAGCCCUUGUUACCUCUCACACAUAAGAUGACGGCAUCUUUGGUGCACCCUUUGCACAAGGAAAACGUACAAGUGUAGCACAUAUAGUAUGCAUUCUUCUCGCAAAUGCUGCAUAGAUGCCAACCUGAAUAAUAAAUAAAUAACAACAUUCCAAUUAGAUAGGCAAAUAACCCAUGUAAUAGCCAUGUUUUAACAGGGGAAUUUAAAAAAACUAUAAAAAAAAAAAAAAAGACAAGCACAGCAAAGAUAUGAAGAUUUAAGGUCCUCGAAUUAACUAUUAAACAAAAGAGAGAGAGCACUAGCAAUAGCAUGGGCCAGCAGUCACAUGCAUCGAAUAUUGAAGAGGAAAAGUACAAAAGCCCAUAGAUAUAACAAAAAUCAGAUAAACAAAAAUACAUGCAAGAAACAACAAGUGAUAGCAAAUGUAUUAAAGCAAUCCAUCAAUUCCUUCAAAUAGCAAAGAAAAGAGGAUAAUCGCAUAAUACACAAACAGUAUCCAAAUAUGACCUUGACCCAGUUUCAGAAACAUUGGAAAUAGGAAUCUGAAUUUCCCCAUUGCUAUAAAAAGUUCAUAGGUGGAUUUCAAACUGUCAAGGAAGUUUCAGAAGUUUUAGCUAUGGUACUCGCUUCAUGCAUAUAUACAAUAAAGUGAAUGUAACCUUGAACACCUUCAUCCCAUAUUUGAUUGUUUGUGCCAUCAGACAAUUACCCCAAAAUGUAUAAUCUUGGACAUUGUGAACACAAUAAAUUCAAACCAAGUAGUAGUCUAACAAUCUCACAAGAAACUUUUUCUUUAACAGACCAAAGGUUAAAUGGUGAUUUGGCUACGUUAGCAUUAUGAUUACCACUUCAAAGUCAAAAUGAAGAUGCCAGAUUGAAGUCAAAUAUAUUUGAAAGUAGUUGCAAAGAACCAGUUGGUUGGCUGAUUAGAUGGUUCUUAUGAAUCAACUGGGCAAUGUUUACACACAACAAAAUUAGACUUGAGUUCUCCUUUCCCUUCCUAAAAUUAUUGUUAUUUCUUAACACAAAAAUAGACAUUUUCCAUUGCCAAUUUCAAAGCAGAAUCAUGUUCAGACUUUCUUUUUUAAAAAAAUUGUCACUGUAGACCAAAACAAUAAGUGUAAGUUCAUUUAAGACGAAGAAAUUUAGGAGAGUGUAAAUUGAAGUCAAGAAAAAAACUUGUCAGUGCUGGCAAUCCAUCAAUUAGUUCACCAUGACAACAAAGAGCAUGAACCGACCUUCUCCACAAGAGGCAGAACAUAAAUUCAACAAAUGAAACAUAAAUGUAUUCUCUUAGUUAGUUCAAAUGAAAAAGCAUUUAAGGCUUAUACUGAACACUCUCUUGCAUAAAGGUGGCAGUGUAACACUAUUGUUAACAACUGAUCUUGAGAACCGCUCAAAAUCAAAAUAAAGCUAACGAUAUAUUCACUGAGUCAUAAUACAUGCACGGCAUCGUUCCAAAAAUCACAUAAUUCCAAACUUGCCACACAUUUAGCAAGCUUCUAACAAAUAUAGAUACCAAAGAACUGUAACUUGUAGUUUAACAAUUGACUUCCGGAUCUUCAAUGUGUUAUGGAUCCCCAAUGUUGAACCACUAAAAGCUUAUUACAAUCCAGGGUAGUAAUCAUGAUUUUGCACUUUUACUUGACAGUGGAAAUUACCAGUAUUGACAAUUGCCUUUGGAACUCCAAAAAAUUUAAACACUCCUAGUCAUCAAAGAAUAGAGUACACUUCACAUGAAGCACAAUAAACCAACUUCAUAAGUUUGCAAAACUAGAACAUUGUGCUGGGAAUAUUGAAGAUUUUACUUCCUGUCCCUUCACACAAGUCCACCCCUGCAAGCUUUGCUGUCGAGUAGGUCACACCUUUUGCAAAGAAAAGAGGAAGCAACAACUUCAAUACUUAUAAAAGAACUUGUGUGAAAAAGAAAUAAGAGGAACAAGGCACUGCCAGGAUGAAGGCAUCAACGAAUGUAUUGAAGUGUUCCUAUGGUAAACUCUAUUUACAUUUCUUGGUUUCAAAUACUUGUGGUUAGCAGUAGAAACUCAGUUUCAUAAUAAAAUUCAUCAUAAACUGGGUUUCAAAGCAAAAGUCUGCAUCACCAAGAAGUCAGUGGCCACAAAAGACCAAAUGCAUGCAAAAUGCUAGAAAGUAAAAACAAAAAGAACAAAGAGAAUGAUGAUAUACAACUAAUUGAAUGUUGAAUAAAAACAAAAGAAAAUGACACAAUCAUGCAAACACUCACCACAAUUCCAUCUACCCUUAGCUCGAAAGAAGGCCUCAUCGCGAUUAACACAUGAAGGAUGAUAUGCCUUUGGGCAUCCCCUAUAAACCCAACAUCAAAAACCCCCAAUCAGGAUUAAAUUACGUGAAAUAAAAAACAACUAAAAAAAACAAAUAAAAAUAUUGAGGAAGGCACUCAUAAUGUCACCUGCGAUCACAGAGGACAAGGUCACCACCAUCAAAGCAAAUAAAACAAACAUCCUCCUCAGAUUUCUUCUUUGAAGGAGCUUUCCCAGGAGACUUGGAAUUCUUCCCAACUCGCUUCCUCUUCCCUCCAACCAUUGUACUCACUUCCUCCACAUCAUCACCUGUUCCCAUCUCCUCUGCUGUCUCAGCCUUCUCCAUUUCAUCUCCAAUGUUAGCUCCAACCUCCAAGGUUUCUUCCCCCACAUCACCCAUCUCCAUCUCAUCUGUCUCAGUGACCUCCAGAAUUUCAGUUUCUUCUGCGGCUUUCUCCAUUUCCUCCUCCACUUCAGCUUCUCCUCCUGCCACAUCGGUAAACUCCAUCUCCUCCUCUUGCACCUCUGUUUCUUCUGCUACAUUACCAACAUCAAUCUCAUCUGCUAUUGUUGCCACUUCCGUCUCCGUCACUGUCACAUCUGCCACCUUCUUCUCCUCAUAACGCAUCGUUUCCUUUGCCAAAUCAGCCACCUUUAUCUCUUUCUCCUCGUCCUCUGCCACAUCAACAACCUUUGUCUCACCUGCAAUCUCACUAUCCUCAGCUAUUUCUGCCCUUCCUUCAGCCACCACUGCCACAUCAACAGUCUCUGUUUCCUCUGUAACAUCAACUACAUUUGGACAACCCACGGUCUCCCUAUUCCCUGCAAUUUCUGCCCUUUCUUCCAUGAGGUCAUCCACAAUACCAGUCUCCUCUGCCACAUUAUCCACCUUCUUUUCACCCUCAGUCCGCGACUCUGCUGCCACAUUAUUCACCUUCAUUUCAUCCUCAGUCUGCGCCUCUGCUGCCAUAAUAUCCCCUUUUUGUUCGUCCACAAUCUCCUUUGCCUCUGUAACAUCAUCCACCUUCGUUUCAUUUUCAUUCUCUAUCUGCGCCUCGACUGUCACGUCAUCCCCCUUUUGUUCAUCCACAAUCUCCUUCUCCUGCUCCGCCACAUCAACCCCCUUAAUUUCAGCCCCGACAUCAACCUCCUCAAACACCUCAGCCUUUUCUUCUUUUGCCUCUGCCACGUCAUUCACGCGCUUCUUACCUUCCGUUUCCCCCUCGUCAAUCACAUCCUCUUCGGCACCCUCACCACCACCAAUGGCCGUUGAAGGCACAACCAAAUCGCCGCCAUUCACCACAUCCUCAGUAUUAGCAACAACAUCCCCAUCCUCUUCACCAACCACCGCAGCAGUCACCACUGGCUCCGAGUCACGUGACUCAUCCCCUCCAGAGAACUUCGACUCGUCCAACUCAGCCACAGUCUCGCUCUUCUCCACAAACUCAUCAUCUAAUAUCUCUUUCCCAUCUCCCAACGAUUGCUCUUUCGACGUUAGUUGUAGCGACUCGCUCAACUCGGCCAUAGCUUCCGAUUCGCAUUGCGGCUCGGUUAUUCCCUGAACCGCAUCGUUGGAGUCCGUAACUGUCGCUGCUGUUGCGGUGAAAUUAUUCGAGUCAUCUUCGACUUGAACAGAAGGGUUCGUUAAUUUCGAAGCUUCUUCGUCUUCGUUCUCCAUCUUAGAGACUACAGUAUUCGAUUCAAAUUUGAGAAAACCCUAGAAAUUGAAAUGAAACCCUAGGGUUUUGGGAGCAAUUUGUGAUUUUUAUUUUUUUUCCUUUGGAUUUUAGUUAAAAAUAAAAUAAAAUAAAAUAAAGAUUAUGUAGAAAGUGUGACAGGGGGGAGAGAAGGAAGAGAGAGUUACGCAAGAGAAUUUGACGCUCUCUAGAGAGAGAGAGGAUUUUGUUGCCUCGUACGUGUGAUUUUUUAAUGGACGAUACUAUCCCUAAUCCGGUGACUUCAUGACUUUUUUAACCCCCAAAAUGCUGUGGGGCCCCAGUGAUGGUUGGUGAUUAUUCCGUGGUCCGUGUCCAUGUGUUUACCCGCGCUUGAAGGACUUUCGCAACCGUGUGAUCUGAUUUUGACUUCUAAUUUCAUUUCUGAGAUCGUGACCUCAUCAUACUUGGGAUUUAUCGGUUCUGACAUUUUGUCAAAAACAUUCAAGAAGUUAUGCACGUAUUUUAUUUGUUUUACAUUUCAAAAUAAGUAUUUGAUUGUGAUUCAUGAACUACUCAUGAUAUGUUCUGUUUUAUCAUAGUUAAAAGAAAAUUAUUUUAUGGCAUUAUAACUAAUUAUAAUUUAAUAAAUAAAAUCAUACUUUUGUGUGGGCAGUAUUAUUUUUCAAAGAGUUUUUAAAAAUAAAAUAUUGUUAUGAAUUUAGAGCUAGCAAAAUUUGAUACAAGUCAUCAAAUUUUUAUUAAAUGAGUCGGUUCAAGUCUACACAAUUAUAUAUAAAAUUUUACAUACAUAAUGUUUUAUUUAUAAAAUUCUAAAUAUAAUUAGAAUUUUAAUAGUAUAAAUUUAUAAUAUUUUAAUAGACAUAUAUGUGUUGAAACGUUGACAAAAUUGUUGGUAUUUAGCACCUGUUAAUACUGAGGAUGGGGAUGUUGACAAAAUUUGGUGACAAAUUGGCCAAAGUUGGCACCGACUUUGGAAAUUUGACACAUGCAUGUGGCUAAGUAUGCAAAGCUUGAAAAGUUGGCACAAACCCUUAAAAAUUUAGAUGAAGCAUGUGGUUGGAAUUGUGAAAAUUGGAGCCAAAGGAGUUGGUGAAGCAUGGGACAAUUUGACAAAUUCACAACAACUUUGACAAUUUGAUAAAUUGUUGGUGAACGCCGAAUUUGUAAUAGUGCAAAAUAUUUCCUAUAAAUAGAGGGAGUUUUUUCAUUUGUUAAGCAUCCCAAAAUUGUUAAGCUUAUAAGUUUCUAAGCUUUUGAGAGAAGUGAGAGAAGUGUAUCUGGAGAAUUUAUCUUUCUUGUAGAGUGUGAGAGUAUUGGGUAUAUUUGGGUUUCUGGGAAGUGUGAUUCGUUACUCAAAUAUUUGUACUCUAUUAAUUGUUAAAUAGACAAUUAUUCUUUCUUACCUCCGUGGAUGUAGGUUUAAUUACCGAAUCACGUAAUUCUUGUGUCCUUUAUUUUUCUAUAAUUAUUUUGUGCACUUGAUUCCGCAUUCCGCGCACAACAAGAGGUAUCAAAGCCGACAGUUCGUACUUGGGGGGAUACGGUACUGUUCAAGUAUACGGUACUAUUCCCAUAUACGGUAUUGUUCACGAAUACGAUAGAGAUGGCCAUUUGUACUUGGGAAACAGUCUAUUGUAAGUAGUGUGUAUUUUUGCAUGUCUAAGAAAGUUCUGUCAAUAAAGACGAUAAGAGUCUAAAGAUUCUGGUUUUUAAUUGGGACUGAGUUUCCGUCCAGUCUCCUGAGAACUUUCUUGGUGCAUUUAUUCACGCGAAAUUAACAUCAUAGAGACUGUUUUUUGAAGUGGAAAUAGUUCAUUGAGAAAAUGGUAGAAGGUGAAACUUCCAGAAUUGAGGAGAGAUCUACCGAGACUAUUUCAGGAGACACUUCAGGUGGGAAGCGAGAUUUGUCAAAUCGCUAUUUAGCACCUGUUAUAGGAGGCCAGAAGAUCGAUGUUGAAAAUUUUGAUGGGAAAAUCAACUUCGGCAUGUAGAGGUGCGAAGUUAUAGAUGCCCUUAUUCAAAUCAAUUUGGAUGUUGUUCUGAAAAAUAAAAGACACUUGUAUGAUGAAGAAAUUUGGGAUCGUAUGAAUAAAAAAGCAUGUGGUCAGAUCAGAUCUUAUUUGACUAAGGAGGUGAAAUACUUGGUGAAGGAUGAAGAGUGUGCGAUGACUUUGUGACUUACAUUGGAGGAGAAGUACUUGCUAAAAAGUCCUGAAAAUCGUCUUCAUGCAAUGAGCCAAGUAAAUGGCUUUCGAAUGAAGCCUGAGGUGUCAAUGCACGAUCAUGUCUCAAGAUUUGAAAAGUUACUUGCUGAUUUGAAGAGUCUUGAUGAAGAUAUUAAGGAUGAAGUCAAGGCUAUGAUUCUGUUACACUCACUACCAGAGGAAUAUAACCAUUUUGUGACUACUUUGAUAUAUGGAAAUAGUGUGAUUGUCUUCAAAGAUGUUUGCACAGCAUUGACUAACUUGGAGAUUUGGAAUAAUGAUAAAAAUUCUGAACGAGCAUCGUCUGAAGCUUUGUUAAGUAGAAAUUGAGCGAUGGAGAAAAAGAAAUAGUGUGGUGGAAAGAAUUCUCGAUUCAAAUUAAGAAGCAGAAAUAUUGCUCGAGAUGAGUGUGUCUUUUGUCAUAAAAAAUGUCAUUGGAGAAAAGAUUGUCCAAAGACUCAAAAGAGAGAUGAGAAGAAACCAGCAGCAACAAACAUGGCACAAAAAGAUGAACACUCUGAUUAUUCACUAAGUAUUACUCCUGCAGUAUACGUGGCUAGUUCGAGCAAGUGGAUACUUGAUACUGGAGCAACAUGUCAUUUGUGUCAUAUUAAGGAAUGAUUUAUAGAUUUUCGUAAUCUGGAAUCCAGUGCAGUUGUGAUGAGGAAUGAUCAACCUUGUCGCAUAAUGGGGAUAGGAACAAUUCGGCUCAAAAUGUUUGAUGGAAUGGUCAAAGAACUCAAAGAGGUUAGAUUUGUUCAAGCUUUAAAGAAAAAUCUAAUUUCUGUGGGUGCUUUGAAAGCUAAAGGCUGCAAGGUUACCAUUGAAGAUGACACAAUAAAGUUUACACAUAGGGCUAUGAUGAUUCUGUAAGGGAUUCGGCGUCACAAUCUGUACUAUUUAAAGGGAGGUAUAACUGAUGAAGCAAAUGUUGUUAAGGCGCACAGUGACACCACCAAGCUAUGGCAUGUACGACUAGAACAUGCUGGAAGAAGUCUUUGCAAACUUUGAUGAGGCAUAGACUCUUAAAAGGUAUCAAAACUUGUAAAUUAAAUUUCUGUGAGCAUUGUGUAGUAGGCAAAAAAACAAGGGUCAAGUUUGGUACAGCUAAUCAUGAUACUCGUGAAAUCCUUGAAUAUGUUCAUAAUGAUGUAUGGGGACCAACAAAGACUGCAUCAAUUGGUGGAAGUCAUUAUUUUGUUACAUUUGUUGAUGAUUUCUCUAGACGUGUGUGGGUGUACACCAUGCAAGCAAAGGAUGAGGUUUAAAGAUUUUCGUGAAAUGGAAGAAAUUGGUGGAGAUUCAAACUGACAGAAAGAUCAAAGUAUUACGAUCUGAUAAUGAGGGUGAAUAUACUUCUGAUCCAUUCUUGCAAGUAUGCCAGAACGUGGGUAUUAAAAGACAUUUCACGAUGAGACAUACUCCGCAACAGAAUGGUGUGGCUGAGCGUAUGAAUUGUACUUUACUGGAGAAGGUACGGUGUAUAUUAUCUAAUGCUGGUUUAGAUAAAAAGUUUUGGGCUGAAGCUGUGAGCUACGCAAGUCACUUGAUAAACCGGUUGCCUUCUGCUGCAAUUGGAGGUAAAACUCUUAUGAAAAUAUGGUCUGGAAAGCAUACACAAGACUAUGAUUCCCUUCGUAUAUUUGAGUGUUUAACUUAUUAUCAUGUCAAAGAUGGUAAAUUGGAUCCUCGUGCUAUAAAAGCUAUCUUUGUGAGAUUUAAAUGUGGAGUAAAGGGCUUCAAGCUUUAAGAUCUCAAAGAUAAAAAAGUUUGUGUGUAGUAGAGAUGUCAUAUUUGAUGAAGCUUCAAUGAUGAAAGUUUCAAGUUCUCAGCAGGUGGAAAACAAGACCAAAGGGUAUUGCAGCGGGUGGAGUUUGAUGCAACUCCAUAUGUACCAGUUAGUUUUACAUCAGAGAAUGGUUUAACUAUAGAAGUGACACCUAGAGUUGAAGAAGAGAUUAUUUCUUCUAAUGUCCCACAAAAUAAAGAAACAAUUGAUGAUGUAGAUAAUAAUGAUUUUAUAGCAACAAGGAGGCCAAUAAGAGAGAUAAAGAAACCCGGAUGGCUUACUAAAGAUAUAGUGGUAGCCUAUGCACUUCCAGUUAUUGAUGAUGACAUCCCCAACACUUUCAGUGAAGCAUUACGCAGUAAUGAAAGUGAUCAAUGGAAGUUAGCCAUGGAAGAAGAGAUGAAAUCUCUCCAUCAAAAUCAAACUUGGGAACUUGUAGAGUUACCAAAGGGAAAAAAAGUUAUUGGCAAUAAAUGAGUGUACACCAAGAAGCAAAGAUCCCCAAAUCAAUCAACUCCUCAAUACUAGGUAAGGCUCGUUACAAAAGGUUUUGCUGAAAAGGAAGGUAUUGACUACAAUGAAGUUUUCUCUCCAGUUGUAAAACAUACUUCCAUUUGUAUCCUACUUGCCUUAGUUGCAGAAUAUGAGUUAGAGUUAACUCAAUUGGAUGUUAAGACGGCGUUCUUACAUGGAGAUUUGGAGGAGGAAAUCUAUAUGAUUCAGCCUUAUGGUUUCAGAGUUGCUGGAAAGGAGAAUCAUGUGUGUAGGUUGAUUAAAUCUUUGUACAGACUGAAGCAAUCACCAAAGUAGUGGUACAAAAGAUUUGAUCAAUUUAUACACUGGCAGAAAUUCACCAGAAGUGAACACGAUCAUUGUGUUUACUUCAGAAGACUACUAGAUGGAGCUUUCAUCUAUUUGUUACUCUAUGUCGAUGAUAUGCUUAUAGUUUCGAAGAAUAGAGAUGAGAUCGAAAGAUUAAAGAAGCAGUUGGCUUCUGAGUUCAAGAUAAAAGACUUGGGUGAUGCACAGAGAAUACUUGGGAUGGAGAUUCGUAGAGAUAAAAAAAAUGAAAGCGUAUGGUUGACUCAAAAGUCUUAUUUGAAGAAAGUACUAGAAAGAUUCGGUAUGGAUGACAAAACUAAACCGAUAUGUACACCUCUAGCUCCUCAUUUCAAAUUAAGCUCUUCUUCAUAUCCUAUAUCUCAAGAGGAGUGCGAUUACAUGGCUCGUGUUCCAUAUGCUAGUGUUGUGGAUAGUCUUAUGUAUGCUAUGGUAUGCAUAAGGCCCGAUAUAUCUCCAACAGUAAGCAUGGUUAGUAGAUACAUGCACAAUUCGGGUAAAAAUCAAUGGCUUACGGUAAAAUUGAUUCUCCGAUAUCUGCAUGGGACAGUUGAUGUUGGGUUAUUGUUCAAGAAGGAUUGUGGUCAACAAUGUGUUGAGUAUUGUGAUUCUGAUUUCGCUGGAGACCUUGACAAGCGAAUAUCAACAACAGGUUACGUAUUCACAUCGGGUGGAGGACCGGUUAGCUGGAGGUCGAUUCUACAAUCAACAAUUGCUCUGUCCACUACGGAAGCAGAGUACAUGGCAGCAACUGAAGUUGUAAAGAAAGAUAUCUGGUUAAAAGGAUUGUUAGGUGAUUUGAGAGUAAUCCAAGAGAACAUUGCAGUCUUUUGUGAUAACCAAAGUGCGAUAUUUCUCGCGAAGAAUCAAACAUAUCACGCUCGGACGAAGCACAUAGAUGUGAAAUAUCAUUAUGUGAGGGAGAUUAUCGAGGGUGGUGAUGUGUUGUUGAAAAAGAUCAAUACCAAGGAUAACCCAUCAGAUAUGUUGACAAAGGUGAUUUCUAGAGUUAAGUUUCAACAUUGUUUGAAACUAAUUCAAAUCCUUCGAUUGUGUUAAGUUAUGUCCUUAGGGAAUUUUGAACUACAGUUGGUUUGAUCCCAAAUUUUGAGUACGUAGGCAGUCAUAGAGAUGCAACCGCUUUGAUGAUGAUAAUUCGUUGGCAAGUCGGCUCAGAUUUGGACAAAUCUUCGCCGAGGUGAAGAAUUGUUAAAAAGUUGACAAAACUUGGUGACAAAUUGGCCAAAGUUGGCACCGACCUUGGAAAUUUGACACAUGCAUGUGGCUAAGCAUGCAAAGCUUGAAAAGUUGGCACAAACCCUUAGAAAUUUGGAUGAAGCAUGUAGUUGGAAUUGUGGAAAUUAGAGCCAAAGGAGUUGGUGAAGCAUGUGACAAUUUGACAAAUUCACAAUAACUUGGACAAUUUGGCAAAUUGUUGGUGAACGCCGAAAUUGUAAUAGUGCAAAAUACUUCUUAUAAAUAGAGGGAGUUUUUUCAUUUGUUAAGCAUCCUAAAAUUGUUAAGUUUAUAAGUUUCUAAGUUUUUGAGAGAAGUGAGAUAAGUGUGUCUGGAGAAUUUAUCUUUCCUGCAGAAUGUGAGAGUACUGAAUAUAUUUGGGUUUCUGGGAAGUGAGAUUCGUUACUCAAAUAUUUGUACUCUAUUAAUUAUUAAAUAAACAAUUAUUCUUUCUUGCCUCCUUGGAUAUAGAUUUAAUUACCGAACCACGUAAUUCUUGUGUCCUUUAUUUUUCUAUAAUUAUUUAGUGUGCUUCAUUCCGCAUUCCGCGCACAACAAGAUGUUCUUAUAUAUAUAUAUAAUAGAGUGUAAAUAUAUGAUGUAAAUCUUAUUAAAUAUAUAAUUAUUAAGUAGGUUAUUAGGUAAUAACCAGUUUAUUUUCUGUCGAGUUAAAGUAUAAGUAUUAUAACACAAUUAUUAAAUGAGUCGUAUUUGUGUCAACCCAAUUUUGACACAAUAUGAAACUAACAUAAUACAAACACGAUUCACUGACCGUUUUAUUAGCUCUAUAUCAAUUUAGUGUUUUCCAGUUUAUAACACAUUUUGUAAUCAUGAAAUGUACUUUACAUAUAGAAACACACAUAAUGUGCUUGGAUGAAAUUUUGGAGAAAAAUGUGACUACCAAUAAUAACUAUUUUGUGAAAUAAAUAAAGAGAAAACGAAUAAGUUUUGGUUUUCCAAAUGAUUUCUAUUAAAUUUGUUUUGAGAAUGGAGAUAACUUUUUUUUAAUUUCAAAAAUUUGUCUAACAGGCCCUCAAAAUAACUUUUUUUUUUUAAUUUCAAAAAUUUGUCUAACAGGCCCUCAAAACAAUGUAAAAGAAAAAUGGAUACCAAAUGUUUGACGAAAAAUUGGAAGUACAAAAAACAUUUUAAGACAGACAAUGACUACGAUAUCAUACUCAACAACCCAAACACCCUUGUAUAAUUAAAUUUUAUUUAUUUUCUAACCGCUCCCAAACUAUAGCAUAUAAUACCAAUCGAAUAUUGUAAUCAGAUUUCAUGCUCAGCUUAGGCUAGUCAGAUUUUAUUGAUUUUCUUCAAAAUAAAUGAUAUAAGAAAAAAUACUUUCUUUGAUCUUUUUCAUAAAAUGCCAACACCAUACAAAUUUUCACCGUUCCGACGCAUCUGAAAAUGAUAGUCGAUGAAAAGCGGACUCUAAAAACGCUGUUUCUGUUUUUUCAAAUUUUCUUCUCAAAACGUGAAAAUAAUUUAGGGGGAAAAAAACAUUUUCACUUAUUUCUAAGUCAUUUCACUUCAUGACGAAAUCCAAACAGAGGAAACCAAACUCACUCGGAGUCUUGUUAAUAGUAAUCUAUUAUUUCGAUAAUAACAACAAAUGGCACAAAUCAAUAAGUUUUUUAAUGGAUUAAAAAAUCUCCCACAUCGAAAACAAAAAAAAAAAAUGCAAUCCUACCACAUCAAAUUCUCAAACCAACUAUCCAGCUCUAUCCAGUUCCAAUCUCAAACCUUCAACAAAUCUAAGCUAAAACAGUAUCCAAAAAUAACAUGGAAAAAUAACUAGUAUGACAAAUUGAUAGCUGACACAAAUGCCAUCUAUCAGUACCUUCGAGAAUAGCGGUCCAAGAACCUCCCUGAAGGGCACUCAUAUGCUAGGUGUCCUCGUCCACCACAGUUGUGACAGACCAUCAACGGUCCCAUACAAUCCCUGCUCAUAUGUCCCAGCUGCUGGCAGUUUCUACAUACUAUGUCUCGGUAACCACCACCACGAGCACCACUGCCCCCACUGCCACGAGCACCACUGCCACCACUGUAGCGAUCUCCAAGACCGCCAGAUUUUGGACAGUGUCUAGCAACAUGUCCAGAAACAUUGCACAAGUUACAGAUGGGAUCAUUGGGACAAUCCCGUGCCAGGUGACCUGUCUUCCUACAGUUGUUGCAAGCCUUGUCAUUUGUACAAUCAGCUGCAAAAUGACCCUGCUUAUAGCAGUUGUUGCACAAUCUCAAGUCCCCAGGUGGCAGUGGGGGAGCAGUGCAGUCUCUUGCACGAUGUCCAGCUUUGCCACAGGUGUGGCAGAUGCCCUCAUUUGGACAGUUGCCAGCCAUGUGCCCUGGUUCCCGGCAAUUCCAACAUAAUGCCUUUGUAGUGCAUUCUGAAGCAAUGUGGCUGCACAAAUGUUUUCAAGCACAAUUACAAGUAAAACAUCAAUAUUGCCCAUUAAUUCAAGUGAUGAGAAAAUCAGAAGAAUAUCACUACAUUAUUCAAGGGAGAUCAAUUCCUUUCUCAUCACUGAAAAAAAUUUAAAAUACAAAGUUAGGUCACGAAACUUCCCCAAAGGCCUGUUUAACUGCAGAAUAUUUCAGGAAUCAAAGCAAUGCAAUUAUCUUCUCCUCCUAAAAAUCUCAUCUGGCAAUGUCCAUAAUUUGGGCCUCAAGAUUAGAGAAAAGGGGACAGUGAACACUAUGUAUUUCGAAGCAAAGGAACAAAAGCUGCAUUGAAGCAUAUGUAAAUUUUACACCAACGUAAUACCACUAGUUUGCAAUUGCAGAGUGUCUUAGUGACUUGGUUGAACAAGCAGCAACCAUAAAUAUUAAUAAGGAUCAAUUAAGGAUGCAAUGUUCCACUGGCUAAGGCCAAAGUAAAACACAUGGGUUAAGGUACAAUCAUUCCAGAGAUCAAGAUUAACUAGUCACCACAAUUUACAAACACAGAAAAAGUUAGUGAAGCUUGUACCUACACCAAACUAGUCCAAAAGAUAUCAAUUCCAGACAUAGCAGGGAAGCAAAUGCUUGAACAUAUAGAUUCCACAUUAAGCCUCCCCCACACAGGCAAUUUCAAGGAAUUUAUGCUUUCUACACAAAAAUUUGUGUGAAUCAUUAGGGUGGCAUUACUUUCGUUUUAAUAAUGGCAUUAUUCAUGAGUAAGUUUAGAAAUGGCAAAUGCUUGAACAUAUAGAUUCCACAUUAAGCCUCCCCCACACAGGCAAUUUCAAGGAAUUUAUGCUUUCUACACAAAAAUUUGUGUGAAUCAUUAGGGUGGCAUUACUUUCGUUUUAAUAAUGGCAUUAUUCAUGAGUUAGUUUAGAAAUGAAAUUGAUGGUUUAAACUCUAAAGGUUGGAAAACAUGUUUUGCCUUUUGGAAAAGCAUGUCAAACAUGCUUCCCAAAGGCUUUUUGUUUUCAAGAAUGGAAAUGAUGUCUAAGAGGAUACCAGACAGCUACACAGCUGCACACCUUCACAGACCAACUGCAAACUACAUGUGAAUUACGAGAUGUAUAAUAAUAAUAAUAAAAAACUCGUAUGUUCAGUUCAAGUGAUCAGAUAUCAACUUAUAUACUUUUAUUUGUCUCAAAUGAAAGAGAUUACAUACCCUGGAAGACCACAAUUGUGACAAAUUGCCACAUUAGGGCACUCUCUAGCAAAAUGACCUGGCCGUUUGCAAUUCUUGCAAAGAUUACUUUGGCUGACAAAAAAUGCAAAGAAGAUUAAUUCCUGAGCAGAAAAAGAAAUGCAUGGUACAAAGUAAAUCUAGAAUUAUUUUAGUCUAAAACAGUGAGGACCCCAUUUUUAAAUUGAUUUUGAACAAUGGUAAAUUGAAAAUAGAAAAAAUAAAAGAGCCCUUUUUUCUUCGUUUGGUGUUAGAAAAACAUGAAACCUUAAGAACUUUUCAUCCUAAUGAAUAAUGAAGAAUCUUACUCUUUGGUUUUUUGGGGCUUUCCAAAUAAAAGAGAAGGGUAUCCUCAAAAGAGUUAAGUAGCCAAUAUAAUAAAUGACCGACAGAAGCAUUAAUAAGAAGAAUCCAGGACAUAAUACAAAAACAGCUAUAACACACAGUGAAAAUAAAUAUUACUUUCAAGAAAAUAUUAACUCUUGAAUGCAAUUCAGUGACAAGGAAUUCAAGACAUAACUUGCCACAGAACAACUCAAAACACAAAACCAAAUUUCCAGUAUAGUUUUAUCAUAAAACACCACACAGAAGGCAGGGAAAGAAGUAUCUCCACAACCAUGAUGGCGUUAGGUAAAUAACUGAAUAACACAAUUGAGUAAACUGAUGCUAUUGUAUGAAACUCCGAGACAGUUUAAAAGUAGUUAACCAAGUAAUUAGCAUGAGAACAAUCAUAAGCAGAAAUGCUAAAAACAAUUCUGAAGAUCCUCGAAGACAUAAUCAUGUAGAAUCAUCAACCAUAACUAGAAUAACGGUCAGCUACAAAAACAACCUCCACCAAAGACAUAACAGUCUCCUUCACCCCCCACCCCCUCAAGCCAAUAAAGAGAAAGAAAAAACAAGUUUAUGAUCAAAAUUAGAAAACCUGUAACCCCGACGAGACCCUCUCCUGUAUGGUGCAUCACGGUAGGAGAAGCGAUCAGAGCGGAUCUUACGAUCCAGCGGGCUCCUGCUCCUGCUCCUGCUUCGGCUCCUGCUGACAGAACUCAUGUUCAACUAACACCUAUUAACACCUACCACCACCGAUCUGCAAAAACUUCACCACCAAACACCAGAAUAGCUGCUGCCUCCCUGUCCAAAUCACAACCAUACACCCAUCAUCAUCCAUGAGUACAAACCAAGCCCCUACCACACCCUUCAAAACAGAAAACACCAAAUCCUAAAAGUAAAAGAACACAGCAUUUCAGCAAGCACCAAUCAUAUCCAACUACAUAUCACUGCAUUCAACAUCAUCUCCAUAAAACAACCUUCAUAGUAAAUUCAUGGAUCUCCUCUAAAAAAAACUUUCCCCAACACAGCAAAGACAAAAAACAUAAGGUGGGCAGAAACUCAAAGUUCUUGACCAGCCAUCUACACUGGAUACAGGUCAGACCAUUAAAGUGGGCCGUGGAGGUUUUAAAGAGAAAAAUGAAAAUAAGAAAGACAGGAAGAAGCUAGCACCACUGUACUUGUGUGUUUUUUCUAUCUCUCACAACUUUUCUGCCUCUUAACUUCAAGGCAGUCCCCUCCCCUCCCCUCCCCCACCCCCCCCCCCCCCCCCCUCCAAAACACAAAUAUGGAAAAGGUCAGAGGAUCAUAAAUUGAAAAGGUGGGUGUCAUGAGAAAAAGAGACCCGGAAGCUAGCUAUUACCAUAGGAAAUCAGCAACCACAAGACGUGCUUAUAAUUUCUCACAGGGAGCAUUUAGAGAAUUCCAAGUAUGUAAGGAACAAAGAUAACAAGAGUUAGCUCAGGGAAGUCUGACCCCUCAAAAAGAUUGGGGAAAAACUUGUCCUGUCAUCUGGAGCAAAUUAUGCUCCAAAUGUACACCAUAAUUAGAGAUCACGUGUUGGCAUAUGGUAGCAUGUUAUUUUAAAUCUGCACUGCAUCCACAUUUCUUCUGUGCUCAGGGAAUAGAAAUACCUCUUUUAACCAAAGUAUCAUUCCCACAAAUUCUUGUUAUUAAUUAUUUCAUUUCUAUUUUCCCUAGACAUUGUCAUAAUAAUAGACGUCAUGACGAUACUAACAAAAUAACACAUGAUUCGAGUUAAACUGAGUACCUAUGUCAAUCAUGUUUUCUAGUUACCACACACCUCACCCUAUCCCACCCCAAACUAAUUCAAUUCCCCUCCAAAGGUUGGCAAGAAGGAACUUUAAACCAUUGACCUCUUGCUUCCACCGCGAGAGGCAAACCAACUAGGUUGUCCCAUUAAAGACUAUGUCAAUCCAACAGAAAUAAUACAACUAAAUGGAGGAUAAUAAAUAGAGAGGUAAAAGGACAGAUUUUGGUCAGCGACAAGUCUCCUAAUUCUCAAAAGUGUGAUUUUGGAUGCAAAAACUAAGCACGUCGCCAGUUUGGCACAAAAAUCAGUUAGUGCAGGACUAUUUCAACCAUUUGGGAUAAGUUUGGGAUGCCUAUCUCCCACAAUUUUGCUAUAUCACCAUCCGUAAAAGUGAUGAUGAUGAUAUUGGCAAACAGAAAAGAACCCAUCUUUCCUUGAAGUUAGUGGCAGGAAAUUGUUUUAGAUUGUACUAACAAAAGUAGGCACAUAGGGUUCCAUUUUAGAAAUGAUUUACCUUAGAUUUCGAAUGAUCCACAUUAGGGAGGAGCAUUUGUACAAAAGUCACACCCUAGUCAAUAAAAUGUACUAGCUUACUGGGGUGUGAGCAGAGCAUUAGUGUAGUUUUGCUAUUCAGAUUUUAAUAUUUGAUGCAGCACACAACAUGUUGCACAAUACAAUAGCAUUGAGAUCAUCUAGGUACUCCAGCGUUCAUUUCUUUCUUCUUCUGUUUUUUUAAAGAUUCUUCUGAUGAGGAUUUUAAUCUAGGUCAGAAACAGCUUGAUUUCAGGUUAAAACACACUGGUUGAAAUAUUUUUCUAGUACCAUAAAGCACUCAACGGGAGUAAAACAGCUAUCAGAAAUAAAAGAGUUAGAUGUUAGUUUUGGCACUACAAAGCAAUUUAUCCAGAGCAAUAUAAAAAUAUAUUAAGCCCUUCCAAUAAGAUACAUGCAUAUCUCUGCUUGUUUGCUGAAACUCAGACCCAAAAAAAAAAUUAUCAGUUAUCCUUCACAGACAGAUAUCGCAAGAAUUCAUCUUUGUUGAAUCUACCGAUGUCUAGGUCCCCUUCACAUACACAAAUUUCUUUCAUAGGACAGACUGAACUCAUUUGGAUCACACAGACAUAACCGCAAGUUGUCAGCUCUUUUCCGCAACAUAGACAACGUAAUGGUAAUCUCAAUCGACCCGGGAAAAACUUAUUUUGGCAACUUUUGUGCAACAAUUUUGUGCAUAUUGAAAUUGACUCAUCGUCAACCAAAUACACCUAUGUAUUAUUUUCCUUCAACAAACAGCUCAAAUUUCCUUCAUAAUGAAUCAUUAUUCAUAAAAUUUCUGGAUUUCCAAGUUCAAAUCCCACAGACACCACCACAAACAGCAUAAAUUCCACCAAUCAUCAAUUUUAUAGAAAAUUUAGAAACAAAUUAAAAACAAAAAACCUCGUGAACUAUGAUUUCACGCACAUAUAUAUACACAUACGCAACCACGUGUAUUUUAGGUCAAAAUUAUAGAACACUAAUCUCUGAGCAGUAGACCUAAACCCUAACCCUAACCCUAACACAGAGCAACAGAAUUGAAUAACAAUUAAUCAAUUAAAUGAACAAACCUGAUGAGUCUUGCUCGGCGAGUCAGCGAAAAUUGUUGUCGACGAGAACUGUUUUAGCUAAAGAAAUUACUUUUAUGUACGGACGGAAUUGCGACUGUUACGAUUUUCAACUCCUGGAGAAGGAAAAGAUGACGAGCAGCCGCUAACAGAUUUGUGUCCGACAAGUGCCUAAUUUGGUCAUGUGAUGUCCGGUUUGGUUAUAACCGGAAACGACGACGUUAUAACUAGCAGGCCCACUUUUUGAUUUUUGUGGGCCCAAAAUGGCCCAUUGAGCCUUAUAUUGCUUCCUUUCUAUUUUGAAAUAGUAUUAGUUAACAGAAAUAAACAAUUGUAUGAAAUAUAAAUUGAUGUACGUGUACCAUAAUAUGAUUGGUUGAUUGAAUAGAAUUCGAUUUAUUCUAUAUUCAUACCUCGACGAGGCCUUUUCCCCUCUUCAGAAAAUGUGGAAUAGAGUUACAUUUCUCCCCUUCUAUUGUUUGGGAGAGUAAAUUUCUAAGCUAUAUAUAUAUACUUGAUUGGUCAAUAGGCUCUGGUAUAAAUGUAUACACAUAUAGAUCUAGAAAAAGUAGAAAAUAUUAAACUUUUUCUUGUAAGGCUUACUUGAGAAGCUCUUUUUAGCUCUAUUCAAAGUUAUUUGUCUAAAAAAAUUUCGUAGAUAAAUCAUUAAAGUCUUGAAUCCUUGUGUAUAUAGAAAGCUCCAAUAUUAUAGAAAUUACAAAUUAUAAGAAUUUGUCCAUUAAUAAAGAAACAAAAGUUUUAAAUAAUAAUGUGUUAAUUGAAAAAAUUUGUGCAGCCGGAAGGUUUUACAUCAUUUUCAUAUUAAUAGAUAGACUAAAUAGUGUAAUAGGUGAAGCUUCGUCAUUCUCUUUCAAUCAUCCGAUGGGUCAUACUUUGCACUUCCAAAGUUUAUUCAAUGACAGAAAAGUUGAAUAGUUUGUCUCAAUUAUUUUCUUGUGGCACACAAUAUACAAGAUGAGUUAAGUGUCUUCUGAAUAAUAUUAAAGCUCUUCUGAAUAGCUUUAAAGAUAAGUAAAUAAAAGAAAAAGCGAAGGAAAUCCCCUACCAAUAAAGGGCAGAGAAGCUUUAUUACAGAAAUUAAUUACCAUCUCCUUUAGUAAUAUUCUAGAGAUGGGGUUAUUUUUAUUCCGCAGAGAACAAUCUCAUAUUGCGGAAUCAAUAUAGAAAACCAGGCUAUUCCGACCAAGCAAUUAAUGAAAGCAUAUAAAAUAGAAGAGUCAUUAAGAAUUAUCUUCAGACUUCAGGGCCCUACAAAAUAUGAACACGUAUAAUCACCAGGAUGAGGUGUAAUGGUGUAUGUAUAUAUAGGAAGUGGCUAUGGUGGAUUUGAACGUAUGGUUAUAAGGUAAUGGUCUACGGUGGAACAACUCCGCCAUAGCCGCCCCUGGAUCGACAGGUCAUAUGCAAAACCACGUAUUUUCUGCCUCAGCUUUAAAAAAGGUCAUCUCCCCAGAAGAAGUUUGAGGGCUGGCAUUCUUAAUUUGCUGCUUCAUACACUUGCAGGAUGAGUCGUCAGAGAAUAAAGAUUUAGAGACACAUCAUCCGAAGGUCCAAAUACCGCACUACAAAGUCGAUGAAUGAAAAAUCUUACUUGUCGAUGAGAAAGCAAAUGAUCUCAUCAAGUGAGGUCUCCAGCACCGCUAUCAGCUGUGGACACUCAAGUUUAUCCAGUGCAUCUGUCAAACAAGUCCACACAGACAGUCUUCGAAAAGCUCACCGAUCCCAACCACAAAUGAAAAAUAUAUGUUCAGCGCAGGACGUAGUAUGUAUACUAAACUAUACACCACUGCAGUAAAGAUAAUACCGUAUGUUCCACCAGACAUUUCAAUGGUGAUAGUGCAAUGAGAUUACCAAUCUCCUCUUGGAUGCCGACGUCUCCCCAUGUAAUACCAUUAAUUGUAGUUGCUGAUUGGAUUAAAAAAUUGAAUUAAAAAAAAGGCUGAAAAAAUGUUUUAUAAAGCUUAGUAUCUCUAUAAUACUAUCAUUAACUCCCAAUAAAGUUUAGUAUCUCUAUAAGAUUAUCAUUUUGACUCCCAAUAAAUUCAGCAAAACGGGCUUUCUACAUCAUUAGGUUCAUUUUCCUUGCCUCCCAUUUCUUUAAGAAGCUUCAAAAGAAUAUCAGAACUCAAUUCUGCCAUUUUCUUUAAAAAGAAAAGAAAUCCAGCCCGUUAUUUUAUUGUUUAAUAGUUAAAAAAUUAAAAAAAUUAAUAAAGAGAAUUGAGUAUUUCAGAUCAGUAAAUCGCAAGGAGUGGUUUUUGCAAAAAGAAAAUGGGUUGUUUAUGGGCAGUGAAUUAUUUACAUACAUUUUUUUUUUAGCAAAAUGUGGUUCUUGAUUCUUGAUCAUCUCCAGUUUGUUCUCUUGAAUUACAAUGAUAUCAAUUUUAAGAAACCAGUAAGCUUCACGAAAACUGCGAUGCUGGACAUCAAAUAGGCUGUUAAAAACCGUUACUACAGAUCCUAUACUUGGUGCUGUCUCUUGGAUUGCUGGUGAUGGGUGCAUAGACCCAUUGUUGAAAAGUAAGAUAUUUUUGUCUAGUUCUAUAAUUAUUUUUACAAUGUUUAUUGUAUAAAAAUAUAAGUUUUUACUUUUAUUAAAUAGGUCUCUAAGUUUUUACUAUUACAUAAUAGUAACACCUCAAAUUAAAUAUGGGUGACUAAUAUUAGUUUUGUUGGUAAUAGUGGUGCUGAAACUACAUGAUUGCUAAGUCUGUUUCACUUGCACUUCUAGCAAGCCUAACAUUGAGAUGGUGCCUCACUUGGCGCUCACUUGGAGAUCCAACAAUAAGGGUGUGCAGCCCUAUGACCAGCUUCCUUUGUCCAUCGGUAUCCACAAGAUUAAGCCCUUGGCACACGUCAAACCCUACUGUCACAUUCUUGGUUUUGCCCUUCUGCACAUCCACUCUCUCAAACCCAACCAACUCCACAUUUGGGGCCCCGGCUGUUGAUGCACUUGGUGGCUUCCAAAAUAUUAGCACAACAUGAGAACCGCUCAUUGGCCCGUUGUUCUUGACACCAAUGACAACGUGAAAAUGCAAGUCUUUGCAGUUUACUGUGGUGACAUCAAUGGCUUGAGCAUGAGAAGAGUGUAUGCUGUUUCGAUUUUUUUUUAUGAGUACUGUGGAAGGAGCCGAGACUAUAAACUUGGAGAACGAUGAGUAGCUUAGUCCGUGGCCAAAUGGGUAGACGGUUUUGCCCGAGUAAAACCUGUAGGUUCUUCCGGGGAGAUUAGCUGUGGCAUUGGCUCUCAUGUUCAUGUCUGUCAUUGGCAACUGAUCUACAUACUGUUGCGGAUACCAUGUAAACGGAGACCUUCCAGCUGAUAGUUAUGACAAGUUAUUUAAGCAAUUAACCUCAAGCAGUGGUACAAAAGCUUAAACUGAUCAAACUGAUCAUGCGUUAAUUAAUUACCUGGAUUAUAGUCUCCAAAGAUGAUUUGAGCUAUCGCAUCUCCACCAGCUUGUCCUGGAUAUCCCACCCACAAUAUCCCUCCAAUUUUCCUAUUGCUUUUUGCAAAAGAGAUAUCAACAGGACCAGCAGCCAUAACAACAAGAAUCACUGUCCCUUUUGUAGCAUUAGCUACUUCCAUCACCAGCUUUUCUUGAUAUCCUGGUAAAGUCAAGUUCUCUCUAUCGAGCCCUUCUGCUUCUAUAGACUGAUCAAGGCCCACAACCACGACAACAACAUCAGCCGCGGCUGCAGCCUUAGCUGCCGGUUCAAUAAGGGAGUCGUCUUGGCAUUUCACAUUGCUACAACCUGGUGCAUAUGUCACAGCGGACACAUACUCUUGCAGGCCCUGUAAAGGACUAGUAUAGCCACAAGGUAUGCCAGCAUAGUUGCUUAUCAUCACAUUGGUGGCAUUAGCAUUUGGUCCUAUAACAGCUAAGUUCUGGGUGGCAUUUGAAGACAAAGGAAGAGCUCCGUUGUUACCUAGCAAAACUAUUCCUUGCCUAGCUGCAUCAAGAGCCAAGGACUUAUGAUCAUCUGUACAAACAUCGGACGGUCCUAAAUUCCCCAGUGGCUGUGAUUUGGGAUCCCCAUCGAAGAAGCCUAGCCUCAUGAGGACAAUGUAGUUGUAUAUUAAUGCCUGAUCCACCACAGAUUCUUUAACCUUGCUCAUGUUAACUGCAUUCUCUGUAUACUUCCCCAGAUAAUCCCCACAGUUCAUGUUUAAACCUGUGUGACAAAAUCAUAUAAAGAGACCGAGUAUAAAUGAAAUCAUGACUAUCAAUCAAACUCAAUAUAUGCAUUUAUAUGGAUGCAAGUACAAAACCUGCGUUCAAAGCAAGGGCCACUGCAUCUUCAGGCGUGGCGGUGUAACGUAUGGCAGUGUCAUAAACCUGAAUAGAGUCGCAAUCUGACACUAUAUAUCUGCCAAAUGCAACAACACAAGCACAAUUAGGCACAACUAGUAUGCAUAGUAGCUUGACCUUGGAUCAUACGUAAGUACGUACCCAUCAAGACCCCAUUGGUCUCUAACAACUCCUUUGAGCAAAUUUGGAUCAGCACAUGUUGGAAUUCCGUUUACUCUAUUGUACGAGCACAUUACACUACUUACGUGUCCCUCCUGUACACAACUCUUAAAUGGUGGCUGAUACGUGUCUUCCAGGUCUUGCUUUGUCACCUGGAACAACCCAACACUUAAUUACGACGACAUAAUUAAGAUAUCAUACAUGUAUACAACAUGAGGCCUCACACUAAUUAUGUUUACGAAGAUACGAUCAAUAUAACAAAUAACAAUACCUUUGCAUCAAAGUGAAAUCUAUCAACACCUUUCCAAUUGUCAACGUCAUAAGCAGUAUAAUGCUUGCAACAACUGGAGACCUUAAGCCUGUCACUAGAUGAAUUUUUGCUAUCACCUAUUUCUUGCAAACCUCUAACAUAAUUCACAGCAUAUUUUGAUACCACUAAUGGAUCCUCUCCGGGGGUUUCUUGGCCACGGCCCCAUCUCGGGUCACGGAACACAUUAACAUUAGGACUCCAGUACGUCAACCCGGCUUGACCAACGUUGUACAUGGCACGAGCCUCGGUUGACACCACUUGCCCCAUCUUGAGCCACAAACUUGCAUUAAAACUAGCAGCUGAUAAAAUUACAGCUGGGAAGCUUGUCGCACCGGGCACCGUGGCAUUAAAACGCACAGCGGGUCCAACGUUUGAGACGCCGUGUAGCGCCUCGCCCCACCAUUCGUAGGAUGGCACGCCGAGCCUGGGAAUGCCUGUGGCUGUGUUUACUAAUUGUUGCACCUUUUCUUUCAGAGUUAAGAGUGAAACUAGGUUCUUGGCUCGGUCCUCAUAAGUUAAUGAGGAGUUGCAAAAUGGGAACUGGCUUGUUUCUGACUUGCUCUUGUCACAUGCAAAUUGUUGAGGGGUACAUUGGGUUGUUAAUAAGAGGAGUAUUGCAAGGCAAAGCGAUAAGUGAUAUUGGGGUUUCAUNNNNNNNNNNNNNNNNNNNNNNNNNNNNNNNNNNNNNNNNNNNNNNNNNNNNNNNNNNNNNNNNNNNNNNNNNNNNNNNNNNNNNNNNNNNNNNNNNNNNCUACAAUGCAAAAAGAAGUUGUUGCUUGUAAGUUGAGUGACACAUGUAUCAUUUGGCUUGUUUCCUAGUUUAGGAAGAAAUGAUGCUUUGAUGCUUAGGAGAAGCAAAAGCUUCUUUUAGUUCAAAUGGUCCACGAUGUAUUAAAUGAUUUAUUCCACACACACAAUAAACCCAAAAUGUGCUAUGGGGGUAAUUAUAUAAAAUGAUGCCAAAUUCGUCUCCAACAAGUUUCUGAGUCAAGUUAUUUUAAUUAAUCUAGUAUCAAAGUUAAGCCUCUCAUAGAAUUUUAGCGAAUUAUAUAUUUUCAAUUAGCUUUCUUAAACACACUAUCGGAGUUUGAAUUAUAAGAGAAGUAAUUAACGAACUAAGAAAUCAACUUCAGCUUUUCCCUUACAAUUAUAAAAAAUAAAAUUAAACCAAGACCUUGUGUUUUGAAUAAAUUCAUAUUUAGCUCAACUAAUUAAUUUUAAACCUAUUAGAUUUAAGUUUUUACCAAAGCAUGUAGGUGCUUCUUCUCUCGGCCUUAUGUACAUAUAUAUUUUAUAAAGCAAAUUUUAUUUUUGAAAAUUUUAUGUGAUGGAUAUGAAGGAUACGUACUAGUUUAGACUUCAUCAACUAUAGUUUUACGUACUAAAUAUAUAUAUAUAUAUAUAUAUCAAAUUGCGUGCGAUACUUGAAAUUGUGAACCUAUCGAAAUCUUGUACGAUCAAGAUUGUAGUGAAUGUGAUGGUGAUUAACUAUGGUUUCCACUUACUAAUUUUAUACUCAAUUAAUUAAGCGAUGAUGCCGUAUCCAGAGCCAACAAUGAAAAGAAAUAUUAUUCUUUGUCGACGCAGCAAGCUAAGUUUUGAUUGUUGUGCACUACUGAUGGAAGUGUCUUCCAAGAAUCUGCAAUCAUCAAAGCGCAGUGGGAUUGGGUCAUCAAGUUACUUGAAACGAUGGCAAAGUCAUAUCCACUCCCAGCAAAGAGAACUGUGUGUCAAAAAAGUUUCCUAAAGUUUUCCAUUAAUUGCUCCCUUACUUACAGGUCAAAGUUUAUGCUUUACUCAUCAACAUAUACAUGCUGCCACACUAUCAACCAAUAUACAGUUACAAAGAAUUAAUACUUUUUUAAAUAAAAAAUGAAAAGCAUGAUCAACCCAUGUACAGUUGCAAAAGCGAAAGGAAAAAGAGAUUUAUUACUUCGUCAAAAUAAUGAAUUGAAAACAGCUUCUGCAAUUACACUCUUUAUCCUCGCCCUUUCUACUUAGAUUUAUGAUUUGAUAUUCAAGUUUUUUUAUUUUGUAGCCGCAAUAUAUAUAUAUAUAUAUAUUCUAAUCCAGAAUCUUGGACUUUAUUACUUUAACAAAUCGUGCAUCUUGAACCAAAUCAAUACUCUAUACACACACAUUUCCUUUUUCUUUUUCUUGUAAACAAUUCGGACCAUUGGAAAGACUUUUACAAGACGUCUCAAUGAAGCAAUAUAAUGAAAACAUUAUGCAUGUUUUAAAUUUUUUUAUAUUAUUUUUAUAUAUUGUCAUAAUUAUUCAAUUUCAAAGUCAAAUACACGUGACAAUAUAUAAAGUACGUGCAAGUAAUAAUUCAAUUGAUCUAUCCAACUCCGAGCUAAGUCGUUCUUUGAUGACAACAUAUAUUAGUUUGAGAACUUGUUUUACACGAUCAAGAGGGAGAUAGAAUAAGAAAUAAAUUCAAUAAUAUCUCAAAACUUUUAAGGUCGUGUUUGGAUGUUAGGAUUAAAUAUGGGAUUGGACUAAUUUUGGAAUUAAAUUCUUAUCCCAUGUUUGGCAAGCUUAGUUGGAUUGGACUAAGGGGACUAAAUUUAAAUUUAAUCUUAAAAUCAUCGGAUUAAUAAUCCUAAUUUACACAUGGGUUUAGUUGGGAUAAGAUUAAAGAAAAAAAAAGUCAUCCAUUUAUGAGAUUUUUAUUUGUAUCUUUUUUUUUAUUUACACCUAAUAUUGAUUGAUUAAUUAACUAAUUAAUUAAUUAACUAAUUUUUUAUUAAUUAUGAUUUACUUAAAUUUUAUUUUUAUUUAUUAUAUAUGAUCUAAUUAAAUUGGUACUUUUACUUCUACCAACUCUUGAGAUUAAAUUUUCAUUACUUGUAUAUUUAAUAAUUAAUCAAUAAAAUUAAACGUUUAAUUAUUUAUUGCAUUAUUUGAUUGUCUUAAAUUUAAUAAUUACUAAUAUAAUAUUAAAAAUAAUCAUGAAAAUUAAUAAUACCAUUAGUUAAUUGAUUUUAUAUAAUAUUUUUAAAUAUUUGAUAAAAUUUAAUUAAAUAUUUAAAUUUUUAUUUAUUUUUAUUUGUUUGUUAUAUUGUGGCUACCCAAUAACUUAUUUGCAAUAUAUUUAAUUUUCCUAGUAAUUACUUUUAAAAUUUAUUUUAAUUAUGAUUAUAAAAUUCCAUGGAUAAUUGUUAUUUAUAUUAAAAUACCAACUUAAAUGCUAUUCGAUAUUAUUUAAAUAUAAUUUAAAAUAGUCUAAUUUGGUAUUGUACCAAAUAUAAGACUAUAUAAUAUAAUUGUUGGUUAAUUUUAUACUAAUGCUAUUGGUGUCAAUGUGCAAGUGUACACAACAAGUAAUAAAGUGAUGAGUAUUCAAGAUCGUCUCCACAGGGAUUGAUGUUAUCAGAUUUGCUACAGCAAUCUUAACAGUGCAUAUUUUGUGUCUAAAUUAAGAUAAACAAUUGAUGAAACUAAUUUACUGAUUAAAAUAAAAACACAAUAAAUAAAAUGCAACAAAGUAAAUUAUCAUGUCAAUCUCAAGGAUAAAAGCAAUGGGAAUAUAAAGUAGUUGAGUGAAUAAACUCUCUUAAUGGUCUUGACUAUUUUCUAAUGGUUGGCUCGGUUGCUGCAGUAUUUGCUAUAGAACUGGGCAUAAUCCUUAUGUAUCCUCAGUCGUCUCAUGUUGGAUAUCUUAUAUCUAUAUGCAACAUAACAAUGAUCAGUUGCUAUGCCAACAUAAGAUAUAGCAUUACACGCUUAGGUUCUAUUUACCCUACAAUGUGAAUCACUAUGUCUAGUUCAUCACUAAUCUUAAAUCAAGCAUGACCCUUUUGGGACUCAAGUAAAACUCAAUCCGGGAAACUCAAUUUAAGAUCAAGUAUUGUUCUGAUAUGUUCCACUAAGAUAGGUCAUUUUGCGGCUCUCUCCUAACUUGUAUCAUUAAAUGGGUGAUCAACCGAAAUAAUGAAUAAAAAUAAAUAUUAUCAAAACAAACUGCUACAACAAACAUGCAGCAACACAUAAAUUCUAUCAAUAAACCAUCAAGAUUGUUUAUCACUCAACCACAAAUAAAUUUAGUUCAUGGUUUGUAAAAGAAAAAUAAAGAACAAAGUUUCAGCCAUGAAACACAUCCCCAUAAAUAAAUAGAAAACGAGAAAGCAAGAGAAGAAUAAGAAUGUUUGAGCUCCCAAUUGAUCUCUGCAAUUUUUCCUCUUGUUUAGCCUUCAAUCUCUCUCUUGAAUCUUGUUUUUCUUUUGUUUCUUUGUGUUUUUCUCCUUGGGUGACGGCUCCCUUUAAUCCUUAUGAUGUGUGCUUCUUUUAUAGUUGAAAAUUAGGGUAAACGGAAGCCUAGGGCCGCAUAAGUCAGAUUAGGAAAUUACAUAUCGCAAUUAUGCAAGUAUCCCGCACGGAAUUUUCUCUGUCGUUGUUCUAGGAUUGCUACAGUAACGGCUACAGCAAUGGUUGCUACAACAACGACUACAGUAACUGCACUGUUCCAAAUUUAUUUCAAUUCUUUUAUAGCCAUGUUUUUUCCUUAUUUUUGCAAGCCUAUUGCAUAGCAUUCCUUCCAUGAGUUAUAAGCUUCUGGAAACCUACAAUUAUGCACACAAUUUGAGCACAAAUUACUUUAAAUCGAGCAAAACUUAUUAAGAUUGACUAAAAUGAUUAUUUAUGCAAAAUGUAACAAAAAUGCAAUAGAAAUACAUAAUUUACUCUCUAAGUAGUAUUGAUCUAAAUAUAAAAGUGCCAUGAUAACUCUCAUUUCAUAGAGUUAUCAGUAAUCUAACUUAAUCCAAUUCAAUAUAAUGCAAUCCAAUCCUAAUAAUUUAAGAGUUCGACUAUUGGCACCCCUUCAUUAAUCUCACAAAACCCCUGUUAUAUUACAAUCACUUUUAAUGACAAAUAUAAAUAGAAUUAAGCAAUUUAUAUUUUCUCUCUCUUUAAUUUUAUUUUCCUUACACAAUAUAAUUUUUUUAUUAUCAUUAAAAUAAUCUAAAUUUAAGAAGUAAUCCUCUAACCCAAAAUAAAAUUCUUGUAAUUAAAUAUAACAACUUAAUUAAGAUACAACACAAUGAAAAAACUAAACUAAAUAAAAUUUUAUCCCAUUGUAAAUAAUUUUUUAAGGAUUCUCAAACUAAUUGCUAAAUCCAAAAUUUAUAGGUAGGAUAGAAUUGUAUGUAGGAUAGAAAUGUAUUAGACCCAUAAAAUAUUCAUUAUUUUCUAAGUAUAAUGCUCUUCUUGCUUUUUUUCAUUUAGAUUUUUUUCUUUAGAAAUUAAAUAAUAAAAAAUGUUUGAAGAGAGGAAUACAAAUAUUAAGUAUGAAAGAGUGAGAAAAUUAUUAGAAACUGAAAAUUCAUAAAUGAAAAGAGUGUUCAUUUAGAAAAAAAAACAUAUUUUUGGUAUUAAAUAGGAUAUAAUUAAAACAGGGGUUUUAAUAGGAAUCAUAGGAUCUUAGAGGGUGCUAAUAGCCGAACUCAUAAUUUAAUUCAAUUUAAUUAUGCGUGCCAAAUGUAAUCUAACUUAAAAAACAAUACAAAAAUUAGAGUAAUAAUAUAGUCAUAAAUUCUUGUACAAAUUUAUUUUAUAUAAAUUGAUGUGACAUGAAAAUAUUUGUUGAAUCACUUGGUCCACAUGAUUUGUUUUUAUUAUUUUAUAUUUUUAUUCAACCAAUGAAUUAAUGUCAUGUUAAUUUAUACAAAAUAAAUUUAUACAAAAAUUUAUAACUGUAUCGUUACUCUAAAAAUUAUUAGGAGGACUUAAUUGUUUACCAUGCGGAGAAUACAACAAGGGCAAAGCCAUACGUCAUACCUACUCCCAACGAAAAAUUGUGCCAAAAAGUUUCAUUAAGUUUUCAAUUACAGCUCAAUGUUUAUACUUUACAGCCUUUGCUCGUCAACAUAUGCAUGCUGCCAAAGCAUCAACCAAUAUAACAAUAAGAACGAAUAAAUAUUUUUUAAAAAAAUAAAAAAUGAAAAGGAUGGUCAACCUAUGUACAGUUACAAAAGCAAAAAGGCCAUAAAGAGAUGUUUAUUACUUUGUCAAUAAUAAAAGGGUUUUUCUAUGAUGCUGUAAUUUUUUUACAGCAUCAAUAAUAUUUUUAAUUGUGUACUAUUGGAUUUAAUCAAUGGUACACAAUAUUCGUAGUAAAAAUAAAAAAAAUAAAAAAAUAAUGGUAAACGGUUAACAAACGUGUAAGGGGUGGAGAAUUCUAUAAAAUAACUAUGAACAUCCUUAGAGUUUGAAACAAGUUCACUUAAAUAACAUAUUUUAUUUAAAAUUAUUUUUCAAUCCUCCUUUAAAUUUGAAAUGUGAUAAUCUUUUUUAAAUAAAUCUUCCAAAAUCUAUUACCAUUAAGUAUAAAAUAUAAUGGUAUGUUAUUUAACACAAAUCAAAUAAAUAAGUUGCAAUUGUAAAAUUUAUAUAUGAUAUAAUAGUAAUAAAUAACACAACUAAGUACAUAUACUUAAGUAAAUGUCAUAGUUACAUCAAUAAACUCAUUGUUAAAAUUGCUUGUAACAUAAAAAUUACUUGAUCUCACAUGUUUUAAUAAAAUUUAAUAUCGUAUAUUAAAAUACUCAUUAUUUUAUAUAAUAUUAAGGGUCAUUGUAUAAUUGAUCAUGAAGUAUGUAUUAUUUUUAUCACCCAUUUAACAUACUUAUUCUCUAAACUUUAUAUUUAUCUAACCAUUAAUAUCCUUGCAUGAUAGGAAUUUUAAGUUUUAUAAGCCUAUAUGUUUUCAUUUUAUUUUCAAAUAUCACUUUGUUAAUUUCACAAAAGUUAAAUCUAAUAUAUAUUCCUAAUGAGCUUUAGUUUAUGAACCGUGAAAGAUUAUUUUAUUGAUAUCCUUUGAUUGUAAUUAUAAAAUUUUAUGUUAUUAAGAAUCAUUAUCUUUGUUAUGAUAAUUAAUAGUGACAAUAAAUAAAAUAUUGCCUCCCAUAAUAUUUACGUGGAAAAAAAAGUGUAAGAAAAUCAUUUAUAUUUUUAGAUUUUUAUUGACAUAGUAGGAAAUUAUCUCAGCCUUAUAAAAUUUAACUUUCACAAGCUUGUUUUCAUUUUAUUUUCAAAUGUCACUUUGUUAAUUUCAUAAAAGUUAAAUCUAACACAUAUUCCUAAUUAACUUUAGUUUAUGAAUCAUGAAAGAUAAUUUUAUUAUUAUUCUUUGAUAGUAAUUAUAAAAAUUUUAUGCUACAAAGAGUCAUUACUUUUAUUAUGAUAAUGAAUAAUGACAAUAAAUAAAAUAUUACAUCAAAAAAUAUUUAAUGGACAAAAUGAGGAAAAAAAAUCAUUGUAUGUUUUUAUAUUUCCAUUAUAAAGAUAUGGUUUGGGAUACUUUAACUUAAAAUUUGGUACAAUAUUUGAGCCACUAAUAUCUCAUAGUCUAAUGGUUGAUAUUGAAGGUCAAAGCAACAUUUCAUAAUGUUAUAUCCUUCACCAUUGAAUUGCAUGAAAUAAAUAGUUUAUUUUUUUGAUAAAAAUUUAAAUCAAAAUAUUUCUCACUCUAUAGUUAUAUAGACAUAUAUAUUUUUCAAUAAUAAUUAGUGAAUAAAAUAUUUCUCAUUUGUUGUGACUCAUAUAGUAUUAUUAAUAAAACACAUAUAAAAUAGUUUAUUGCAAUACUUUCUAUUAUCAUUAAUGUUUAGGUGUUAAUGGUUUGUAAUUAAAUUCAUACAAUACAAAUUAUUACAAGACUUUGUGUUAAAUAACCUACUUGAUAUUAUAUUUUAUACUUAAUGGUAACUGAUUUUGGAAGAUUUAUUUAAAAGAGAUUAUCAUAUUAUAAAUUUAAAGGAGGACUGAAAAGUAAUUUUAAAUAAAUAUACUAUUUAAGUGAAAUUGUUUCAAACUCUAAGGGUGGUUACAAUUAUUUUACAAAAAUUAUCCACACACUUAAACAAUUACCAUUGUUUUUUUAGUACAAAUAUUGUAUACCAUUGAUUAGAUCUAAUGGUUCACAAUUAAUACAUUAUUGAUGCUGUAAAAAACUUUACAGCAUCAUAGAGGAAUCCAUAAUAAAAUCAUAAAACAAAAUUUAUAUUAAAGUUUAUAAUCAAAUGUAGUCAUGCAAAUUUAAAAAAUUUAAUAGAAUGAUUUAAUUAAUUAAAUGAAAAAAAAAUUAUUAAUUUAUAUUUUUAAAAAUGUUGUGAACUCAUUAGAAUUAUUUUUUAGAAGUGGGAUUGUUGGGGGGACUUAGCAUAAGAUUUCUAGGUAUCCAACCCAAAAGACUAGCCUUUUAGGUGGAGUGACCUACCACCUUAUAAACCCAAGCAUCUCCCCUUUACUAGCCAAUGUGGGACACAACUCAACAAUCCCCCCCUCGGACGAAACCACCGCCGGACUCCGGUCCUUUUGUCCGACACACCUGAGUUGUUCCACCACCACAUCCCGGCUACUAGGGUCUAGCUCUGAUACCACUUGUUGGGGGGACUUAGCAUAAGAUUUCUAGGUAUCCAACCCAAAAGACUAGCCUUUUAGGUGGAGUGACCUACCACCUUAUAAACUCAAGCAUCUCCCCUUUACUAGCCAAUGUGGGACACAACUCAACAAGGAUAAAUUUACAAAAAUAGUGGGUGGAAAUAUUCCCACCCAAACUUUAAACUUAAGUUUUUUUAAUUUUAAAAGAUUAUCAGUCGUCCACUAAAAUGCCCUAUUAUAAAAAGGGUUCCUCUAUGAUGUUGUAAUUUUUUUACAGCAUCAAUAAUGUUUUAAUUGUGUACCAUUGGAUUUAAUCAAUGGUACACAAUAUUUGUAGUAAAGAAAAAUAAAUAAUUUAAAAAUUAUAGUGAACAGUUUGUUAAGCGUGUAAGGGGUGGAGAAUUUUCUAAAAUAACUAUAAUCACCCUUAGAGCUUGAAACAAUUUCACUUAAGUAGCAUAUUUUAUUUAAAAUUAUUUUUCAAUCAUCCUUUAAAUUUGAAAUGUGAUAAUCUUUUUUAAAUAAAUCUUCCAAAAUCUAUUACCAUUAAGUAUAAAAUAUAAUGGUAGGUUAUUUAACACAAAUCAAAUAAAUAAAUUGCAAUUGCAAAAUUUAUAUAUGAUAUAACACUAAUAAAUAACACAACUAAGUAUAUAUACUUAAGUAAAUGUCAUAGUUACAUCAAUAAACUUAUUGGUGAGAUUGCUUGUAAUAUAAAAAAUACUUGAUCACACAUGUUUUAAUAAAAUUUAAUAUCGGAUAUUAAAAUACUCAUUAUUUUAUAUGAUAUUGAGGGCCAUUGUAUAAUUGAUCAUGAACUAUAUAUAUUUUUAAUACUCAUUUAACGUACUUAGUCUCUAAACUUUAUGUUUAUCUUACAAUUAAUAUUCUUACAUGGUAUGAAUUUUAAGUUUUACAAGCCUAUAGAUUUUCAUUUUAUUUUCAAGCAUCACUUUGUUAAUUUCAUAAAAGUUAAAUCCAAUAUAUAUUCCUAAUGAGCUUUAGUUUAUGAAUCAUGAAAGAUUAUUUUAUUGAUAUCCUUCGAUUGUAAUUAUAAAAUUUUAUGUUAUUAAAAGUCAUUACUUUUGUUAUUAUAGUUAAUAGUGACAAUAAAUAAAAUAUUGCCUCCAAUGAUAUUUACGUGGGAAAAAAUGUGAAAGAAAAUCUUUUAUAUUUUUAUAUUUUUAUUGACAUGGUAGGAAAUUAUUUGAACCUUAUAAAAUUUAACUUUCACAAGUUUGUUUUCAUUUUAUUUUCAAAUGUUACUUUGUUAAUUUCAUAAAAGUUAAACCUAACACAUAUUUCUAAUCAACUUUAGUUUAUGAAUCAUGAAAGAUUAUUUUAUUGUUAUUCUUUGAUAGUAAUUAUAAAAAUUUUAUAUUACGAAGAGUAAUAACUUUUAUUAUGAUAAUUAAUAGUGACAAUAAAUAAAAUAUUACAUCAAAUAAUAUUUAAUGGACAAAAUGAGGAAAAAAUCAUUGUAUGUUUUUAUAUUUCCAUUAUAGAGACAUGGUUUGGGAUAUUUUAACUUAAAAUUUUGACACAAUAUUUGAGCCACUAAUAUCUCAUAAUCUAAUGGUUGAUAUUGAAAGUUAAAGCAACAUUUCAUAAUGUUAUAUCCUCCACCAUUGAAUUACAUUAAAUAAAUAAUUUAAUUUUUUGUUAAAAAUUUAAAUCAAAAUAUUUUUCACUCUACAGUUAUAUAGACACAUAUAUAUUUUUCAAUAAUAAUUGGUGAAUAACAUAUUUCUCAUUUAUUGUGACUCAUAUAGUAUUAUUAAUAAAACACAUAUAAAAAAAUUUAUUGCAAUGCCUUCUAUUAUCAUUAUUGUUUAGGUAUUAAUGGUUUGUAAUUAAAUUCAUACAAUACAAAUUAUUAUAAGACUUUGUGUUAAAUAACCUACUUGAUAUUAUAUUUUAUACUUAAUGGUAAUUUAUUUUGGAAGAUUUAUUUAAAAAAAAUUAUCAUAUUAAAAAUUUAAAGGAGGGUUGAAAAAUAAUUUUAAAUAAAAUAUGCUAUUUAAGUGAAAUUAUUUCAAACUCUAAGGGUGGUGACUGUUAUUUUACAAAAAUUCUCCAUACCAUUAUUUUUAAUUUUUUUUUACAAAUAUUGUAUGUCAUUGAUUAAAUCUAAUUGUAUACAAUUAAUACAUUAUUAAUACAGUAAAAAAAUUACAGCAUCAUAGAGGAACCCUUAUAAAAAAUAUUAUAAAAAUUUAAAUUUAUUCCUAUUUGCCCUUAUAAUUUAUCAUGUAUGCAACCGGCUACCGAAAAUUCAAAAUUACUCUUAUACACCACCGCUGUAAUUUAUGUUUUUUUCAAUAGAAUGUCGAUAAAAAUUACGUACUCGUAAGUAGGCGGCUGAUAAUUUCCCAUUGAUUUUUAAGAAUUUAUGGCUGCAUUUGAUACAUUACCUUUCAAUGAACAAUGUAUAAGAAACAAAAAUGUUACAAGUAGAAGGACCGUCUCUUAUCAUGCUUUAAUUCAAUAUUUUUUUAUGUAGCUUCUGCCCCGGACAAGAAGAUAAGAAUAUUACUAUUAUCUAUCAAUUUCCUGGUCAUCAUUCGUCCCCCGCCCACUUUUGGGAAUCCUGACCACUGCUAGUCUAUUAGCUUACAAAAGCACUCUUAUCAAAGCACUUUUACUUAUUUAUUUAUUUCUUUUUUCCCCUCCCGUGAGCAGCUACCCUUCCCUCCACGCUUUUGCGACAGACCCUGUGCUGCUGGCUGCUGCAACUUGGCAUCGGUUACCAGGUUACAAACGCCAAGACAAAUGAGUCGUUUUUCGUUGCACCAAGAAUUGAUAUUACACCAAACAGUGAACAGUUGACACCACUGAUGUUUGGAUUAAAAACUCUUUCCGGAUCUGCUCAUUUAUCUAAAUAAAUAUACUCAUGUAACUGGUAAUUGAUAAAUAAAAAUAUAAUUAAUAAGUUUGAAUAUGAUCAGAUCAUAAAAAAAUCAUUUUCUCCGAUUUUGUACUAAGUUUAUCUCAAAUAAAUGGUCCUCUCGUUCUUACAGAUUAAAUAAAUUAUUUAGUUAUUUUCUUUUUAUUUUUAUUUUUUCAAAAAUUAUUCUAAAUAUCCCUAUUUGUUUCUUUUGUAGUUAAUAGUUUAAUUUUUAAGGGUUAGUUAUAUUUUUGCCUAAUUAAAUUGAAAUUUUAAAUAAAUAUAGCAUUUGACAAGUGAAAAAAAUGAUAAUUACAUAAUUUUUUAAUGAAAACAGAUAACAAAGAUUUUUUAGUAACUGAUAAAAAAUAAAACUUGAAAAGUAAUUUUUCAAUAAAUUAAAAUAGUAAUUAACAGUAAUUACACAAUUGAAUGAAUGGUAUACGAGAUUUUACUAGGUAAAGUCUCAGUACAUUUAAAUAUUACUAAAACAUAUUCUUAUUCUCAUUUUGUAUUACUAAUUGUUUGGGGUAUAGAAAUAUGGCUACUGGAUAUUGAUGUCGUGAAGGUAAUAUGAAACAUCAAGGAGAAAUCUGAUUGGUCGCACAAGCACGACCAGAAUCCUUCGAGGAGACCAAAAUUAGGCCGUUCGAUCUUAAGGUCUUGGUUAAUUCUCAGAUCAUUGAACUCCACUUGGAAAUUCAGCCAUAACGUUCAAGCACGUCUGGAAGUUAUAACUGUAGCCCAAUAACUACAUAAAAACGGAUACAUUAACUCCUAAUUCAAGCGGCACAUUUAAUCUAAUAACGGCUACACAUUGAAGAAUAUGCGAUAAUCACGAGUGCCUAUAAUAACCCUGAAAGAUCCUGAAAAUGGGACUUUUUUCAAAAAAAAAAAAGCUCUCUAAGAAAAGAAAAAGAGAGAAAGAGAGAUCCAUUAAAAACUAAAAAAUAAUAAUUAAAAUCAUAAGAGGAGUAACAUUAGUUCUUUACCAGAAACCCAAUUACUGACUUGAGUGUCAGAGGAGUUUACCUAGAAAAAUCCAGUGCCCCAUGACAGUUCUCUGUUGCUGUAGAUAAUAACGAAGUUAGGGAUGGCAAAAUAACCCGGACCCAGCCCGGACCCGCACAAACCCGGAUAAUCCGAACCGGGUUCAACCCGCACCGGAUACAAAAAAAUCUGGAAUCCGACAGUAAUUUAAUAAACCCGGAUGUAUCCGGGUCUGGAUCCGGAAUAGGCCAACCUGCAUGUCCGGAACCCGGACCCGGAUGUCUUUAUUCUUAAUAUUAUAUUUUUAAUUUUUUUAAAAUAUAAAUAGAAAAGCAAAAAGUCAAAAAUAAAAAGGAAACCCUAGUUUACACUUUACAACUUUUGCACUUUACAACUUUCUCUCCAUACAGCCGCUACCCAUUUUCUUCUUCUCUUCAUCAAUUCAACACAACCCCCAACUAUUGACUUUUUCGUCAUCGUCAUCUUGCUGCUUUGCUGCCACCGCGGCUGUGUUGAUCAUUAUCAUCAUCAGCUGCCAUUCAAUUUGUUGAUUAGUGCCAAACUGGAUUCAAGUGUGGUAUCAAUUACCAGCCUCCAACUGUUCGAGUGGUGAUCUCGCGAAGGUGCAAAGGGCUGUGCGCAUGACAGCGAACUCAACUAGUAUUGCUAAGGUAUUUUCUCGCAUUGACGAAAAAUUUGAUUUGAUGUAAUGCUAAGAGGGCAUAGAGAAAGGUGAGUUAUUUGAAACCCGUGAGGAUUUUGCAGCUUUGGAGAAGGAUUAUGAGGAGGUUGGUGCUGAAUUUGACGAGGGUGAAAAUGGAUAUGAAGGAGAUGAUCUGUGUUUGUAAUUUUUUAGGCUUGUGUUCUUUUGAUUGCUUCUUUGAUGUAAGGUUAGAUUCUAGUUGCAUUCGUUCUCAUUCUGUUGCUUUUACUUUUUUGGUUGGCUAUGCAGCUGUGUAUUUUUUUCCAUUGUAUCCAUAGCCUGUUAGAGAAUUGGAAAAGGGCAAAAAAAUACAGACAUCCGGGUUUGAAACCCACAAUCCGAAAACCUGGAUUUUUUCGGGUUAAACCCGGUCCGGACCCAGAGAUAAAUUAUCCGGGUUUAUAUCCGGAUCCGGAAUACCAAAUUAACAUCCGGGUCCGGAACCGGAACGGCUAAACCCGGACCCAGCCCAGAAUUUUCCAUCCCUAAACGAAGUAAGAUGACAAUUUUGGUUCUAUCAGAAUAGCAGUUCCCUAUCAAAACAAAUCCAAGUGUUGAUGAGGCAACCUCGUCAGUAUAAAAAGCUCGACCGAAUUUCGACAUUAGCACUUUGGCGUCGUCUGUGGGAUCGAACUAAAAGCUGCUGUUAACUAAAUAAAUUGAAUACAUAACAAACAAAAUGAAUACUGGAGGACAGCGGAGCCCGCAUCAUUGAUUCUAGAGUAAUUGAGCUUUCUGUUUCACGAAGGACAACAAAUGAGGAAAUGGAGAAGUUGACGUACAAGCGAAUAGAGCAAAUGGAAAAAUAGAUGAUGGCUCUUACUGUUGUCCUUCAAGAGUUGAGGAAAGGGCAGAGCGGAGUUAAGGAGAAAUCUCAGGUGGAGAACCCCGGUCUCUCUAGCCCUAGUAGUAGAGUUACUUGAGGAGAACAAAGUCAAGAGAAAGGAAUUCGGCUCUAUAGUGAUCAGAAUAUUUGGGUGGAAGACCAGUUAGGAGGGGACUACGGAUAAUUAAACAUUAAGGGAGGAGUAGGUUCUUAGAAAGGAGAAUUGAGACAAUAGUUGAAUGAUAUUGAGCGAGAAUGUGAUCAGGUUGUAGCACGAGACCCUAAUCGGAUCAUAGAGUUAGAGGGCGAGAUGCGUAGAUUAGCUCAGGUGAUCGACGAGCUACAAGGGCAGCGAAAGGCAUCAAGUUGGAGAAUUAUAUUAGAUAACAAGUCGCCUCUUUCAGAGGAGAUCAUGAGCACAAGAAUCCCGUGGGAUUUUUGGUUCCUUGACCUCAAAUAUUCAGGGAAGACUAAUCCCUUAGUUCAUAUUGAGCAUUUUAAUAAUAUUAAGGUGAUGCAAGGUUUAACGCAUGCCCAGAGAUGUAGAGUGUUUCCAUUGACUUUGGACGAACGUGCGCAAGAGUGGUACUGAAAAUUACCCUGAAUAAGUAUCCGAAGUUUCGAGUAGAUGUGCUUGAACUUAGAUUUGUUAGCUGAAAAAAGGAAAUUAACCUUAAGAAGAGUAGUAGAAUAUCAACAAAGGGUUGCUCAUUAUUAUAAUCAAAAUGUGCGAGUACGAAAAUUCAAAAUAGGCGAUUGGGUGCCCAGGAAGGUAAAUCAAAGCACGAAAGAUCCCAACGACAGAGUGUUUGGUCUUAAUUGGGAGGGACCAUAUAGAGUCUUGCGAGCAAUUGGACUAGGGGCAUACAAGUUAAUUUACGUGAAUGGACGAGAAGUGAAGAGGUCCUGGAAUGCCGAGCAUUUGAUGAAGUAUUUCCAGUAAGCUUCUUUAUAAGGAUUCAAUUAUUCUCUUAGCAGUAUAAAUUAUAAAAAAUUUAUGGUAUGUGAUUUGUCAAUUAUGGAUGAAGUUUAAGCAUGGAAAUCAUAUUUCUCAAUUUACUUGCAAUAAGAAAUUAUUUUAUUAAAAGAUUUAAAAUCUCAAAGUCCACCCAAGGGGAGAUAAGAAUCAAAGACUGUUCGUGUCUGAAUGAAAGACGCCAAGCAAACAUCAUCAAAAACUCGCAUAGCAGAUAAAAGGCACAAAGUCUCAAAGCCUGCUCCAGGCAAGGUGAAGGUCAAAGUAUGCUCGUAUCAGCUCGACUAAACGAAGUUGGGCAAGUAAAAGUUUGAUCAGGUUAAAUCAAGUAAGCGAACGAGUCAACGAAAAUUAUCUAAGUAAAAGACUCAAAGUUUCAAAACUUGUUCGAGGUAGCACAAGGUCAAGUUUAUCAAAGAUAAUAUCAAUCAAAGACAACUUAGAUUGGGUAAUGACUAACAACUUAUUAUUAACAUAAGUACUUCUUAACAAAGAAAAAGAUAAUAAGUAAGGCAAAAACAGAAGCCUUUAAACCGAAGUCUGUGGCCAAAAAUAUAAUCUAGGCAAAGCCUUAAGGAGUCUUCGCAAGAAGGUCCACAUCUGCUCCUUAGGACUUCCCCUCACCAGAAUGGGCUGCAUCUGUUGUAGUCUAAAGAGGCUCCUCUAUUUCUCCACUUUUUUUAUUCUGCUCGUCCAUGUAAGCAUUGACGCCAACAUCGAGCUUGUUCAUGUCCAGCUCUGGAUAUUUCUACUUUAGCACGAAUAUGAUUCAGUCAUAGCAGAAUGAUAGCCCUGAGUUGUACUCGUCAACAUUAUGCUUUUCUAAGGAAUCAAUCCUGCUUUGAAAGCGAGAUGUUUCAACUUUAAGAUGUUGCUCGAAAGCAAACCUCUGAGUGUUAAGAUCUUUUAUGGAGUUGAUCAGCUCAUCUCUUAUCCUUGACAGUUCACACUAGAGCUGCGAUGCUUUGAACUUAGAUAGGGGAAUCUUCUCCUCGAGCCUGUCAAUCACAGUAUUGAGUUUGGUUGACUACUCUUUCUCUUGCUCCAACUCAUUCUUUAAGUUUUGAUUUUCUACCCUCAACUUCGUAUCAUAGUUGGCAACUCUAGACCUGUAGAUUGUAGAAGUAGUAAAAAGUUGGUAUACACACCAUUAGCUGGUAGUAAAUAGCUUAGGUAGGCUACGGUCGUUCAGGCCGUCAAGAAACGUGUGUUUCAUGUGCUUUACAUAGUCCCUCUAGAAGGGGCUCAGAAGAUCAGCCUCUUCGCUCUGUUGAAAAGGUCUCGAUCGACUCUUUAAAAGAGCAUAGACUACUAGGUCUUAAAGUUGAAGAUUUCUCAACCAAGCCCUUAGACUCACUAGAAUGAUGAGGAAUAUGAAGAGCUCGAAUGGGAAAAGUAACCUUAGUAACACCAGGCUUCUUAGGAGGAUCAGAUGAACUGCUCGGAGCACAGUCAGUACGACUGCAUUUCUUCAUCCGGCAAGAAUGCUACUCAUAUCCUCAACCACAUAUAUAAGAUGGGAGUUAAUUAAAUAAUCAAUGGACAACAAAUCUCUGUACGAGCUCACGUUAACCAAAGUCGUCUCAACCUGCAACUUUUGCUUAUCUUUUAUCUCGUAUACCACACUUUAGGAAGUUGAAACACAAAAAGACAUAUUAGAAAGAUAGUAAAAGCUAUAAAAGAAAAAAGUAAUGGAUAGUGAGCAACCUCGAGUGCAAAAGGGAGAAUGAACUCGAAUUUCUCCUUUGGAUGUAGAGACUAUUUGACCCUAAUUACCCCCAACAAAAAAAAAAAUUGUUCCUCCAGUUACCCCAUGAGGUGGGGAGAUCUAUAAUGGAUUUUGUUUACUUUGAGCUGCUCAUGAAGUAGUACCAGCCAGCAUCUUUCAGGCUACUUCUUGGCUGUAUAGGUUCUUUAUUUCCUCCAUAGAGGGUUCACCUAUUUCACAUCUCUGAGUACAUACAAACCAAAGAACUCUCUAUCUAUUGGGAUUAAGUUGGCCGAUGAUACGUUUAACUUUCCCAAUAUCUUGGCGAAGUAAGGCUAAAGUGGCAGUUUAACACCAAGUUUAAAACACUCUAAAUAUAAGGUUACAUAUACCCUUAGAGGUCGGCUAGGAGUAUUGACUUUACAAGGUAUCCUAAGGUCGAUAUCAUCAGGAAUACCAUAUAAUGCCCUAAGGUUGUCUAAGUCUUCCUAAGUGGUUUCAUAAUCCAUGAGUAAAACUCGGCUUCAACCCUAUAAUUGGUUUUGGCUUUUUUCGUUGGUCGAGAUUCUUCAGGAGAACUCUCUCCGCUACUCUCAUCCUUACCAGCGCUCAGUGCUACAUUAACACCAACACUCUGGUCCGGAACUGGAUUCCUCCUCACCAACUUCCUUGUGGGAUCUAUCUUCUCUAGUUAAGGAAGAGAUUUUCGAGGACAGUCUCCUAGGGUUUUCUCUAAUCCUAGGUGGUCCAACCUCUUCUAUAUGAAUUUGAGGAUUAAGGUUUGACCUUUUAGAACGGUCGGGUAAAGCACCCAAUUCCUCUCUAUUAUCAAGGUCUAUUGUUGUGUGUUUUCCCUUAGGCACUACAGCAACAAGAACAAAAAAUCCAAAAAAAAAAAAAACAGCAGCACGAAAAACAACUAAGUAAGAUUAGGGCAACGAGUUUGGGAAAAAGUACCUAAAAAUAUUUGGAACCGGUAAGAUAAGUACCGCAAUGGUGGCAACAAAUGGGGAGGCUCUUAUUUGGAGAUUAAAGAUAGAUCUUAGUCGAAGAAUGAGGAAAUAAGAGAAAGAAAAGAAAACGAAGAGAGAGAUUAUGAAUUUAUAAAAGAGAAAAAAGUGUGACAUCGCGGCGAUUUGAAGAGACGUGCUGAGAGAAACCAAAAGCCGCUACUUCGAAGUUUAAACGCUUGGCCAAGGUUUAGCCACAUCACACAUAUUUAAUGGGACAAGAUGGAAGGUCAGAUCAUUGAGAAUUCGUGAAGUUAAAGCCAUCUCUUCUUAACUAAAUUUAUAGUUUCUAGUUUUAUUUCAUUUUACUUCAAAUACUAGAAAUUAGGGACUAGUGUUUGAGGUAUAGAAAUAUAGCUACUGGAUAUUGAUGUUGUGAAGGUAAUAUGAAACAUCAAGAAGAAAUCUGACUAGUCGUGUGUGCAAGUACGACCAGAAUCCUGCGUGGAGACCAUAAUCAAGUCAUUAAAUCAUGAGGUCUUGGUUAAUUCUCGGAUCGUUGAACUCCACCUAGAAAUUCGACCAUAACGUCCAAGCACAUCCAGGCGUUAUAACUGCAGCCUAAUAACUACACAGAAACGGAUACAUUAACUCCUAAUUCAAGCAAUGCAUUCAAUCUUGUAACAGCCGCACAUUGAAGAGUACGCGAUAAUCAAAAGUGCCUAUAAGAACCUUGAAAAAUCCUGAAAAGGGGACUUUUCUCUAUAAAAAAAAAAAAGCUCUCUAAGAAAAGAAAAAGAGAGAGAUCCAUUAAAAACUAAAAAAUAAUAAUUAAAAUCACAAGAGGAGCAACAUUGGUUCUUUACAAGAAAACCUAAUUACUAACUUGAGCGUCGGAGGAUUUUUGCCGGAAAAAAUUCUGCCCCCUGAGAGUUCUCUGUUACUAUAGGUAAUAACGAAGCAAGGUGACAAUUUCGGUUCUAUUAGAAUAGCAGUUAGCAGUUCCCCAUUAAAAUAAAUUCAAAUGUUGACGAGACAAUAUGGUCGCUAUAAUAAACUCGACUGGAUUUCAGCAUUAAUACUAAUUACCAAUCAAAAAUUUGUUUCGGUUCCGAUUAAAGUUAAAUGAAACCGGAUCUUGGUCUUUUAAAAGAAGAUAAUUGAGAUUAAAAUAGAGAAGUUUUGUGGGCGUUUGUCCUAUAUCUUAAUUAGCUUGGAAUUAGCAAGAAUAAUUCUGCUCAUGUGUCACAUGUGAAACAAUGAACAAGCAUAUUAUCACAAGUUUAUGUUUGGUAGUUGAUUUUAUAACAUUACAUGCAAAAGAUGCCUAGAUUCGAGAAGAAAAAAAGGACCACCAUAUGUAGAAAUAUGACAUUUGAUAGGGAUAAUUAGGAUGAGGCAAUUUGACUAAACUUUUGUCUUAACGUCAUGUGGAAUUGUGAAUUAAUGCAAGCAUGAUUUGUAAACUAUGGUUGUUUAAAAUAUUAAAAUAUAAUUAUUCUAAUAAAUUAAUUGAUUGUAUAAAAUAAAAUUGAACUAAAAUAAAUAUUGAUUUCUAUUAAGAGAAUUGUGAGGCAAAGGCUUUGUUGUCUCGAGUACAGAAAAUUUAUUGCUGUCCGUGUCUGUUGUGGGAGAGGUGAAAACCGUUUAUAGUAUUAAUUGUAUGUGGAUAGAUGUUGAAUUUACUGGGAUCCUUAGCAUUAUAUUAUAUUCUAAAAAGUUGUAUAUUUUUCAAAUUAUUUUAUUUCUAAACCAUUAUUUAUUAGUGUAAGACAUUUUCAUCUUACUAGAAAAUACCAAAUUAGAAUGGAAAAUAAGUUCUCUUAUAUUUUUAUUCGAUAAUAGUUAAAAUUCUAAUAUAGUACUACACAUUUAAAAUUUUUUAUUCUAAAAAAAAUUACAAAAUAAUGUGAUAUUUAUCAAUUAAUCGAUAAGAUAAUAUAAUUAAUUAACUUUAAUUUUUAAAAAAAUUAUAAACUACUUAUUAAAUAACACAUUAUUUAAAAUGAAAAAUUUAAAAUAACUAUCAAAACUCUUUAAUCUUAUAUCCCAACACAGAGGAGUAAUGUCAUAACCGACGAAAUAUUUAUUGGACGCCUAAUAAAUGCACAACACAUCAGUAAAAAAAAAUAAUAAAUGAAUAAAAAAGGGCGAACUUAAUAUCUGUAUGCGGAUUCAGAUGGCAUGAGAGAUUGUCCUCGAUUUCUACAUGCCUCGAGUCUCAACUGCCCGCUCACUGAACCUAAUACAAAAACAAACAAUAUAAUGCACAGUAGUACUCAGUCUCAGCUCCCACUUUUCGAUCACCAAUUGGCUCAUUUUUUGCAGGACCCCACCCCCAGUCCACCCCAGUCUCUCGAUUUUGUCGAAGCAUCGCUUCUAUUUUCUAACUCUCUGUCUGUUAAUUUGUGCACUCACAUUUGAGCUUGCAUGUGAAGUCUUUAACUGACAAACCACUUUCCACUAUAAGUAGUGUGUCGGCACCACCCCUCCCUCCCCAUUCCUUAGUGACACCCCCCGUCUCUUAAACACCCACAAGACCCACCGGCCACCAUGAAGAAGAAGCUCCGAUUUUCAUUUCUAUUGCCUACUCUACUCAUCGCGGCUGUUGUUGGCCACGACUACGGCGACGCAUUGUCCAAGUCGAUCCUCUUCUUCGAAGGCCAGCGCUCGGGUUACCUGCCGCAGGACCAGCGCCUCGCUUGGCGUGGCAAUUCCGGCCUCAGCGAUGGCUGGACGUACAACACCGACCUGGUUGGCGGCUACUACGACGCCGGCGAUAACGUCAAGUUCAAUUUCCCCAUGUCAUUCACCACCACUCUCUUAUCUUGGAGCAUCAUCGAAUUCGGAGACUCCAUGCCUCCCCAUGAGCUGAGAAAUGCACUCGUCGCUGUCCGCUGGGCCACUGAUUAUCUCCUCAAGAUCGUUUCUCAGCCUAAUCGGAUUUUUGUCCAGGUCAGUCGCACUUUUGGAUCGUUUUGUAAUGUUUGUGAAAUACUAGGGGUAUUCUCGGGAUUCUAUCAGCCGUAGUUCAACUAAUCCUACUUGUCACUUUGGACCGCAUGCUGUAAAUACUUUGUCUGUUUGAUAAUUCGAUAAGCUCUUAUUGGCUAUUUUUUAGUGGAAUUUUUGAAGAUUAAAUUAGUUAUUUUGUAAAAAUUUAAAUUUUAAAGUAGAGGUUAAAAAGUAUUAUUUUAAUGUUAAAAUAUUUAAAAUAUUUUUAAUUUAUUAAAUUAUUUUAUUUUAUUUUUUAUAACACAAUUUUAAAAAAAUUAACGUGUUAAAGUAAUUUUAUGACUUUUAAUAAAAAUUUAUAUUAACAAUUAAAUAAUUAAAAUUUUUUAGAUAAAAAUUCUACUUAAAAUAAAAAUUCUACUAAGAUAAAUUCUAAAUGAAAAGCAAUGCGAAAUGGAACCUUAUGCGUCUCUUUAUUUUUUUUAAUAGAUGUCAAGUACUUUAGCAAAGCAGAACAUGUGAGUCUGAGUGAGAUUGGAACAUUUAUACACUUUUUUUUUUCUCUCUCUUAUAUAAAGUCCGUGAGGCACAUGGGGUCUACAAAUUGUCCCUAUCAAUUUUAAACUAAAUUUUAAUCCACUGUAAUUUUAAAUUAAUUUUAGGUGGGGGAUCCUAAUAUUGAUCACAACUGUUGGGAGAGACCAGAGGAUAUGGACACAGAAAGGACUGUGUAUGCAGUUGAUGCACCAAAUGCAGCUUCUGAUGUAGCUGGCGAGACUGCAGCCGCUCUAGCAGCUGCAUCCAUGGCGUUCCGGUCUUCGGACUCGGGAUACGCAGAGACAUUGCUGAGAAAUGCUGUCAAGGCGUUUCAAUUUGCAGACAGUUACAGGGGAGCUUAUAGUGACAACCCUAAUAUCAGAGAUGGUGCCUGCCCAUUUUACUGUGACUUUGAUGGAUACCAAGUAUGUUGUUGAUACAUUAAAUUAAGUUUAAUUGAUGUAAUGUAAUGUAAUUCAAAGUCUAAUAAUGUUUCAAUUGGUUCUGUUCUGCAGGAUGAGUUGCUUUGGGGAGCAGCUUGGUUAAGAAGAGCUUCUCAGGAUGACACUUACCUUAAUUACAUUGAAAUGAAUGGCAAAACACUUGGUGCUGAUGAGAAUAUUAAUGAAUUUGGCUGGGACAAUAAGCAUGCUGGCAUAAAUGUUCUAGUCUCCAAGGUCAGAUAAUCACGUUCUGCAUAUAUAUAUAUAUAUAUAUAUAGCGCAGAUUUUAUUCAUCAAAAUGGUUUAAUUUUCACGAAAUUUAACAUUUUUGGAUUUUUUUUUUAUGCUUUUUUCUUGUUCCAGGAAGUACUAGAAGCUAACAAGUACACUCUGCAAUCAUACAAAGCCUCAGCUGAUAGCUUCAUGUGCACGUUAGUCCCGGAAUCAUCCUCCUCCCACAUCGAUUACAGCCCCGGUGGCCUAAUCUACAAGCCUGGUGGCAGCAAUCUGCAGCAUGCCACAACCAUUUCGUUUCUGCUUCUGGUUUAUGCAAAUUACUUAGCCAAAACUUCACAAUCUGUUAACUGCGGCAACCUUUAUGUUACACCAGCUUCGCUUCGCUUGCAAGCCAAGAAGCAAGUUGAUUACAUACUAGGUAGUAACCCAUUGGGAUUGUCAUACAUGGUUGGUUACAGUAACAAUUUUCCUCAACGUAUUCAUCAUCGGGGAUCAUCCUUACCAUCGAUCAAAGAUCAUCCUCAGUUUAUAGCGUGCAAAGAGGGUUCGAUUUACUUUAAUUCAACGAAUCCUAACCCAAAUGUGUUAGUUGGAGCUGUGGUUGGGGGUCCUGGGAAAGAUGAUGCAUAUAAUGAUGAUAGAGUUGAUUUUCGAAAAUCCGAGCCCACGACAUACAUUAAUGCACCGUUUGUUGGUGUGCUUGCUUACUUUGCUGCCAACCCUAAUCCUAGCUAGCAGAAAGGUAAAGCUUAAAUUGUAUAUAGAUCAGCAAAAAUUGUCUCUCAUCUUGGGUGAAAUUAUUAACCGAGAGGGAAGAGGCUCAAAGUUUUAGUUAAGAUUGGACAAAAACUCAUUGUCACAUUUUAGGAAUUUUUUGGGAUUAAGAUGCUUAGAAUUUUAAGGUGUAAAAUCCCAAAAUGGGUUCAAAUUGAUGAAAGCAAAUGAGAAUUUCAAUAUCCUUUCUUUCACGUGAUCCAAAAGCUAAUUAAUCCAGAUCACAACGACAGUUUUGGGAAAUUGUUGCCUGUGGCAUUCAUUUUAUAUAUGGGAGACAUUCUGUUUUCAAAUUAGAAUUAAUUAAGAGAACUAUAAUCCCUUCCGUGACUGCCUCUAAAUCACAAAUUACUUUCAAUUUGCUCAUUUGCACUAAGAUAAUUUUUUUUUUUUGAAACCUCUCUCAAUAGUUUUCACUUGAGACAACAGAGUGUCGAACGCCACAAAAAAUUUCGACUCUUAAUACUAUGCACCAAUUGCCAAUCAAUUAAGAUGAUAGUCUCCAAUCCUAGCUAAAAAGUGUCCAACCUCACAUGUUACAAUCAACGAACAUUAAACCACUUGGGCUAAAGAGCCACUCCCUCACAUAUGCGAGGGAAGUGGUUCGAGCCUCCGCAGACGCAUUACAGGGGUUUAAUUUAAAUGUCCUUUCUUGGAGUCUCAGAGCUUGAGUGAAGACAGUCUUUCUCCUAGGCUGGGAGUUUGACGUCCCUCGAAUAUUUGAGAGGGUUAAAAAAUUUGAGCGGUGUCAUAUCAGCAUUAAUGUCAACAGGUCUCAGUAUAUAUAUAUAUAUGAUUGUACAUAUCAGUUAUACUCUCAUGUAAUAUGAGUUGUAAUUUAAAAAAUAAUCUCAUAUCAUCAAAAAAAAAAUCAACGAACAUUAGAUAUAUUUAUUAAACUAACCAUAAAUGAUAAAUUAUGUCACCAAAUUAGCUUUCAAAGACAGAGUAGUGACAGCGCAAGGAGGGGACUCUAAUAAAUCAACCAACACUUCCCUCUCGCUCAAGCAGUUGGCCAAACGUCAUCACAUUGAUUUUCGGUCACCGGCCAUAAAUUUUGAAGGGCAAGCACAGUAAUUUCACCUACCAAAAUUUAAUGGUUUCGUGAGCUCCGGCGCCGUAUAAAUCCGUAAUCGGUGACAUUUUUGUCACCUACUGGUACCAGCUAAAGUUUUAGUGGUUUACAAUCAUGAUGGCCAAAUCCAAUCAAGGCAAUGACUGACAAUUUAAUAUUGCAACCUCCUUCUACUUCUUGUCAUGUGACCUGUGUCUACUGUCAAAAUUUCUAAUUUGUGGGGGCACUUACCUAUUUGUCUCCUUUGUAAAUUUUAAUUCCUCAAAUUUGGAAGAUUUCAAGUUUUGGGAGAUUGAUUUGUGGGGAAAAAAAAAAUCUGUCGCUGCAUCAGAUAGAAUGAUUGAAUCUAGUAGUGGAUUAAAAUGAAUGAUAAUCAUAUUAAAAUGAGUGUUCCUAACUCUUAAAAAGCCUAACCCUUCAAACUAAGGGUCAAGUUAGGGCUUUAUCUAAGCCCAUCCAUAAUUUUUUUACCUUUUUUUCUUAAAUUUUUAUAUGCUUUUUUUGGAACAUGAAAAGUCACUCUUUCGUGUUUUCUAAAAUCUACUGUAAGAUGUGGUCAUUUAAAAAAAAAUAAUCAAGUACUAAAAAUUUGUGCUUUUAUUAAAAAUACUGUAAUAUUUGAAGGGUAUAUCAAUCGUCCACCUUAUAUUGUUAAAAGUUAUCUGUCGACCACUAAAUCGUUAGCUGCCUUUUGAAAGUUAAUGGAAUUAUAGCAAAUUGACAAUUUUACUCUUAAAAAUUAUCACUUGUAUACCCUUAAAAUCUUUUAUUAUCACUUAUAUACCCUUAAAUUAUUACUUGUAUAAUAUGAAAAGACCAGAUUACUUUUCUGACGUCAUCAUAUUUAAACAGCAACUAACGGUUUGGUAGAGCGCAUGUACAUUUUGUCAACUUAGGGUGGACAACUGGUAUACCUGAAAGUAUUGUAGUAAAUUUAAUAAUAGAGUAAACUAAAUGUAUACAAUUGAUAAUUUCUCAUACUCAAUUGUUUAUGAUCCCACAAAUAUGGAUGGAUAUAAUUUUUUUUCCUCAAAUGUUAGUGGGAGCAAAAUUUUGACUUUAUCUCAGGAGAACUCUAGGUUGUUUAUAAUUAUAUUUAUAUUUUCAUUAAAUUUCAUAUUAAAGUAUUAGCAGUUAGUAACAAAUAUUUUUUUAAAAAAGAAAACUAAGCAGGCUUAGUUGAAUAAAUAAGUUUGUAAAUGUAAUUGGUUCUAUUAUUCAUUAGUUGAUAUUGCUUAUAAAGACCGACUCUCAUAUUUAUUGUACAUCGUACGAAUGAUUUCUUAUCUUAUGUGUAGAGAUAUAUUAUUUAUAACAUAAAAUUUCAUAUUCCCUAAAAUUUUAAGUUCUAGGUUUGGAAAAUAACGAAAAUUGGUCUUAGAACUUCCGAUUCCUCUCUUAUUAAGAGUAUUUUCAUUGAUAACUUCUGUUAGUAAUUAAUAAAUAAAAUUUUCCAUUUUAGCCACGAAUCCGUUGUAGUCUAGUUGGUCAGGAUAUUCGGCUCUCACCCGAAAGACCCGGGUUCAAGUCCCGGCAACGGAAUUGCGCUUUUCCAGUUUUAAUGAUUUUAUCGAACCUAUUUUGCCAACCUCAAUUUCAGACGUUGCCGUUUAAGCAAUUCCCACGAAAGUUCUUAUCCCCGAAUUCAAUCUAUCAAAUAUCCAAUACUCUGCGUGUUCAAUCAAAAUCUUCCCUUUUCGUCUCCAACAGGCACUGAAAUUGAAAUUAGGGUCUCAAAUUUGAAAAUAGGUACUCUUCUCUUUCUCACUCUCUUAUUUUAUCUAUCAGUGUUUGGUUGCUUCGAUUUUUUUAUUCGCCCUCCCCCCCCCCCCCCCCCCCCCCUCCUCUCUCGAUUUGCUUCCAGUUGUUGCUUUUUGAAUUUCAAUUUGGCAAAUUUUUUACGAAAAUUAUUUUUAUUAAUUAUUAUUAUUAUUAUUUUAUCGGAAGUACUUUAGUCUUCGAAUGAUCACAUGUAAUUGUUCGUGUUAUGUGUAGCUGAGUAACUUUGCCUGUAUCAUGCUUAAGUAGCAAAAUGGUAUUUUCGUAUUUUGUCACUUCCUAUGCUCUCAUUGAUUCCGAGAACAUCGUUAAUCCUGUUAAGUUUGGAUGCCUCAAAACCUUGCCAGGGUAACUGCUGCAGUGUUUCCUCUUGGUGUGUAUUGUGUCGCUUAUUUCAAUUAUCUAUUGGGCAUUAUGCUUCAGGCUCUUUUCUAUUAUGGGCUAAUGGAUUUUCAAUAGAAAAGUUCCCAGUUUAGGAUUUGUGUUUCUUUGUUAUUAUUGAGCUUGAAGUCUCGCUAACUUGCACGCGUAUGAAUGUUAGUGAGUUGUAGCCCCUGGUUUUCUGAAUAGAGACAAGGAGAGAACUUUUGACUUUUGAGAGAGGGCCCAUGCUGAAUGAUAUGAUAUGUUUAAUCUGGUUAUAUAGGUGGUAACUCUAACCCAAGCUUUCUGAAAGAAUGAAAAAUAUAAUGCAACAGGGUAGUAUGAUUUUCGUGGUUAUCAUUUGGGUUGAGGAUGAUUUGUCAUCUCGCCAGUGAGGCAUUUGCUUUUAAUCUAGUGAGACAUGAGAAGCUGUUAUCUGGAUGUCAGGCAUAGGAAAAUUACAUGCGGUCUGUGUGUACAUUUUAUUUUAAUGCAUUAUAGCCCUAUGAAUGGAGCUCAGAAAUAUUGAAAUGUUUAAGUAAAUAUGUCAGAGGUAUUACAUGUGACUGAUAUAUUUGGCCAACCUAUUUACAUUGCUUGUUCCGUAUGGUAUCCCUGCAUUAGAAUGCUUCUUGUGAAUAUUUUUGUGUUUUAUCUGUUGUUUCUAUUACGUGGACCCUGUGGUUUGUUUACUGGCCACGUUCAGUGGUAUACUUUGAUAAACCUCAUUGAUUUGCUGUAAUGUGAUUAGCUUGGAUCACUUCCAGCUGCCCAUUAGUAAUUAAUGAUGAGGUUCUAGUUAUUCUUUAUUUGUGUUCUUUUGAAACAAAAAUAAAGGUAAAAGUCUUACAAGUAAUGGCCGGGUUGAUGAACGUAACCUGUGUGUUUUUGUAAAAACAUUGAAUUUUGAUACACGACACUUCUUUAGUUUUGAUGAACAACAACAAUAAUAACAUGUGUUUUCUUCUUGAAUUGACAUUUUCCCCAUAAUUUUCAGCUAUGCCUGUAGAGGAUGAAAAGAUGGAAGGCUCUGUGUCUUCUCUUUUUACUGUAUCUUUUGAUUCAAACCUGAGUGGAGAUGUGCUUUCCGCUGAAGAUUUAGCCUGGGUUGAUUCUUGCCUGGUAAAAGAUCCUGAAGCACCAGAUGGUAACUGGGAUGCUCUGAGAGAUGCCUUACUAGAAAUUGUCGAUGCUCUGCCUGAAUCAGUUUCAUAUUCUUCAUCCGGAAUUGAUGGUCCAUCAGUUGGAACCGACAUUGAGAUGCACCGUCCUGAUGAAGAGGCAACUGCACAGUCACAAAAAAAUGAUCAUGAUGUUGUUCCAGCCAACGAAGAAUCAGAAACAAAUAAUGAUAGUUAUCCAACCAACAAGAGGACUGGCAUUCCAGUUUCAAAACUUUUUGAGGGUGUUGAUACCAUAGACUCUUUUAAGGGAAAUCCUUUUUUGCCGACUUACAAGGAAGGCGAGAGUGAGAGUGUGGGUGAAGCCAUUGCUUUAGGGGCUGAUUUGAAUUCCUUGGCAUUUGAGACCGAACCAUUGUCUGAGAGAAUCUUCAAGGUCUGGGAUUUGGGCGUUCCUGAUGAGGAAGAUGAGCUCAUUACACAAUUGAACAAGGCCCUCGCAGGAACUUCCUCUUGGUCAGGACCAUCAGGCUUUGAUGAUUCUGGGACAUGGAAAGAUAGGAAAGAUGAGUCACUCAAUAGCUUGAUUGCUGGCAUAGCUGAUCUCUCUUUGGAUCAAACUUCUUCCUAAUUAUGUAUUUGUCAUGCAAUUUUAGAAUUUGUCCUGCUCCAAACCUUUACUUUUUAGUGAUUUGUAAGCUUUACUGAGGCAUUUGAAUGUUUCAUCUGAACCAAAUGAGUAUGAUGUGUUUUGUAUAGCAAUUGUGAUGGGACCAUAGGAAAAACGGCAUCAAAACUCCGAAUAAUUGAAUCCUACAGCUGUCGGAACCCCAAGUAUGGCCUUAAGGCCGGGGACCGUGACAGCUUUAAAGGGUAUGUUGACAUCCCCAGAAUGCAAUACAAGCCUCUCUAUUGAUAUUUGCGAGAGUCAAAUGCAUUUCUUCUAGUCAGCUGGACAAAACACCCAAGCACAGAGGGCAGGAAGCUAGGUGAAUUGCUACUACUGGUUAGAGAAAACAUAGGAAUCGAGAUCACGCGUCAUUGCUAGCUGAUGAGUUCUGAAAUGGACCCCUUUGAUGAUUUGUCCAGAUUAUAGUCUAGGUGGAAUGGGAAAUCUCCAGUCAUCACAUGGAAUAGCUUCUGUGUCAAAUUUUCUACCGUUAACGAGCUCAUCAAAUCCUGUGAUUAAAACAUGGCCAUUAAUCAAAAUGAAGCCAGAAACAAAGAAGCGAAGUUACAUUACAUUAGAGCCUCAUACUUAUUUUCCAAAAUUUUCUCCCAAGAAGACUCUACACUAGGACUGAACUUGACACAUUUGUCUAUUUCUACUGACACUAGCAAAAAAUCAUGGUUUUUCUCAAAUCAAAUUGCCCAUAAUUUUCAUUUUUUACGAGGUGGGUAUGAAACCAUCUGUUUCAACCACGCAUGCAUGCUGCCAAGUAAGCAAAAAAUUAUCACCCACACGGCAAACUCUCGUUGGUUGAUUCAUGAGAGCCUCAAAUGAGACAUCCGAUGAUGCAGUGAGCAACUAUAAAUAUAGUGAAGUGAUUUGCAUGUGUGGUAAAGAGGCAGAAGAAAGAUAGUGAAGAUAAGAUUAUAAGUGCUAUAAGCUAAGGCCUCUCGAGCUCAGAACCCACAGCAAGAAGAAGCAAAGAGGAAAAUGGCCUCAGCCUCGGCAUCUUUACUCAAGUCAUCAUCCCCCGUUCUUGACAAGUCUGAGUGGGUUAAGGGCCAGGCCAUCCGCCAGUCUACUGUCUCAGUCCGCAGCCUCCCCAGUGGCCCCUCUUCCCUCACCAUCCGUGCUGGUUCCUAUGCCGAUGAGCUUGUCAAGACCGCGGUAUGUUUCAAUGUUUUACAUCAUUUUACAAGCUUGCAUGCCUUUAAAUAGAGUACCCUUAUGAUAAAAUAUAGGACAGUUGUUGGAAAGUUUAAGUUGUUUGUAUAGUUUGAUUGAUACCUAGAUGAAACCAUGAAUGAGUAUGUUGUACUUUUAUGACAAAACUUAAAUAAACUACUGCAAGUUUUAUACGAUAAGGUUGUUUGAGAGUUGUUGCAAUAAAAAGUAGCUUUGCACUUUUGCCGACAGACUAUCUUGAAAUAUAGUAAAAGUUGUAAAAGACCUUUGCAUGCAACCCUAUAGCUUGUAUCAAGAUGUAAAAUGUAGAUUAAAGUUGCAAAGAAUGAAAGAAGAUCAUUGUUCUUGGCUGCCAAUUAGUUGUCUUGUUAUAGCUACAUGAAAUAUUAAUUAAGUUAAUUUUGUUGGGCGAAUAGAAAACUGUUGCAUCACCAGGACGUGGAAUUUUGGCCAUGGAUGAGUCAAAUGCAACUUGUGGAAAACGCCUUGCCUCAAUUGGGUUAGAGAACACUGAGGCUAACCGCCAGGCAUACCGUACCCUCCUUGUUACAGCCCCUGGUCUUGGACAGUACAUCUCUGGUGCCAUCCUUUUUGAG